CAGUCAGCUCUAUAACGAAACCUUGAAGCCAUUUUGUAUCAAUAUUUGCAGUAGGUUUCAAUCUAAUGACACUUCCUCGGCAGGACAACAACGACCAACACUACCAGUUUAGAAGGGGGCUUCUUCAAAUGUUUCACCUUACACAGUACUACAGUAGCAAGCAAUCAUCUCAUGUACACGCAGUAAUUUUGAAAAGUAACAGAGAAAACAUAUUAGUGUCCAGAUUUCUUUGCUUGAAAUAGUGCUAAUUACUGUCGUCAAAUUUCAUCUUAUUCUUUUUAUUCCCUCACAUGCAUUGUUUUAUUGAUAUUAUACAAGAAAAUGCGUUGUUCAAUAUUAUGCAAAUAUUUUUUUUUUCUCAAAUAAUUUAAAUUUCAAAGAUUGCAAUGAAAUUUAAUUUAAGGAUUGCCCUUGAGCACUGUCAGCUACGACUCCAGUUUCCUGCAACAAUGAAAAAUUCUGUAAUAGUAAAAAGUCUCUCUUUUUUCGCAAUAUUAAGUCAAUAAUUUGAAAGGCAGAUUUAACAACAGGUUGGCCUAAUUUCAAAAUUUAAUCCAUGUAAUAUAGAAAGAAGACUAGUUCAAUGUAUAUGAGUCCACCAAAAAGUUAUUAAAAAUUUAGGAUUAAACACUUGGAAAUGGCAAUUAGGUACUACCUCAAGAGAUUUUACUGCUUGAACCAACCAAGGGGGUAUGUUUGCAAUUGUUGUGACUAAGUAUAAAUAGAUGGUUGGUCAGUGGUAAGAACCAGCCUUCUAGCAUCUUUGGGCACAAAGAACUCAAGAAAAAAGCCCACAUGAGACACAAGACCCAAUGCUCAGCAUGCAGCAAGCUUAUCUAGAUUCAGGUGCUUUAUGGAUCAAAUUCACAUUACAUGAAAAGUUCACUAUUCAGAAUGGCACUCUGUAUGACAGCAAAGAGAUAAGUGGAAGAAAAAAAUCUGAAAAUCAACAUACCUUUUUCUUUGUGAUUAGGUAGUCGAACCCCACUAGCUCGCUUAUUUCAAGCAGCCAGGUCAGCUCAACACGGUCGUCUUGUAUCCUUCAAGAUGCACAACCCCUGUGAAAUUUCCAUCCUGGUUCCUACUAAUUUGCUCCACAAUUGCAUUCCCAAUCUAUUUAUGUGAAUCUUAUUUCCAGAGAUCAACUCGGCAUUGGCAAGGUCCAUCCAUAUUGUUUUUGCACAUGUUGUAGCUUUCACUCCUACACCUUUACGCGUCUUAUGCCUCAGUUUGAUGCGAACUCAUGGUUUGUCAAGGCCAUUGGUAAGAGUCAGUCAGUCAGCAAUAGUAAUAUCUGCCUUUCUUCAAUCACAGCAGCGAGUAUAGGGCACGCAGGAUUAAUAAUCUUCUUAUUAAUAUAGUAGUUCAAAGUUUGUCACGUUCCAAAUGGUUGAGACUGUUUGAAGCCGCCAGAAAAAGUAGAGAUACAAAAGUUAUUCUUCCACUUAAGUGAUAACAAAUACUAUAUGAACUAUGACAAAUUACUUCAGCUACAUUGUCUUAGCAGUUCAAGGAUAAACUGCAUCAGAGACUCAAUUUUCAGUCCCCUACGAAUAAUUCUUUGAAUGGCAAAAAAAAAAAAGAGGAUUAUCUAAUCCAUUCUGUACAAACCACAAAAGUUUGCUAAGAGGCAUGUUACAGCAUUUUCAACCGGCUAAACUCAAAAAUUUGAACCUUUAUAUUCCAUAUCCUCUUGAACCAAAUGGUAUCAAGCAUUACGAGCAUUGUACUCACUAGAUCUCAAACUAAAAGACGUGAGAAUUAGUCCAUAAGUUAGGUAUAUCUUGUAAUUUGACCUGAUUUGAUGGUGGGUCUGGGUUGCAACGACUGGACGGGAUCUCAGACGGACUUGCUGGAAUGUUGCAUGUCAACUUCCUGCUACGACAACACUCCUAACAAUUAACAUCCCAAUUUUGCUUAUGAAAAAACAGGGAGAUAUUAGAAUGAUAUCUCAAUACUUCAAGCCAUUCACAAACAUUUUCCAUGUAAUUGGUUGCAAUACCAGACGAGCUUAAGCCUGCCACCAAUAAUCUGCUUCACCUUAAAUCACGAAUAAGGCAAAAAUGCUAUCCUCCGCUCAUCAUUCGGCCUCAACAGAUCACAGGUGGAAGGUUAAGUGUGUGAGUAGUUAAAGGGGAAAUACCCUUUUUGAUAAAUGUGCCAAGAUGAAAGUCACUAUAGUCAAAAGGGUAUAAAUAUCCCAACACAAGUCUAUAUGGUCAUUUCCGAAACCACGCAAAGACGUCGGUGUCGUUUCCCCACAACAAUAAAUAGAAAUCACCAUACUUCCACAAUUAUCCAAAGAGCGCGAACCCUGACACAUCAUAAAAACUAUUAUAAAUCUAUUUACAGAAUAAACUUGACUGAACGGAGGCAUCGUGUGAUAUUUGCAUCCCCACAAUUUCUUAUCAGAUUCAAUUCAUAAAACAAAUAGGAACACGUAUAAAAUUUAAAUAAAAUUCUUUCAAAUUUUUUUUUUGUUUGGUGCGCGCGCGCCAAAAAUUGAAAUUUUGCAGAUUAAAUUACUACCAGAUGAUGAAGUACAAAACAAAAAUCAUCAUAUUCUGACAAUGACACAUAAUAGAAAACAAAACAAAAAAAAAAUCGAGACUUACGUUGUCAUUCAAAGCUUUGAUCCAAUUUGAGCAUCCUGAAACAGGGUUUUUCUUAAUCAUUCUUAGCGUUUUCUUCGUGAAGUUUGACUUUAUAUGCAAAGGAAAGUAGGUCACUAAUUAUUAAAUUAUCAAAAUACCCUUGACAUUUAAGUGUACAGGAGCUGACGCUUAAGGGUAUCGUAGUCAUUGUAUGGGUUUAGGCACCCAUUUGGGACGAAUAGAAAACUACCGUCCUUAUUUGAGAAAUAAUGCUAUUUGACACAGAAGUAUAAAUAAAUUCUCAACUUCCUCCCGUUUCCGUGAAAAUUUUGUUUUCAGUGCAGUGGAAUUGAAUUAAUCUGAAGGAAAAAAAAAAUUGUUGGUAUGUGGAAAUUAUACUUGAAACGUUGUCGUUUUUGGCAUAAUUGCUGUGAUAUACUUAUUUGCUUUGUGUUUUUAUUUCUUUUUUCUGGGUUUUAGGGUCACAAUCGGAGAGAGAAGACAAUGUCUCGUUGGAACUCUCUGAAGAAGUUCUUCAGAGCAUGGAAGUGGGCAUUUCUUUUAGAGAUUAUGUAAGAGAAUCUUCUAAUAAGUUUCUGUUUGAGGAACAUACUUGAUUUGCGUUUUAAAUGUAUCUGUUUGUUAAUUCAGUGUCGUUUUGUAUUGAUUCGUGUUUUAACAGAAUGGGAGAAUUAGUUCCUUGGAUUUUCAUAAAUCAUCGAGUUAUUUGGUGACGGCUAGUGAUGAUGAAUCUAUACGGCUGUACGAUGUCUCUGCUGCCACUUAAGUUGAUCCUCUGUUUCUUAGGAUUUUAUGUUGUCUCUUGGGAAGUGCUUUUAACUAAGAAAUGGCUUUUGAAUAAGUAUAAAAAGCUGGUUUCAAUCUUGCAAUGUUUGUUUGAAAUUGCAGGAAUAAUAAAGUGUCUCUUUUGAAAUCAAAGGAACCCUUGAAGUGUUUUUCUGGGGAAGUGCUUGAUAUCUGCUUUCAUGGAUAGAACUUUUUGGAUUAGGAAACCACUUGUAGUGCUGUUUGAAGAAGUGCUUCAUAUAUGUUUCAAAGUGAUUUUACUCGAGGGUACUUUCCAUUAAAGCAUUGCUGAACGUAUCAUCUGCGUGUUUGAUGAGCUCAUGAAAGCUACUGUCUUUCUAAGAUGGAGAAAAAUGCUUUUUAGAUGAAACAGAAAAAAAAAAAAAAAAAUAGAACCUUGGAGUGGUUUUCGGGGAAGUGCUUAAGGGAAAUGUAAUUGAUAUAUUUUUCAAGAACUUUUGUAAAAAGGCCUUUUCUUUUCUUUCUUUUUUUUUGUUUGCAUAAGCUCUUUCUAUAAGAUCACUGCCAAAUGCACUUCAGUUGUCUUAGCUGAGCAUGAUAGUUGGUAUUGCAAUUGUUGCUGAGAGCCUUAAUUGAAAUUUCAGAUGUUUGAAGACAAUUAACAGCAAAAAAUAUGGGAAUAUUUGUAUUUUGUUUGUUGGUGGAUUGCUUUACUAGGCACUUAUUUGAUACGUUCAUUUAUUCAGAAUCUCUACGGCUUCUUUCCUCGCACGAUAACAAGUACUUGCGUUACUUCAAAGGUCAUCAUAACAGGUUUGUAAUUCACUUAUUCUUGUAAAUAUUUCGUAAUUAUUAUUAUCUGUAUAUAUGUUUUACUGCUUCUAGGGUUGUUUCACUUAGCCUGUGCUCCUCCAAAGAUUGCUUUAUCUCUGGUUCUCUUGGUCAAUCUGUUCUGCUCUGGGAUCAACGGGCUGAGAAAUGCUAGGUGGAUAUCAUGCCAUCCACCAUUUUCAAUUGUAUUUAUGAUCUCUGUUGGCAAAUACGGGUCUUUUGCAUGUUCAAGGAAGGCCUGCUACAGCAUAUGAUGAUCAAGGGCCUGUCUUUGCAGUUGCCUUUGGAGGAUACAUAAGAAUGUUUGAUGCUCGUAAGUAGGAGAAAGUUAAAAUUAAUAUUUAAAAACAUCUUGGAAGUUUAUAUGUCGUACUUUUAUCAUGCACUAAUUUGGUUAAAUUUGGAUACAUCUUCUCUGAUGGUGGAGAUGUAUCAGAUUCUGAUGCUGGAAAGUUCAGCAAUGAUGGGAGACUUAUGCUUCCGACCUCUAUGGAAGGACAUAUUCAUGUGCUUGACUCAUUCCAAGGCACACUUGUGAGUUGACUUUUUCUUUCUUCAUCUCCCAAAUGUAACAUAUCGUACGUAUAUACCCCUCUAUACACUGGAAUCUCUGUGAAUGAGCUUCUGUUUACUCUUGUUUUUAUUUAUCCACUUAUGAUGCCAAGCCAGUUUCUCGCAAUUCCACAUUGGAGGCAUCUUUCAGCCCGGUAGAGUUUCUCCUUUCAGUUCUUAGGGCACAGUGACUUGGAUAUUUUGUUAAUAUUUGCUUUUGGCUGUUUUGAUAAUUUAUAUUAAAGUUCUUGCACUUGUGCUGUAUAUAAUUCUCAAAUUUGUUACCACCUUGUUGGUAUAUUGAAAUACACGACUUGAAAUGCUGGGCAUCAAGCUUGUUUCCGCAGAAUUCUUUGAAAUAAAUUCAUUUUCUCUUCUUCAUUGACUUGGUUUGAAACCCACUCCCAUCCAUGCAAAUCCAAAUGCGUACGUAUUUUCAUCUGGUUGUGCUUAUUAAUAAAAAUAAAUCAAUGAAAUGCUCAAACAGCAAGUGCACCCACACAUGUGGAAGCAGCCUAGUGUGGCCAAGCACCUCUCAUUUGUUUUAUGUGAUACAAUUGGUUUGUUGCACUCUUUGUGCUAAUUUUACUUUCUCGGUUUGGAAGGUUCUGAUGAUGGUAGUGGAUAUGCUUGGAGUGUACGGAGCGGGAAAGGGGUAUGAUAAGCAAAAUUCCUGGAUUCUCAUGCCUUUUGAAUGCUUAGAAUUCAAAGGGAUGUUAUUUCCCUUACAUUGACCCCAGUCAUAGCAUUCAUUGUCUUCUAGCCAAACCAACAAUGCUUUUGAAUCUACAUUUGAGCUUUGUAUAAGAAGUUGCACCAAUUAUGUAAGGAGAUGUUCAAUUUCCUAUAGUAGUAUGUAAAUGCAUCUGACUUACCUGCUAGUAACCUUUCCUAACAAGUUCUGAAGAAACAACAGUAGAUCUGGUAUCAGUACUUUAUUCAGAAGAGCAUUUCUUCUUACAUGCACAGCUAAGAGUACAUGAAUUGAGCUACUGAAGCCCUUCCUGACCAACCUGGCUAAGGCUCCGUUCAGUUUGUCCUCUUCAUGGUUCUUUGGCAGGCAACAGCGUAAGCAAUUACCUGGACUAUGAGGCCUUUUGUAGCGGGGUGGGCACUGCCUAGGCAGUUUUUGAAAAAAUUAGGAGCUUUAUUUGUCAUUGACAUUUGUAGCACGAUUAGUUGUUACCUGGAUUAAGUUGUAUAUAUUACAUCGUAUACCUAAUCUGACAAAUAACAGGUUGCAAUCCAAGUUUUGUUGAUCAUGAAGGGUUUGAGCAUGAUAGUCCAUUUAGGUCAUUAGGUCUCCCUCGAAUUGCCACGUACACACUUCAAUCCUCUCAACGAGCGUCCCCGCAACGUCACACUCCACAAUAAUCUCAAAUAAUUUAGAACAAUUAUUUACUUCUGGCUGCUCUUAUCUCCCUUCUCACCAACCGAGUCACUGGUUGGUUACAUUUUACUAACACCGCCGAAUGAGAGAUCAUAAUCCCUAUUACGUGUCCACCCUAACUGACCACAACAUUGUCAUUUUUGAUCUAGCGUUAGUAACGCGUUGUUAAAUUGUCAUAGCUUCGAAACCGCUUUAUUUUUGGACUCAAGGCACAAAAAGGAUAAUAAACAAUUUUAAAAGAAAUUAAAGAAAGAAGUAAAAAGUAAUAAAAACUGGUAUUACAGGUAUUCUACUAUUCUUCUUCUCAUGAGCCGACUUUUUUCCCCAAAAAAUAAUAAAUAAAUAAAUAAAAUAAAGUAAAAAGGAAAGAAUAGUUAAUGCACUUCUCUACGUAAACGGUGUACAAUCAUUCUGGAGUCUGCAAGGGCCUUCAAGGGACCAAUUUAACGAGUUUCAAAUAACAAGUUUAUUUAUUUAUUUAUUUAUUUCUUUGGAUGAAAUAACAAUUUUAAUUAAAUAAUACAAAUAUAACUUAUGUACAUUUUUGCUUCUUGACCCUCUGUGUUGAAUGAGAACGAAACUGACAGAUAAGGACAGUAUGGCGUAUCUCUUGUUUAUUUCUUUGAAUUCCCCUCUCUUUAUUCUCUCUCAAUAGCCCUAUCUACAACCCUAUUCCUUUUUAUAAUCCUUUAUCACGCUACAUAUAUCGUAGCGUACUAUUAAAAUUUAACAGUGGGAUUACUUAGAAAUUUGAUAAGCACUCCGCUUCUCCCCCACCCCACCCAAAAAAAUAUUAUAGGUUAAGUGGAUGUAAAUUCUAAUGAUUAACAUGUUGGGAUUAUAUGCUCUUUUAAAGUAUAGUAAUUUAUUUUCUGAUUAAUAAAAUAUUUGAGAUAUUUUCAAUUGCAUAAAUAUAUAUUGAAUAAUGUCCGUUUAAUCAUAUUAUAUGUAUUUUUGUGAUUAUCAUAUAGAUUCACAGAAAACAUAAAUACAAGUUAUCUUAUUAUUAAAUAAAUUCAGUUCGCAGUUGAUAAAUAGAGUUGGACGCUCUAUUUAUGUUUAGACUGUAGUAAAUUUAUUGCAUGAUUUGUCUUAAUCAUAUAUGAAUUUAUUGAUGUAGUACGAUUACAUUGAACAUGAACACAUAUGAGAUUUAAUUAACCUUGAAAUGACUGUCAGACUUAUUAAAUCUCAUAGGCAUUGAUUUUACUGUAAUCUUAAUAUUGAGUUAAUUAUGAUUUCAUGAUUGUAAUUGUUAUUCCAUUUGAGUUACCAAUGGGCACAACACACAAUUGUGGUCAAGAUUACCUAGUAUCUUGGUGGGAGCAUUUAUGAGUAUUGGAGUUAUACAUUAACAAUAUAGAAUUUGUACAACACAUCCUUGAUGAGUUUUUGGCACUUGAUCAUAGAAUUCUCUGGCCAGAGUGUGUCAACAUAUUUAGUAUGUUGAAAAUGAUCAUUAGAGAAAACAAGUAAGCAUCAAGGAAUAAGAUGUAAUUAAAUUGAUUAGACAGUUGAGAUAUCGAUUUAAUUAAUGAUGUGGUACAAAGGAUUAUGCAGUAAAAAAAUUGAUGUGGCCUGCGACGAAUUAUUAUUCGAGCAUACAAUUAUGGAAGUUAGUUCCAAUCUUUUAAUGGAGUAUAUUUGGAAUUAAAUAAUUAGGCUAGUUUAAUUAUAGGCCUAAUUAUUAUAGCCACUAUUGUAUGUUCCCAAAUGAUUCCCGGGUUAGCUCAUUUAAUUGACUACGCCACUACUAGAUUAAUAAACAAGAUAACUAGUUAUUUGGGUUAAAAGCCUAAAUAUAUUAUUUAGUGGGAGGCUUCAAGUAAUGUACUUGUGUCUAAGGGGCAUUGUGUUAUUUUACAAAGUGGGCCCCUAUGACAAGAAAGAAGUAACGUUACUUUUAGUUUAUUAUUUUUAUUUAAAUCAAACUUGAUUUAAUAGAAUUAAAUAAUAUAAAAAAUGGAGUCUAGGGUUUCCACUAGAGAAAAAUAUAAAAGGGCUUAUUUUCUCCCAAAAGAAACAAGCAGCCACUUUAUACAGAUCAGAGAAAAAGAUUUUUCUCUCCGUUGUUGAGAGAAAAAUUUUCUCGUGCUAGUUACUUUGGUAGUGAUAAAGGCGUUCACACGUCAAAUGCAGAUCAAACCUGAGUCAUAACAUAGAAGAUCAUUGGUGACAGUUCGUGAUCUAACAAGUGUUGUGGUCACGGAUCGUGAUCUAACAAGCGUGGUGGUGACAGAUCGUGAUCUAGGAGCCUAAAUCACUUCAAUGGAAAAAGCCAAAUCGGAUUUUCAAUGUACGAUUUCUAGAUUACGUAUUCAUAUAUAUUGUAUGAAAUCAGUCCUAAAACAUUUUAUAAAAAUUUAAAAUAUAGAUUUUUCUCCAACAAUUGGUAUCAGAGCCAUCUUAUAUUAAUAUAUAAUAAUAUUGUAUGAAAUCAAUCUUGAUAUUUAUGUAUUAGAGUGGCACAACUUAUUCAGAUAUAUAUUAUUUAUUUAAUAUAUGAAUAAAAUAUGUUUUUGGUUUGUCUUAAUUCAUGAUUAGAUUCUUUACUGUUUUUUUUUUUUAUCUGUAACAAGAGGAGUGGUUUAUUAUCACCAUAUUUCCCUCUUAAUUUAGUUUAUUGUUAUAGAAAUUUUGUAAGCCUAAAUUGGUGUAGGAAAUUUGUAAGUCACUAGAGUAUAAUCAUGGAUGUCAGAUCAAAGCAACGAAUGCCGGAAAUUUCAGCGUCAGCCAGCGGUGCAUGAUGCACGCGCAGUGGCCAGCAGCACACGCUGCCAGCAGCUGCAGCGCGCGCAAGUUUAGUGCAUUUCCGACGACGCGGCAACGGGUGGCUCGGCGUCGGAGGUCGGCUGGUGUCUGAACAAUGGCAGAGGUUUUUGGAGAUGGCGGCUGGGGAGAAGGAAAAGAAAAAUAAGGAUUUUAGGGUUUCAUGGUUUCUAUCAUUGAGGUCCCUAUAGUUUAAUAAUUAUUUCUUUUGGGCAGUUAAGUUUUAAGCAUUUAAGUCUAAAAAUAGUUUUGGGCUUAAAGAAUCUUAGUUUUAGGCCCAAUUGAAAUUUGGGCUUAAUAGAUUAAAAUACAUAGAUAAAAUUGAACACAUUAAAUUUAUUUUUUGUCCAAAAAUUUUAUUUUAAUAAAAAAUUUAAUUAUUUAUUUAUUUCCUUCUAAAAAAUUAAAAUUGGACCAAUAAUAAAUUUAAAAGCUCAAUUUCCCCUAGUCCAUUAACAAAGAUAAGCCUAUGGAAGGUGGAUAUUGACAAAAAGCCCAAUGAAGAUUAAGCUUAUGGUUAAUGUAUUUUUUUAGGAAAGCCAUGAAUUAAGAUUAUUUAAUUGUAUUUCUAUAUGUUCUGUUUUGGAUGAUAAUAUGCCAUGAUAACAUGUCAUAUAGAAUAGGUAGUGUCACUCUAUGCAUAAUAUUACAUGUCAUUAAUUAAUUAUGAAUCUUAUUAUAUUGUUUGUAAUUUGCAAAUGCUUAAAUAAUAUUGGAUAUCAUAUAGAUAAUAUUAUAGGAAGCAUGAAACAAUAUGUAUGUUUUAAAAAAAGAAAAAACCAAUUUUAAAAUAUUGAGUGGGAGAGGGAAAAUUCAAAAUAAUUUUUCCCACGGGCUCCAUUGUUAGUUCAAUAAUAAAAUUAUAUAUAUACCUCGACUUCAUGAUACGGUGAUGCUCCUUAUGGAGGGUAUAUAUACUAGAUAUUUUAUUUGCUGAACUUUUUCAAAGAUAAAAUUGAAUAUUUUUCAAUCAAUUGUUCACUCCAACGGUGACUAUUGAUAUGAAAAAUACGUAGAUUGAAACAAUGGUUAUACCCUCAACUAAAAGUUGUUUUUAACCUUCCCAACAAAGCUCUGUUAACAACUUUAGGCCCAAAGGGAUAACGAUAAUUAUUUAUCAUGUCUUUACAUGAAAGUAAAUAAUUCAAUGGAUAAUUGGGUCUAGUAAGCAUAUAUUUGUUAUUUUGUUGUGAAUGGGACAUAUAUGGCACCAUUUGCUCCCGUGACCGAUCUUUAUAACAGAUCCAAUUACCCUCGUUAUAGUCACUAGAUAGAAAGCUAACAUAGCACAAUUAUAAUAUGUAAUGUAAGUGAUAGUAGAGUCACAAAUUAUUGUAUAAAUUUAUUUUAUAUAAAUUGAUGAUAAUAUAAAAUAAUAAAAAUAUAAAUCAUGUAGACCAAGAUGUAUUUAAUAUAACUAAUAAAAUUUUACUAGAUUAGUUUAUAUAAGAAUUUGUAAUUUUAUUAUUACUCAUGGUACUUGAACAGUGGCUGAUUGGUUAGCUAGUGGUAUAAGUGGCAACGACCAAAUUGUUGAGUCUCUGACGUGGGUUCUCAAAAUGAGUCAAGAGUCCAGAAAUUAGCUAUCAAGUUAUGACAAUAUUUGUAAACAUGUCUUUGAGAUGAUACAUUGUCAUCAUCAGCAUCAUAUCCUAAUUGAAAAAGAAGGAUUGCGAGGGAAACUAAGCAUGUGCCUUCAUUUUCACUUGAAAUAAAGCGCGAUGGAAAGAUCUCAUGUUAUCACAUAAUGCCGUGUGAUCACCUAAAAGCCCUUCCACACACAUUUCUUCUCAAAUUGUCUUAUUCUAAUUUCUUGGACCACCGCGGAACCACAAUGUCAAUGCGAGGAUGAGCGAGUGCUGUUCAGCUCGCAGCAUUUGGAGCCGGAGCUCGGCUUCCUUUAUUUUUUCGUCUUCUGCUGGUAGACAUUGCCAAAAGGCAAAGAGGAUCCUCUGGCGUUCGUGGAGUUGGUCCUCGAUGCGAUUGAUUUCUUCUCCAAGUUGAGCAAGCCUUUGUGCCAUAGCCAUAUAAUUAUUUGCUUUCGACCGACAUAAUUCUUCUCUAAAAAUUUCAGGGAGCACUUUUCAUCUACACCCAAAUAUUUCAUCAGAAUUUUGUUGUAUGCACACUUACUUCAACAACUAUCACGACUCACUCUUUUUGUUAAAUAUUGUUAUUGCCAUUAAUUUUGAUAUCUUUGACGUUAAAAGACAAUUUUGCCCUUAUUUAUAUUUUUUAAUGCAAAAUUACUAGAAAACCACAACACCAAUUUCAAAUUUCAAUUCACCUGUGUGGAUAUUAAAUUUAAUUUUGACAUCUUUGAUAUUAAAAGAUAAUUUUGCUCUUAUUUAUAAUUUGUUAAUACAAAAUUACCAGAAAACCCAACAUGAAUUUCGAAUUCCAAUUUACCUGUGUGGAUAUUAAAAUUUCGUAAAGGUUAGAAAAAAAGUAAAAAGUUUUUGUUAUGAAGAUCAAAAUAUCCCCUCUGCCAUCAUCCAUAAACGUCCAUUCUUCAUAACAAUCUAGUAAACUUGAAAAAGCAAGAAAUCCAAUCCCAGUCAAUCAAAAAGCCAAAAUUCUUCAUAAAGUUUAGCUUUUCUUGAAAAAUUUUAAUUCUUGAGACCCUAAAUUAACCGAUAUUCAACCCUAAAUUAACCGAUAUUCAAAGUCACAUGUUUCUAUAACGAAAAUCUUCAAAAAUAACACUCAAAUGAAAAUCUUCCAAGUAAAUAAAAAUCUAUAUUCAUAAUAUUUAUGAAUAAAUUGUAAAUAAUAUAAAAUGGUCUAAUUGAAUAUAGAGUGAUUUACAAUUUUAUAGUGCAUUCACUAAAUAGGAAUCAAAAUUAAUUGGAAACAUAAUGAGUUAGAAUCGAAAUAACUAGAAUCGAAAUAAGGAAUUAGAAUCAGAAUAAUUUAUUUACUUGAACUGCAUGAAUCGUAAUUAGAAUGAGCUAUUUAUAUGUUUAUUUUAUCUUAAAAUCAAAAUCGGAGUGAGUUAAAUUGUAUCAAAUUACUAUAAGACCCUUAAUUAUUUUUUAUCAUAAAAUAGUUAAUUAAUGUUUAUCAUAAUUAUUAAUUUUAAUUUUAAUUAUCUUGAUUAUUAUUAUUAUUAAAAAAUUAAUUAUUAUUGUUAAUUAUUAUUAUUAUUAACAAUUUAACUAAAAAAUUAUUAUUAAUUAUUGUUAAUAGAUUAAUUAAUUAUAAUACUUUUUAUCCUUGUUAUUAAUAAUAAUAAUAAUAAUAAUAAUAAUAAUAAUCCAUUUAAAAAUUAUAAUUAUAAUAAAAUCAUUAUUAUAAUUAUAAUCCAUUUAAUAAUAAUUAUAUUUUUAAUUAAAUGGAGGGUAUUUUAGAAAUUUAAAAAUUAUAGGGGCGAAUUGAUACUGUAAGGGUUUUAAUGCAAUAAAACAAAGUAUAAGGGGCUCAAUGAAAAUUUACAAUACAAAAAGUUUCACAAUAUUUAGGAAUAAAUUAUAAAUAAUAUAAAGUGUAAGGGCUACGUGAGCAGUAACUUAGGUGGCCCCUUUGCAAAUAACUAUUGUGAUUAGUGAGGCGCACCCAUCAAGUUCAUUGUAGCUGAAUGUAGAGGGCCUCGUGGAAGUUUAAGUUGUAGGGUCCCAAUCAAAAUGUGGCACUGACACAUUUAUCAAACAAUAUGAUUUUUUGAUAAGGACAUUAGUUUUGUAUUCAUAUCAAGCAGGUCCCUAACUUGUUGGGUUGGCAACGACACGGGAUUUGUCAAUCCCAGUCCCAUUCCGUAUAAAGUGCCGUAUAUGCAAAUGAGAUAAAAAAAAAAUCUUAUUCCUAUUCUUUUAUUUUCUUUUGCGACAAAAAUUUGUCAUGAUCUCGUCUCAUUAAAUAUCUUAUCCCAUCUCAUUAUCUUGAACAGUUUUAAAGGUAAAUAAAUAAAUAGACUUUUUUUUAAAGAUCAUCACAAUUCAAUAUAGCAAAAUUUUUUAAAUAAAUACAAAGUAAAAUAAUCAAAUAAUAGUUUUAUUUUGACUAAGUGCAUGUUCAAAUAUAAUUUUAUAUUAACAUUUUUAAUAGUCUAUUUGCUUCCAUUGCACAUUAAUAUUAAGACUUACACUUCAAAAACUAUAGAUUUAAAUAGUAAUCACUUCAACAAUGUUAAAAUAUCUAAUAAUUGAAUAAUAUAAUAAUAAACAAAACCAACAAGGUUGGUAAUGGAAUGGGAUGAGACGAGAUUUGUCCAUUCCAGUCUUAUUCCGUUUAUACAAGUGAGAUAAAAAAAAAUCUUUCAUUCCUAUCCUUUUAUUUUUUUGGGAUAAAAAUAUAUCUUAACUCUAUCCCAAAUGAAAUAGGAAAAAUUACCAUCCCUACUAACUUGGUGUAAUGACUAAAAGUUGAUUGAAAAAUAUAUAGUUUAAUUUUACAUUUAAUUUUUUUCAUUUUUUUAUUAAGAAUUAAUUGAAAAAUUAUUUUAUUCCCUUAAUUUUACCAGAAUCCCAUUGACUUAACCCCUAGUCUCUUGAUUAAGGCUCCGUUUGGUGCAGCUUUUCAAGCAAAACUUAUUUAAGUAGAGCUUUUGAUAAUAGAGCUUUAAGAAUUUAGUUGUUUGGUUGUCAAUAAGAACUUUUAUUAAAAAUCUAUGAAAUUGCUUUAAUAGAUAAGUUUUCUUAAGUUAUGUUAUGAAAAGAAUAAAAUAAGAUUGUUAAAUAAGUAAAGGAUAUUUUAGAUAUUUUAACAUUUAAAAAAAGUUUUUCAACCUCUACUCCCAAAAGCUCAAACUUUGAGUUUUUGUCAAUAGAGACGAACUAGCUUAUUUAAGCUCUAAAAGCUCUACAAAAAAAAAAAAAAAAAAAAAAAAACAACCAAGCAACAACAAAAAUUAUGAUAAGAGCUUAUGAGAUUAAAUAAAUACGUAUGACCAUUAGACAAGCCAUAUCAAAUAGGCAGUAAAGCGUUUUUAAGUUCAAAAGAUUCAGAUAACUCACUCGAUUACAGGGCGUCUACACCUUAUGCUCGCAUUUGUUGUGAUGCCAGUAGAUGUUGUGACUGUGGUUGUCGUUGUCGAUUGUACUUGAAUUUUGCAGGAGAGCUUAAUAUCCUCCUUAGUAAUUAAGCGUUGCAUCAGUUAUUUUUAAAAAAAAUUAUAUUAGAGUUAUUAUUAAAAAAUUGUAUUAUAAAAUAAAAAUUAAUAAUAUGUAAUAAAUAUGAUUUUUAAAAAUUCAUUUUAUUAAAAUUAAUUAUUUUUAUUUUUAUUAAAUAAAUAUAAAAUUAAAUCAACUUAAUUAUUAAAUUAUAGUGAUUAGUAUUUAUUAAACACUUUAAUAUAGUAACUUUUAAAAUUAUAAUCGACUAACCUUAAUCCAAGAGCCUGAAAUGAUUGUGCAGUUCGGGAUUUUCAAUUUCCUUUCUUUUUGGAACUGGCUUGGGAUUGUCCAAACACGUUAUUGACUGCCUUUGACAGGGAGUAUGGGGACAAAUCAAUUUUGUUUCCUGCAAAACCCUUGAAAUAUUAGUCAACUUACGUAUACCACUUUUGGACCCAUUUUGUCAGCAAAAAGAAAGAGUGGAGCAUUUGUACUCUAAAUUUAACUUUAGACAGUCGCAUUUUAACAAAUUUUUAUAUUACUAAAUUAACCUUAAUAUAAUUUACUAUAAAAGACAAUUUAGUAAUAUAAUAACUUUUAAAAUUAUUAAAUAAAUAUAAAAUUAAAUCAACUUAAUUAUUAAAUUAUAGUGAUUAGUAUUUAUUAAACACUUUAAUAUAGUAACUUUUAAAAUUAUAAUCGACUAACCUUAAUCCAAGAGCCUGAAAUGAUUGUGCAGUUCGGGAUUUUCAAUUUCCUUUCUUUUUGGAACUGGCUUGGGAUUGUCCAAACACGUUAUUGACUGCCUUUGACAGGGAGUAUGGGGACAAAUCAAUUUUGUUUCCUGCAAAACCCUUGAAAUAUUAGUCAACUUACGUAUACCACUUUUGGACCCAUUUUGUCAGCAAAAAGAAAGAGUGGAGCAUUUGUACUCUAAAUUUAACUUUAGACAGUCGCAUUUUAACAAAUUUUUAUAUUACUAAAUUAACCUUAAUAUAAUUUACUAUAAAAGACAAUUUAGUAAUAUAAUAACUUUUAAAAUUAUUAAAUAAAUAUAAAAUUAAAUCAACUUAAUUAUUAAAUUAUAGUGAUUAGUAUUUAUUAAACACUUUAAUAUAGUAACUUUUAAAAUUAUAAUCGACUAACCUUAAUCCAAGAGCCUGAAAUGAUUGUGCAGUUCGGGAUUUUCAAUUUCCUUUCUUUUUGGAACUGGCUUGGGAUUGUCCAAACACGUUAUUGACUGCCUUUGACAGGGAGUAUGGGGACAAAUCAAUUUUGUUUCCUGCAAAACCCUUGAAAUAUUAGUCAACUUACGUAUACCACUUUUGGACCCAUUUUGUCAGCAAAAAGAAAGAGUGGAGCAUUUGUACUCUAAAUUUAACUUUAGACAGUCGCAUUUUAACAAAUUUUUAUAUUACUAAAUUAACCUUAAUAUAAUUUACUAUAAAAGACAAUUUAAUAAAUUUUUAUCAUAUGAACUUUUAUCUACUAUAAACCACAUCAACAAUGAAAUAUUGAACCAAUGUUCACGUCGGAACUUUAUCUAUACUUAUAGACUAGAUUUUUUUUUUUUUUUGGUUAAUAGAAUGGCUAGAAAAACAUCAAGUUGCAUGUUCUAUCUCUUAUAACUGAAACAAAAGGAAUUACAAGCGGAGGUGCAGAACGAACAAUAAGUCUAUAAAUAUGAAAUAAAAUCGACAUAACUUCUAACAACUGCUAACUAUAAUCUUGAGCAAGACCUUAAUUUCCUCUCAGUUUUACAAUUAUUUGCUUUUGAGUGAGCUCUGAUUAUAAAUUUAUCCAUACAUGAAGUUACACUAGAUACGAAAUUACGUGGGCAUAAUUAUUCUUAGAGAAUUAUUUUUUCCUUUAGGAAUUCGUGCAAAUUAUCACUUUCUUUUUCCACUUUCCUUGAGAUAUUAUAUUUGACCUUUUUUAAAUAGUGCUCAUUUGUUUACGGAGUUUUUUUUUUAAUAACCAUUUCUAACCGUUUCAAACAAUUUGGUUCUAAAUAUAAAAUUUAGACCAUCUAUAAAUGCAGCCCUCUCACAUAAAUAGUAUCCAGUCCUAAGUCCACAGCCAGGUUUGUGAGAGAGCUCUCUACAUUAUAGAUGCUGUAAGGCAGUAGGGGUGUAAAAAAAACCCGCUCGGACCGGACCUGGCCCGGACCCGGCCAAUUCGGUCCGGGCAAAACCCGGACCACAUGCACUGAAAAUGCGGGUUCGGGUUUAAGAUUCCAAACCCUACCAUUUUCGAGCACGGGUUCGGGUUCAACACCAAAAAUCUGGAACCCGGAACCGGACCCGGUUUCUAAAUUAAAAAAAUAUAUAUAUAAAAACAAAAAUGUCAAAACCCAAAUCCCUAAUUGGCUAAUUCCCGAUUGAAAGAGGCAUAAGCAGCAAGCCAACAACGUUGUCACCGGCAUCAUCUCUUCUCGUCACCGUCGGCAUUCGGCAUUAACCACCACCCACUGUCACCGUCGCUCGUCGGCAUCAUCUCUUCUCGUUUGCUGACUCGGCUUGGCACGCGGCUUUACUCGGUUGCUCCAUCUCCAGUGGCAGUGUGGCUGUGACUCAGUGACAGUGAGUCGUUCGUGCAGGUGAGGCCUGCUUCUGGGAUAUUUUUCUGGAAUUUGGCCUCUUCGAGUUGCUUGUCCUGCUUCCUGACAUGUUCGGCAGCUGCGAUUGCAGAUUCCUUGGAGUCCUUAACAACUUUGAGCUUGGUGGUCAACUCGAGCAUGGUUCUUUUAGCCCUCUCAAGAUCGCCAAGUGCUCGAGCUCUUGUGCUUUCAGAGCUCUCUAACAGUUUCUUAGUUCUUUCGAUUUCUUUCCGGGCCAAGAGAAGCUGCGUCGUCAGCGCCAUCGUCUCCAACUCUCCAUUGCCACUUUCUCAACCACCAUCUCCAACUCUGCUUCUCAGCUUCUGCAAGAGAGAAUUGCAUGCCAUAUUGCCAUUAUUAUUAAGUUACUAUAUGCGGGUUUCUAAGCCCGGACCAAAAACCCGGACCCAGGUGGUGCCGGGUUUGCGCCUGGCCCGCACCCGGAAAAUCGGGUUUUAACCCGGGUCCGGAUUUUUUGUCCACUCAUCCGGUCCGGUCCCGGGCAACACCAAAACCCGGAUCGAACCCGGAUUUUGCCAAGCCUAUAAGGCAGCCCUCGCCAAACCUAAAUAUAAGAUUGAAUCAAACUCUUUUCGAAUUCGAAUUUCUUUCAAGCUCAAAUACGUCGCUUGGCUUUUCUUAUAUUUUAAGGUACAAUUGGGUUUGAUUUCUAUCCACUCUUAAGGUGCAGUAAAUCUCAACAUUCCAAAUAUAACCCUUUUGACACAAUUCACUUUCUAUUUGGGAAUGGCAAAAAACCCCAUGAGAUGGGGUUGGGGAUUUUUCCCAUUUAAGAAGGGAAAAAUAACAAUUUUAUGUUUAGGGUCUGAUAGGAAUGAUUUUUUGCCCAAUUUUUUUUGGGGAAGGUACAAAGAUGAGCUUGAAUCCUGAUUCUCUUCCCAAUUCGCCAUUUUCUCAAUUUAAUUUUUAAUUCUAAUUUUAUUUUUUAAAAAUAGUAAUGAAUCAAUAAUAAAAUCUAAAUUAUAAAAUAUUAAAUAUUAGUAUAAAUAACAAAUAUCAAUAUAUUUAUACAAAUAUAUUUUGAAAUUUUUGGGCCCAACUAAAUAGAAAUUCUAUUUUAACAUUCAUACAUUUUCAAAAUUAUUAAACUAAAAGAAUCCAGAAUCAAUUUUUCCUUGUGAACUUCUAUUAAAAUUUCACUGCGGUUUAAAAAAAAAUUAAAAAUUAAAAAUCCAUCCCAAAACCGAUUGCUACAAUACUGAGCCGCAAAAGUCAACGCCCGACACCCCACAUUUCAAUUUCAAAUCCAAACUUAAAUCCACCAACAGACACUACGCAAAACAAAUCUACUUGAAAUGAACAGCAAGUCUAAAUCGAAAUCGAAAUGAAAACCUUUAUGAGAGAGAAGUAAGAAGGCUUCGUUGUAUAAAGAGAAUAGCGAUUGAAGACAGUGUCUUCACGAUCGUCGUACGUAAAGCAUACGGAGAUCGGAGACUGUGUACUAACGAUCGAGGGCUGUGUCAAGACUGUCUUCACGAUCGUCGUAUGUGAAGCAUACGGAGAUCGGAGACUGUCUUAACGAUCGACGACAAACUGUCUUCACGAUCGUCCUAUGUUAAGCAUACGGAGAUCGGAGACUGUGUCUUAACGAUCGAGGGCAAACUAUCUUCACGCUCGUCGUAUGUGAAGCAUACGGAGAUCGGAGACUGUGUCUUAACGAUCGAGGGCAAACUGUGUUCACGAUCGUCGUAUGUGAAGUAUACGGAGAUCGUAGACUGUGUCUUAACGAUCGAGGGCUGUGUCGAAACUGUCUUUACGAUCGUCCCAUGUGAAGUAUACGGAGAUCGGAGACUGUGUCUUAACGAUCGAGGGCAAACUGUCUUCACGCUCGUUGUAUGUGAAGCAUACGGAGGUCGGAGACUGUGUCUUAACGAUCGAGGGCAAACUAUCUUCAAGAUCGUCGUAUGUGAAGCAUACGGAGAUCGGAGACUGUGUCUUAACGAUCGAGGGCUGUGUCGAAACUGUCUUCACGAUCGUGGUAUAGAGUGAAUAGAGAGAGAGGGGGCUGUGUUAAACAGAAAGAUUGAAUGCUGUGCCGUGUAGAGAGAUCGAGAAGAAGAGAGAAGAUGGCGGCGCCUGUAGCAGAGCACGGGCUCAUAUUUAUAGGAGAGGGAUUACGGCAACUUAACGGCCGUUAUGACCGCAAAUUGCCUCUGUUAGAAUUAACCGAGAAGUCACGGGAUUACCUGCUGAUCAUCAGCAUCUGGGAAUCUUAUGAGUUUGAACAUCAAACAUGCAUGCUAAACUAUCCACUAAUAUAUAUAUAUAUAAACCGAAAGCUCAGUCAUUUAAACGAUAGCAUUCAGCGAUGAACAACAAUAACUUAAACAUGGAUGUAACUCAAAAUUUAUCUUCACCUGACAGCCAGACAUACGUAUGGUAAAUCGUAGUGGUAGAAGGUUAACAUAUGAGGCAAGUUCAAAGAACAUUUCUCUUUUAUACCAAAAAAAGAAAUAGCUGAACCGGAAGGGACUCACAGUUGAUUAGAGAAUGAGUAUAUCAAUCUAUCUGUGACAAUUUAAUUUAGGUAUACCAUAUGAUUCCAACCUUUAUUACACUAAAAGAUGGUCAUCCCAUCAUUAAUAGAAAAGAAAAAUAAAAUAAAACGGCAAAGUAAUUAAGAAAGAAGUAGAAUUUCAGCUCAACCUUAGGUCAGAAUAGUGUGAGCAUUCUAGAUUUGAUUCAUCUCGUCAUAACCUUCGAACAAGGUAUUAUACACUAGAAACAGACACAUGCGUCCCAAAUUAUGAUAUCCAAAAAUUAUCCUACUCAUGAUUAUCUUAGGUAACUAUCCUACAUUGCAAAUGAAUGUAAUAGCUACGUUUCAAAUUAAAUUCAAAACCAUAAAUUCAAGAGUUAAGUGUUUCUGAAUCAAAAUACCCUCUACGAAUUUUAUAAAUUGGCUUCUAAUUUCAUUAGCAAAAUACACAAAAUCCAAGUGAAUUUCCUCUUCUCUCCCAAACAGUUUUAACAUUUGGCGAUAGAGCUGACGACAAGCAUGAGUAAACAAUGUACAAUAGUGAUACGCAACAAUGAUCAAAGAAAAACAAAUCCUUGAAGUGUAACACCAUGAAAUGAAAAAAUAGGGCGUGGAACAAAUAUUUCUAAUAAUCUUGUUCAUCUUAACCAUAUUUUUUUCAGUGAAAAAUAUUAAUGGCAUCUUAUGUUAUAUUGUUUCAGUAAGAGAAAGAAGAAAAAAGAAAACAAAUCUCUUUCAUAGGGGCUUGACCAAUUUUUUCACGAAAAAUUGACGGCCGUUAUGAGUUCUGUAAAUGCCUCUGUUAGAUUUGAUGGAAAAGUCACGGGGUUACGCGAUGAUCAUCAGCGUCUGAAAAUGUUAUGAGUUUAAUUAGCCAAGAAGAAUUAACCUCCGCUUCAGAUCGAACGACUCCCAAGUAACUACAAACAUAUCACCUUUAUCCUUUUGGUUCCAUCUGCCCACGAAGCUUCAUAUACCUACAAAAUGUUUCUUAAAAUUUUAAGGAAAAAGGAUAAAUACACCCCCAACGUUUAGAUAAAAGGACAAAAGUCCCCCUAACGUUUUAAAAAAUACAUUUACAUCCUCAUUCUCUAACGGAAACAGUAACUUUUAACAGAAAUUAUUGUUAUACCCUUCUAGCAUAUAAAAAAUAUAUAUACAAGUUUAACUUGUGGUAUUAUACCAUAAAAUUUUAUUUAAAUUUUAAACUUGUAUAUUUAACAAUUCUCCACAUGUUAUCAUUUAAACUUGUAUAUUUAUAACUAAUUUUUUAUGUUAUUUAUUAUGGUAUUAAUUGAAAUACAAGUUAACAUUAAUAACCAAUUUUAUUUAUUUUUAUUCUUGAGUAAUGAAUUAAAUUUAUUUGGCUUGAAGAGGGAAUUUGAUAAAAAUUUAAAUAGAGGAAUUGGGUAAUGAGGAUAUAUUUAUAAUUUUAUUAAUAAUAUAUGGACAAAUUGGAUAAUCAACAAUUUUUUUUUAUAUGCUAGAAGGGUAUAACGGUAAUUUCUAUUAAAAGUUAAUGUUUCUAUUAGUGAAUAAGGAUGUAAAUGUCUUUUUUAAAACGUUAGGGGGUUUUUGUCAUUUUGUCUAAAUGUUGGGGGUGUGUUUGUCCUUUUUCCUUUUUUUAAUAAAUUAUAAUCGGACAGCUGGAUCAAAAUUUUCGACUGGGCAAAACGCAAAAUCUACCACGAGUGCUUCAACAACUUCGUUUCAUUUAAAUAUUUAUCAUUUAAUCAGAGUUUGACGAGCAGCGUCGAUGGAAAAUUGAUAGAAAUGAUCCUUACUUUUUUUUUUAUUAUACGAAUAGCAAAUAAAAUUUUCCUUUUUUCAGUUACACAGGUAGGAAAUAAAUUUAUAAAGUCUAGUAUCUACUGUUCGUAAUAUAUAGCAAAUGAAAAUUUUCCAUUUUUCAAUUACACGAACACAUGUAACUGUUUUGUAUAUACCUUUUUCUAGCGGCUUCAAAAAGUUUCAACCUUAUGGAAUGGCACAAUCUUUGUACAUUAUUAUUUUAAUUAAUAACAAGAUUACUGAUCCUGUGCGCCCGGUAAACACUGCUGUGAUUGAGGAAAUGGCGGUUGCUAUUGCUGACUCUUAUCAAAGGCCUUGAUAAAUCGACCAUUUCUUCACAUCUAACUGAGGCAUAAAAGGUAAAAAGCCUAGGUGUAGGAGAGAAAGCUACAACAUAUAUGACACAAAAUCAAUUUGGAUAGGCCUUGCUGAUCAUGUCUGUGAAUGAAGAAGAUUCACCUUGAUGCCAUAGCGUAGCAAAUUAUUAGGAGGCAGGAUGUAUAUGUCGCAUAGUUAAAGGGGGAUUCUAAAUCCUGAAGGGUACAAAGACUUAUGCUUUGAAGCUCAUCUCCCUAUCUAAAACAAGCGAGUUAAGUUCUAUUUGGAAUUGAGAUUGAGAAACUAUAACUUAAAAACUACUGCAUUAAAAUAUUAGGUAAACACUAACUGCUAUAGUUUGGAAAUUAAAUUAAUUUGAUUUUACACUUGUAUAAUGAAAAAUCUAUUAUAUCUUUACUAAUUUUGUCAAAAUUAUUAUUUAAAAGUUAUAGUUGCUACAUAUUGUUAACUUUUAUUUCUUCGUUAUAAUUUUUUUUUUUUUACAGUAGUUGUAACUUAAAAGCCGCUGCACUUUAAUACCAAAUAAGACCGUUGUUAACCAUUUUGAUAGAGUUUGACCAUCUAAUUGACUAAUUCCCCAAAAAAAAAAAAAAGGUAUGGUGGUUACCCGAAUUUUACGUCCACUUAACAUAUAAUUUUUUAGGGGAAGAAAGGGCGGGGUGCUAAUCAAAUUUUUGGAAAAAAAGAAAAAAGAAAAAGCACAAUACUUGUCAAAUCUCUAAAUAACCCUAUUGUUAAACUUUAAUAAUACACUACAAUAAAUGUAAUGUAAAUUAAGUAAUAAAAGAUUAUAGAAAGAUCAAAGAAAUAGGGUUGUAAAUGGGAUUAUUGUGAAAGAAUAAAGAGAGGAAUUCAAGCAAUAAAUAAGAGACACGCCAUACAGCCCAUGCUGUCCUUAUCGGUGUCAAGUUCAUUCUCAUUCAACACAGAGGGUAAACAAGCAAAAAUGUAUAUAAAACACAUGCAUAUUAUUAUUACUAUUAUUAUUUGAGAAGCACAUGCAUAUUAUUUAAUUAAACGUGUUAUUUGGAACUUGUUAAAUUGUUACCUUUGUAGGUCCUUGUGGACUCCAAAUUAAUUGUACGCCUUUUCAACAGAAAAAAGUGCAUUACAUAAUUUUUUCUUUUUUUACUUUAUUUUUGGAAUUUUUUGGAAAAAGCGAUGACUCAUGAGAAGAAGAAGAAUAGUAGAACACGUGGAACAGUCCAAAAAUAUUGUGUAUAAAUAAAUAACGCGGCUUCUGAGUUUUUGACAAUUUACCAUACGUUAAUAACGCUUGAUGAAAAUGUUGCAAUCAGGUAGUGUAGAAUCACUAAUAAAUGAAAUAUGCAAUAAGAAGAGUAAAUAUUAAUAACGCACCAAUAUUACAAAUCAAUAGCUAAGGAUCAAGUGAAAUUUCACCUGCAAAUUAGGACAGCCGAGGAAGCAUCCAUAAACAUAAGAGUAAUUAUACCACUCUGAAAUUUCAUAAGAGAGAAUUAGGACAGCAGAGAAAGAAAUACACAAAGCAAUUUGCAAAGGACAGAGGCAUAAACAUAAUAGUAAUUAUAAAAUUUCAGACUGUAAGAAAAAAGUAAAAAAUGUAUAAUAUUUUUCACAUUAGUCCGACGGUUCGUCAAUGUCUUUGUAAAAAGCAAAUAUUUUCAAAGGUAAAUAACACUCUCCCAAAUGUUUAAUCAAUAAUACAAUUUUUUUUUGAAGAGAUAACUACUGAUUAUAUAUUGAUUCUUCAAAAUAAUUACACAUUUAUCAUAAUAUUAUUUAUUUAUUUUAUAAUUGAUAUAGUACUUUAAAGAUAUUUGAAAAAUUUUUAACUUGACAAUGCUCCUUAAUCAAGGGUGAAGUUUAAAUUAUGUCACAAAAAGUGCUUGAACAAUAUUGAGCAAAGCGUUUACUUGUAUAACUCGAACUGGGGAGCAAACCCUUAAGUGGCUUGACUGAGUUUGCUCCCCAGUUUAAGUCGCAGGGAAGUCGCUUUUGUUGGAAAAACUUGUGCCUCUCGAUUCGAGCGGAGACUUCUAUUCUUGGUUGUGGUACGGACUUAAAGGUGCCUCCCAUAGUUGGGACCCUCCCCAGGAUACCUCGUAGUCAAAAACCAAAAAGAAUGCAUAUGAGGGGAUAAGAAGACUGAAGGUAUGAGUUUGACUAUUAUCACAAUAAUUUCUAUUUCAUAGAUUGAAAUGUGAACAUUAGUGUAUUUUGUGGAAUUUUCUCCGUUACUUUAUAAAAUUACUACAUGUACAUGGAUGAUUGCUUGCUACUGUGAAAGGCGAAACAUUUAAUUUGGAGAAAAUUCCUUCUAGACUGGUAGCAUGGGUCAUAGUUGCCCUAUCGACGAAGUGUUAUUAGCUAAAACCUAUUGCACAUGUCAAUGCAAAAUGGCUUCAAGGUUUCGCUGUAGAACUGAUGACAAGCUUCUGAAAACAACGUGCCAUAUUGAAACACAACAACAAUAAUGGCAGCACCAAUCCAUGCAGUGUAAAAAAUGAAAUGGCCAAUAUUAGAACACGGAAGUAGAUCCAGAGACAACAGCAAGGCCCCAGAACUGGAAAGAAUUUUCUGGAUGAAGUCGAGACUUGAGGUUAGCUGAAUGUGCAUAACAAUACGUGGUUAUGGCUAUAAAAAAAGACCAUAUAUUUAUGGGCUUAGUUUUGCUUUGCACAUUGGCACCCACAAUGCCGAUGAGAGCCGGAAUCAGAUAUUCAAAAAUGUUGGGAUAUGACAUCGACUAGAGGAGAUUUCGCCCACUGCAAAAUCAUUUAAAAUGAUAAAAUCAUCUUCUGCAUAUCCCAUUUUCUUUUAAAAAAAAAUUAAAAUUAAAUAGAUCUUGUAUUAAUUCCUCUCAAUUUGUUUGUCAAUUAUUUGUUUUUGACCGACACAAUUCUUCUCUAAAAAUUUGAGGGAGCACUUUUUAUUUGCACCCAAAUGUUUCAUCAAAAUUUUAUUGUAUACACACUUGUUUCAACAGCUAUCAUAGCUCACCCUUUUCUGUUAAAUAUUGUUUUUACCAAUAAUUUUGAUAUCUUGACGUUAAAAGACAAUUGUACCGUUAGUUGAAAUUUUUAAGUAUAAAAUCACCAAAAAAACCACAACACUAGUUUCAAAUUCCAAUUGACCUGUGUGGAUAUUAAAAUUUCUUAAAGGUUAAGAAAAAAAAGGUAAAAAUGCUUUCUUAUGGGAAUCAAAAUAUCCCCUAUACCAUCAUCCAUAACCGUCUAUUCAUGAUAACAAUUUAAUAAACUUGAAAAGCAAAAAAUCCAAUCCCAGUCAAUCAAUACAGCCAAUUUUCUUCAUAAAGUUUAGCUUUUACUUUAAAAAAUGCUAACUCUUGAGACACUAAAUAAAUAUUUAAAGUUACGUGUUUCUAUAACGAAAAUCUUCAAUUUACCCCUUUAAAAGUUUGAAAACAUUAAUUUACUUCUAUUUUCCAGUCAAAAAAUUAGAAUAAAUGGAGACAAGCUGAUGACAAACUUUUUAACUUCUUAGUGGUAUUUGAUAAAUAUAAAUAAAUUGAAAAUUAUCAUUGUAAGUAGGAAUAAGUUAAAACUUUUACUCCAUAUUUAUUGUGCUUUAAGAAGAGAAAGAAAGAAAACAGAAAACAAACCUCUUUUAUAGGAGGGUUAACAAAAUUUUCAGCAAGGACUUAACCAACUUUUUUCGCGGAAAUUAAAUUAGCAGAACAAAAAUAACAUACGACUUGAGUCAAUAAUGGUAAAGAAAAUGAACGUACACAGAAAAUGAACGUACACAUAAGGGUUUGGAUUUGGUUGAUGAAGAAUGCACUGAAAGCUUUGCAUUUGCUUAUAUAUCACAGCAAACACUGGAUUGAGUUCUCUUUUCCAGGGUAAAUAAGGUAGGGAACAGCAAAGCCGAUCAAUUUGAUAAAAAAAAAAAAGGGAGGGAAGGGGGGGGGAGAGAACUGCCACAGUAAGAACAUCUCAAUCAUCUCUGCUAAAAAAAGUUAUCUCGUGGCUGGGGCAUUUAUAUUUUCAUGUGCGCUGAUGCCGGGAGUUGAAACUGAGGCGGCGAGUCCUCGAGGCCUCUGCUGCAAGAGAGGACUCUGUUAAUUUCGCAAAAAUCUGACUUGGCAAAAUCCACUCAUACAUCAUUUGUCCCUUUGUUGUGAUGUUGAUGCAGUUUCUUUAUUUUUAUUUUUGCUUUUUGUUUUGAGCUCCCAGACAAAAGAGUGUUGAAAAUGAUCGAUUAAUCGGUUCCCCAUUCAAUUUCAAGGUCGAAAGGGAUGACAAGAUGUAUAUUUAGUAUGGUUUAUUUAAUAAUUAUAAAUAUUUGUUUAAUUUUAUGAUCUCUUAUUAAAAUUUUUGUUAUUAUUUAGUUAUUUUUUACAAAAUUUUUAAAGAUUAAAUAAGAUAUUUUAUUUCUAUUAAAAAAAUUUAAAUUUUAAGAUUUUAGAUGUAGAGAUUGAAUUUUUUUUUACAUGGUAAAAUAUUUAAAAUAUUAUUUAUUUAUUUGACAAUCUUAUUUUAUUUUUUUAUAACAUAAAUUUUAAAAAAUAAUUUAUAAAAAUAAUUUCAUAAUUUUUAAUAAAUAAAUUAAUUGAUAAUUAAAUAAAUAAAUUUUUUUUAGUAAAAAUUUUAUUUAUAAGAAUCUUAUUAAUAAAAAAUUUAUUUAAAAAAAUCCUAUUUGAAAAGAUAUUCGGAUCGAAUUUAACAUCCACAUCAUACCGGUACGAGACGUAAGAGGGUUGAAAAUAACGUUAUACACUCGUCAAGGCGCACCAAUCAAGUUCGAGGGGGACAGCGCCCAAUAGCUGAACUUAAAGGGCCCCGUGGGGAACUUAGGUGGUACAGCCCCAAUCAAAAUGCGACAAAUUUAUCAAACAACAUGAUUUUUCCAACGAGGAUAUUAGUUUUGUGUUUGUCACAAAUAGGUCCCUAACUUGGUGUAAUGACUAAGAAUUAACUGAAACAAAAUAUCUUAAUUCUGUAUUUAAUUUUUAUUAAGAAUUAAUUGAAAAUUUAUGAUAUUUUCUUAAUUUUUGCCACAAUUUUUUAAUUAAUUAUAAUUUAAAAAUUUAUUAUAUUAAAUACAUAAUUAAAAGUAUUCAUAUUCCCAACAUCAAACAAUCACUAAGGGUAAAAUGGUAAGAUUAGUAAAAAAAAUUGAUACUCAAAGGGGUUUGGAUGUGUUUUUAAAAUACCAAGGGAGUUUCGGUUAGUUUUGUCAAACAAUAAGGGAGUUUUGCUCUUUUUGUUUCUUUUGUUUUUGUUGUUCAUAGUCGAUAAUGGAUUUGAAAUAGAAAAUAAUUAUAAUUUAUUUUUUCAUUCACUCUCUAAUUAAUUCAAUGGUGCUUAGCAACUUUUGUUUCAGUUUAUGAGCAAUUGGGUGAUAUUUUAUGCCAUGUUCUCUAUCGAGAUGAUGUAACUUAAAAGUUAGGAAAAAAAAGUUGUAAUUAUAAUAUUAAAUUAAUAGUUUGUAAUAAAUAUGACUUUUAAUUAAUAAUUUUGACAAAGAAGUAAUAGACUCUGACAGUAGCGGACCUACAACUGGGCAAGGCCGGGCGUUAGCCCAGUCUAGUUCCAAAAAAAAUCAUUUAUAUCGCUUAUGCUUUAAUUAAUUUUAUAUAUAAGUAUAGAUUUUUUAUUUUGUUUUCAUAUAUAUUCCUAAUUUAGUUAGCCUUAUAUUUUCAUCAAUUUCAUAUAAUAAUAGAGUUUUUAUUUUAUUUUCAAAUAUGUCCCUCAUUCAAUUAUAUAUAUUUUUUCAAUUGAAAUUAGUUACUUAUUUUAUAAAAUGAUUAAAUCAUAUGUUUAUUGAAUAGAUAGAAAACAGUAAGGGUCUAAAAUAUUAUUGGUGCUUAAAUUUAUUUUCAAAAAUUCUAAUUGAAAAAAAAAGUAUGUCAACGUAGUAAAACAUUGUCACUAGUAUUAAAAGUACUUAAAAAACAUAUAGUAACAACUAUCAACAUUUUCAUAAACUUUUUAUGUGAAUUUUGAGAUUUUAUUUAUUAUUUACAUUAUCUAAGAGGACAAGUUAGAAAAUAAAAUUUGAGUAUUUUUAGGAGUUUUUGAUAGAAAAAUCAUCAGCAUUUGGUUUUUUAGAGAGAGUCAGAGUGCUUGGCAAAGAAAUAACGACACCUAAAUACCUUUUUGCCGCUAGAUUGAGUUUAGUUUAUUAUUGAAACUUUUGACUAAUAAUAUUUUUAUAAUUUAAAAAGAUGAAUAAAUUUUAAUUUUUUAAAUUUAUUUAAGCCUAGUAAUUAAGUAUUUUUCAAAUAUAAAAGGUCUACUUAAAUUUUUUAAUUAAUUGCAAUUAUAGGUAUUGAUGAAUUUUAUCUUGAAAUUCUUAAUUGAUUUAUGUAAUUGCAUGUUAUUAUAGGUUCCACUGUUAGAUUCCAUAAACAAAAAGUAGUGCUUUAUACUAGAAUUGUCUUUUAAUUCUACCAUUUUUCUAUAAUUAUUUUUGUUUAGAGUACUGUGUUUAUAGGGUUUUUCGUUUCCCCUUUAUUUGAUGCACUUCUUUCUACCUAUGAAUAUUUAUGUCACUUCAAAAUAUAAAAUUUUUAAUUUAACCCGGAAUAACAUAAAGUCUUGGGUCCUCCCCUGGACCAUGAGCUGAAUGUGCAUAAUAAUAUACGGCUGUGGCUAUUAAAAAAAAAAAAAACCAUAUAUCUGAUGAGUGUGUUUCAAGCAAGGGCGCAGUUUGACUUGCAUAUUUGCACCAUCAAUGCCAAUUGGAGCCAAAAUGAGAUAUCCAAAUAUGUUGGAAUAUGACAUCGAGCAAAAGAGUUUUGGCCCACUGCAAAAUCAUUAAAAUGAUUAAUCUUCUUUUGUAAAUCUCAUUCACUUGGAAAAAUUUAAAUCAUUUGCUUUUGAUUGAGUUUUGUCCAUUAAUUUGAAAUUUUUGGCAAUUACUAGACUAAAAGAUAAUUUUGCCCCUCAUUUGAAUCUUUUAAGUGUUAAUAUCAUAAAACCAAUUGACUUGUGUGGAUAGAAAAUAAGAAAUAAAAGUUUUUCUAUUUUUUUCAGAAUAUCUCCAUCUACCUGACUCAAACUUGCGCCCGUCAAUUUAUAGGUGCACCCGUGCGGAUACGAAACCCGUUUGUUUUCUCAAAGGUUUAAAAAAAAAAAAAUUGAUUUGGGAUUACUUAGUCUUAUAUGAGUCGAUUACUCCAAUAACAGAUGAAUCCAAAAAUCUUCUCUACCUUUAUCUUGCUUUUUUAAAAAAUCUAAUUUUUGAGACCCCAAGGUGGCAUUUAUUUUUUAAUCUGAAAUAUAAAUAGUUCUGAAUUAGUCUAAAUUCUAAAUAAAAUUGAAUAUCUAAUUCUGAAUGAUUUAUUUUUUGUCUAAAUUGUUAAAAAUAAAUAUUAAUUUUUUUUGUAUUUUUAACUUAAAAAAUCUGAAAACUAAUAUUUUUACAUUUGUGCCUUUACGAAUUAUUAAUGUAAACAAAUAAUAAGCAUAUCAAAGAACUUAAAUAAAAUAAUAUAUUAUCAUGAGAUAAAUCAUGUUCAAUUGAAUACAACCCCUUAUAUCGUAAAUUAGUAUAUGUUAAUCAAUUUUAUUGUAGUUCAUGAUGUUUUAUAUGAAAAUAUUCAUAGGAAUAAUGAAGAUAAAUAAUGCUAAUUUGAAGAAAAUAAAAAAAUAAAAAUAAUAUUAGUCUACCACUAUGCUAUCACAAGUUAUAGAGAUUGGUAAUAAUGCUAAUUAUUAAAUUUUAUUUAAGUAAGGAUGAAAAUUAAUUAAUUAGAUAGGGAUAUUUUGGAGAAUAUCUUUUAAUGAUAUCAUUUAGAUUUUUAGAUAAAACAAAAAGUUGAAAAAAUUGGCUUAAUAACUUAAUGACUUAAUGACUAUAACUUUUAAUUAAGUUAAAGAAAACGGACUUAAUGACUUAUCUGAUUGAAAUUAAGUCAAUUAAAUCAUUAAGUCAAAAAGAAAAAAAAAAAAAAGAGCCCCUAAGUUAAGGUUGGUCAAAUGCUGCUAAAUAUAAUAACAAAAUAUUAUAAGAUACAUAUUUUCUUUUUAAUAAAUUGAAUAUAUGUAUAACCUUAAAACUAAUUCUUAGGGUUAUUUGGGAAUGUUGUAGCUUUUAAAAUAAUUAAUGUUAAUUGUGUUGUAGAAAUAAUCAGUUGUGAAGAGAAUCAGUUAAGUGUUUGAUAAAUUUUCUUUUCAGAAGUACUGUGAGUUUUAAAAGCAGUUAUGGAUGUUUGAUAAAUUUUACUAUUAAAUUGCUAUGAGAAAACAAACGACUAUAAUGUAUAUAAUGUAGAAUAAAAUUUAUUUAUACGUAUAAAAACAUGUACAUAUAAUAUUUUUAAUUGUGUAUUAUAAUAGUUUUUACUAAAAAUAAAAUUUAUAAUAUAUUGAUUUUAUUUUUAUCUUAAAACAAUUGAUAAUUAAAUUUAUAAUAUAGUGAAAUAAAUUUAAUAAUAAUUCGACUAACAAAUUGAUAUUAAUAAAUUGAUAUUGAUGAAUUAUAAUAAAAAUUUAUUAAAAUAUUAAUUCUGUUUCCAAUUUGAAUAAGGAUAAUUUUGGGUUUAGGUAAUAAUUUUAAGGAUAUUUAUGAAAUUGUAUUAAAGGAUUAAAUUGAUUCUCAAAAUCAGAAUCUAAAAGCUACUCAUUCCCUACUUUUCAAAAUCAGCUGUAAGAGGGACUGAUUUUGACAAAAGUGAUUUUAAUUUUCUGUUACACCAAACACUAAAAUUAGAUUUUAGAUUUUUAAAAUCACUUUUAAAUCCCCCAAAAGUAAAUCCAAACGGGCCCUUAAUGCUUUAUUGGAAAAAUAUGUAGUUUAUAUGUAGAUAAUAUAUAUUAUACUUAAUUGUUAGGGUUUGAAAAGGAUUGGGAAAAAAAAUGUAAAUUAAAAGGAUUGGGAAAAAAAAGUCAAUUAUGGAAGCCAUUUAUGUUUUGCAAUUGGCGAAGACAGAAAAUUUUUUUUGGGUGGGCUAAAAAUUUUUUCCAAGUCCAUAUGUGAUCUCAAUUAAAGAUAUAAAUCUUAAAAGGAAGUUUCAUUAAUACAUAAGAAAAUACAUCAUAUCUAAGAAGCAAUUAAAUUACAAUUAAACACUACUUAAGUUGUGCCUUACCAUACUUUCGGGAGUUAAACUCAUAUAUUAUCGAGUAUAGACAUCAUUACCUUUGUUAGUGAAUUUGUGAUUGAUUCUUUUAACUUCUUUUAUAGUUUUCUCUUGUUUCGAUUGCAACGAUUGAACGAGUAUAGACAUCAUUUCAAAAUCAUACUGUAUUGUUGUCCACAAAUUCUCUUUCAAUGUAGACAACAAUACAGUAUGAUUUUGAAAUGAUGUCUAUACUCGUUCAAUCGUUGCAAUCGAAACAAGAGAAAACUAUAAAAAGAAGUUAAAAGAAUCAAUCACAAAUUCACUAACAAAGGUAAUGCAACUGUCAGUCCAUCACUAUGACACAUUGAUAUUAUCCAGAAGUCAGGCAAUAAGUUUAAUUAACAAAUUAACAUUAUAUAAUAUACUGGAUCAAAUCUAUGAUCUACCUAUAUCAAUGAUCAAUUUAGCCAUUUAAAAAUUUGAAUGAUAGAAUUCAAUGGCUAAAUUAUCUUCAUUUGAUCUUACACAAUGAAAUUGGAACAACAAUUAAAGAGUAUGAUUUUUAGUCUUUAUUACCUUAUAAUUAAUAAAUAUAUUGUAAAUGAUUGAAUAAAAAUAAAUCUAUUAUCUAUUCUUACCAAGAAGAAGGCGAAGAAAAAAAAAAAUCGUGUUUGAAAUCUCGAAUGAAGUAAAUGCUCACUAUUUAAAUUUAUUUAUAUGAUGACAAAGUUGUAAAUUAAUAGAGUGGUACAAUUGUAAAUAAGAUAGUGGCAUAGUUUCAAUUUUGUAAAAUUUGGACAGGCUAUAGUCCAUCUCAGUCCACACGUAGCCUUGCCACUAGGGAUGGCAAUGGGGAGGGGAGGGGAGGGGACCAAUCUCCCCGUACCCAUCCCUGAUAUUUUGCGUAUGUCUCCGUCCCCUCCUCAUCCUUGUCAUAAUUGUUUGAGAGAAUCUUCAUCCCCUCUCCGAAUAAUAACAGGAGAUUCCCGAUGGUCCCCGAUCCCCGAAUAACUAAUACAUAUAUUUUUUUUGAGUUAAUUAUAUUAAAAUAAAAAAUUCAAACAAAAGUAAAGUUCGAAAUAUAUUUUACAUUAACAUUGAUCCAUUAUAAAAGUCACAUGCAAAAUACAAAUUAUCAAAAUAAUUAUCUUUGUCAAUCUUCAUAAUCCUACAAUAAAAAGAAAAAGAAUUUACUUUUAUAUCGACAAUAAAAUAAAUGAAAUAAAUGUAGAUACUUAAUUAAUAUUUUUAAUAAAACAAAAUUAAAAUUAAAACAAAAUUUUUGGGCUAAUAAAAUCUACCCGGCCUUUUUAAUGUCCUAAAUAAAAAUUUAAGACUUUAAUUAGUUAAUUAAGCCUAAAAGUUUAAUAAUAUGAAUAUUUUAAUAUUUGUUACUUUUACCAAUAUUUAUAAUUUUAUAAUAUAAUUCAAAUAUUAGUAUUUAUUUACUAGUAAUUUUAAAAAAUAAAAUUAAAAUUAAAAAUUAAAAAUUAAAAUAGGAAAAUAGGGAGGGGAUGGGGAUUCCACAUCAUCCCCGCCCCUUCCCUGAAUAAGAAACUGGGUAAGAAAAUUUCCUCAUCUCUUCCCUGAAUAAGAAAUUGGGUAUAGAAUUAUCUCCGUACUCUCCCCGAAUGGGAAAAAUCCCCGAGGGUACCCGUCUCCGUGGGGAUUUUUGCCAUCCCUACUUGCCACCGGUAUAAACAUGGAGAAUAGUUUAUAAAUCCACUAAGCUUAAUUAAAGUAAAAUACUUGACAUUAGGAAAUUUCCAAUAAUCUUGUUCAUCUUAACCAAAUUCUUAAAGUGAAAAGGAUUAAUGGUACCUUGUGUUAUUUUGCUUUAGUAAGAGAAAGAAGAAAAAAGAAAACAAAUCUCUUUCAUAGGGGCUUGACCAAUUUUUUGUUUCACGCAAAAAUUGACGGCCGUUAUGACCGUAAAUGCCUCUGUUAGACUUGACGGAGAAGUCUGGGGGUUUACGCGAUGGUCAUCAGCGCCUGGAAAUUUUAUGAGUUCAAUUAGUCAAAAAGGAUUGAUCUUCGCCUCAGAUGGAACGACUCACAAGUAAUUCUUUUGGCUCGUACCGUCCACGAAGCUUCAUAUUCCCACAAUGUGUUUCUUUUUUCUUUUUCUUUUUAAUAAAUUAUAAUCAGAGUUUUUGAUGGAAAAUUUUAGAAAUGACCCUUACUUUUUUCGGUUACCCGAAUAGCAAAUAAAAUAUUCCUUUUUCAAUUACACAGGUAAGGAAAUAAAUUUAUAGUCUAGUAUCUACUGUUUGUAACACAUAGCAAAUGAAAUUUUCCUUUUUUCAAUUGCACAAACAUGUAAUUGUUUUGUACAUACCUUUUCUAGCGGCUUCAAAAAGUUUCAAACCUUAUAGAAUCGGUGCCGAAGCUAAAAUCAUUUUUUUGGAUGGGUUAGAUUUUUUUUAAAAAUGAAACUUAUUUCUGAAAUUUUUUUUAUACAAACAAAAUUAAGCACACUAUAAGCAAAAAUCUAACCACAAAACUAAAAAAAAAAAAUACAAUGUAAAUAAGAAAAAUAUUAUCAAAUAUUAAAUUUAUUUUUAUUUUUUUAUAAAUAUUAAAAAGUAAAUUUAUAAAUUAUAAUUUUUUUUUCAAAAAACUGCCCGGGUUAGCCUACCUUUUAACUUUGCCUCUGUAUGGAAUGGGUCAAACUUUGGGUUAGUAUUUUAAUUAAUAAGAAGAUUACUGAUCUUGCGUGCGGUGUGCCCGAUAAACACUGUUGUAAUUGAAGAAAAAACGGUAUUGCUAUUGCUGACUCUUAUCAAAGGCCUCGAUAAAUCAACCAUUUCUUCACAUCAAACUGAGGCAUAAGAAGUAUGGAGCCUAGGUGUAGGAGAGAAAGCUAUAACAUAUAUGACACAAGAUCAAUUUGGAUAGACCUUGCUGAUCAUGUCUGUGAAUGAAGAAGAUUCACCUUGAUGCCAUAGCGGAGCAAAUUAUUAGGAGGCAAGAUGGACAUGUCACAUAGUUAAGGGGGAUUCUAAAUCCCGAAGGGUACAAAAGCCUAUGCUUUGAACCUCAAAGCAUUAGGAGGCAGGAUGGACAUGUCACAUAGUUAAGGGGGGUUCUAAAUCCUAAAGGAUACAAAAACUUAUGCUUUAGUGUCUAACACAAGCAAGUUAAAUUCUGUUUGAAAUUGAGGUUGAGAAACUGUAACUUAAAAACUAAAGCACUAAAGUGUUAGGUAAACACUAACGUUGUAGUUUGGAAGUUAAAUUAAUUUAAUUUUAUAUUUAUAUGAUGAAAAAUUUAUUAUAUCUUUAUUAAUUUAUCAAAAUUAUUAUUUAAAAGUUGUAGUUGUUACAUACUGUUAACUUUAAUUUCUUCAUUAUAGAUUUUUUUUUUUUUUUUUUUUACAACGGUUGUAUCUUAGAAGCCAUAGGACUUCAAUACCAAACAAGACUUUCAUUAACCACUUUAAUAGAGUUAGACUAUCUAAUUGACCAAUCCAAAAAAACAAAAAAGUUUGUUGGUUACCAGAAUUUUACGUUCUGUUAACAUAUAAUUUUUUAAGGUAAAAAAAGAAGGGGUGCUAAUCAAAUUUUUGGGAAAAAAAGAAAAAGAAAAAAGUGCCGUACUUAUCAAAUUUCUAAAUAACCAUGUUGUUAAAUUUAAAUCAUACACUACAAUAAAUGUGAUGUAAAUUAUGUAAUAAAAGAUUAUAGAAAGAUCAAAGAAAUAGGGUUAUAAAUGGGGACUCUACCAUGUUACAAUUGUGAUACCAUAUCACACAGUAUUUAUUUUUAUCCCAUAAAACCGUUGGAUUUAAAAGCAAGUGAUCUGACACGUGAGAGGUAGCCACGUUUGUCUCAAAACAUACCGGAAAAGUCGGUUAAGAAAAGGUAAAGUCACCGGUAGCAAAACUCACAGUUUUUGUCUUACCUCUCUCAAAAUGCACGGUGACUGUACGCAUCGCCAGCUCUCUCAAUACUCACGGUGACUGUACGCAUCGACACCUCAAAAUCUCUAAUGGAGCUUCUCUAUCCUGGCCGUCUCGUCCAACACCAAAAGACCAAGUAUCGCUGGCGCCGUCAUUUGGGUAUAAUGGGUUUCAAUUUUGAACCAAUAGAAGGAAAUUUUGUGAAAGAGAGAGGGGGAGGGGAAUUCUCAAAAAUUCGUCAGCCAUGGAAGGCUUGAUAUUCUUUUCUUAAAUCUUAAAGCAUUUCAGAUAUUUGGGUCGUUGUGAUUUUUAUUUUGUCAUGAUGAAUUUUUUUACUUUGGAUUUGUCUCAUUGAAAGGUUUAUUUUAUUUUUAUUUUUUGUGGAUCAUUGAAGUUGCUAUUUUUGGUAUUAUAAAGAUGGGUUGUUUGCAUGCAUUGCAAGAAUAUUGACCUGUUAUGCCAUGUUUGUCAAUUUCAAUGAAAUCUGAGGAAACCCAUUUGCCUGGUUUGUUCAAGGAGCCUUCAGAUUUGUGAGUCAUUGUGUAGUGGGUUUACAAAAUGGUUUGUUGUUGAAAAUGCUUUGGUUGUGACGGGUGAAAUGGUGCCGAAGAUAAGUUGGUUUGAGCACUGGAGUAAUCCUUUUUUUUUUUAAUGUAUGUAUAUAUAAAAAGGAAGAAAUAUCAAGUUUCAUAUACAGUGUUACUUGUUUUUUAUGGCUCAUACAUCGUUUACAUGCCCUCUUUUUCCUUUCAACCAGAAAAUAUCCACAGCGGCUGUAUAUUGUAUGUGGUUCUUUAGCCAACAACAAUAUGUUAGUUUGAUCAUGGAAGUAUAAAUUGAAAAGUGGCAUAAUAUUUUUGUUUUAACCUUUAAUUACCACUUUUCAGUGAGGUGUCUAUUUUGCUUGCUCGUUCAUUUUUUUAUGGGAUUUCGUGUUUGAUCUAGUUUGACAUGCAUUAUAUACAAUUAUCAAUUUUACCAUGAUUAGAGUUUCAUAAAUUUCUUGAAGUGUUUUGUGUUAGGAUCGGUUUAGAAGUGUUAAUUUGUGAUAGACAGCACAUGCAUGAGCCACGAAGAAUGCAUGAGCCACGAAGAAUGCAUGAGCCACGAAGAUCUGGAAGAAUGCCAAAGCCAAAUCCUAAGUUUGGUACGUGAGGGCAUGAGUCCCAUGCAAGCCAUGCAUGAAACAUGCAUGUGCUGAGAUCGUGAAGAUACGUGCUGGGGCUGGAGCCGUGAUCUAGGAAUACGCUUAUCAACGAUUGUGCAGCGAGUAAGGAGGGAAGAUAAGACACGGAAGUUGUUUUCGAUUAUCUUUCGGUUUCGAAUUCUUAGCUAAGUUGUUAUACUCGUUUAUUUAGCCGUAAUUGUAGGAUGGAAACCAAAGUCUUGUUAUUAUAAAUAAGCUCCAGAAUAUGAAUAAAAGUAUUGAGAAUUCUAAACAAUAAUUAUUUGGUCCUUUCUCGCCAUAAGCAGAAAAAUAUCACUUGUGUUACGCGUGAUCAUUGGCUGUCUCUGACUGGGACCUAUCAAUUGGUAUCAGAGCGGGUUAACAAUGAUGACCAACAAAGAAUGUAUUGAGCGAAUUGAAGUUGAUCUGAAAAGCAUGGAGAGCCGAAUGGAACGCAUGGAGAUUGGGAUCAAUGACAAGCUUCAGCGAUUAGAAGACACCAUCAGCAAAUUAGCAGAAGCUUUCAAUGCAUCCAAAGACACCACUAGCCACGGCACCAACGAAACCAUUGGUUCACCGCAGCCAAUUCGAGAAGAAAGUGAAGGAGUAGUGAAGCUGCACGGUAUGCCCAAGUCAAUCAUCAGCGAUCGUGACCCCAUAUUCAUCAGCAAAUUUUGGCAAGAGUUCUUUAAUUUAUCAGGCACCAAACUCAAAAUGAGCUCGGCGUACCACCCACAAACCGACGGCCAAACGGAGGUAAUUAAUCGAUGCUUGGAACAGUACUUGAGAUGUUUUGUUCACCAGUGGCCGCGAAAGUGGCACUCUUUUUUACCGUGGGCAGAAUUUUGGUACAACACCACAUUCCACGUCUCCACCGGAAUGACUCCAUUCCAAGCUUUGUAUGGAAGACCACCUCCAGCCGUGCCCAUGUAUCAACUUGGUUCCUCGCCGGUGCAUGAGGUUGAUCAAGCCUUACAUUCGCGUGAUGAACUGCUCUUACAAUUAAAGAAAAACUUAGCCACAACAGCUAACAGGAUGAAGCAAACAGCUGACAAGGGUCGCCGCGACGUUGAGUUCACAUAGGGAGAUAUGGUGUUAUUAAAGUUGCAGCCCUAUCGGCAGACUUCAGUGUUCAGAAGGGCACAUCAGAAAUUAGUUUGCAGGUACUUUGGGCCGUAUUUAGUUCUUCGCAAAGUUGGAGCCGUUGCCUACGAACUACAAUUACCAGAGAAUGCUCGAAUUCACCCGGUGUUUCACGUCUCUUUGCUUAAGAAAGCCGUGGGCGAUUUCCUUAGCAACAGCGUCGAUUUACCACCUGUGGAUGAUGAAGGCUCGGUGAUCAUGGACCCUGAAGCUAUCCUUGACACACGUUGGGUGAAGAGAGGAGGUAAAGUGAUUGAGCAGAAUCUAGUCCGUUGGAAAAAAAUGCCGGCUGAAGAAGCAACAUGAGAGGACACCACAAUGUUGCACCAACAGUUUCCCAAUCUGACCCUUGAGGACAAGGGUAUUCUUCGAGGGUGGGGCAAUGAUAGACAGCACGUGCAUGAGCCACGAAGAUCUGGAAGAAUGCCAAAGCCAAAUCCUAAGUUUGGUACGUGAGGGCAUGAGUCCCAUGCAAGCCAUGCAUGAAACAUGCAUGUGCUGAGAUCGUGAAGAUACGUGCUAGGGAUGGAGCCGUGAUCUAGGAAUACGCUUAUCAACGAUUGUGCAGCGAGUAAGGAGGGAAGAUAAGACACGGAAGUUGUUUUCGAUUAUCUUUCGGUUUCGAAUUCUUAGCUAAGUUGUUAUACUCGUUUAUUUAGCCGUAAUUGUAGGAUGGAAACCAAAGUCUUGUUAUUAUAAAUAAGCUCCAGAAUAUGAAUAAAAGUAUUGAGAAUUAUAAACAAUAAUUAUUUGGUCCUUUCUCACCAUAAGCAGAAAAAUAUCACUUGUGUUACGCGUGAUCAUUGGCUGUCUCUGACUGGGACCUAUCAAUUUGUGAAACUUAGAAAAUUUAUUUAUACAAUGCUCUAUAUUCUCUCUUUAUAAUUUGUGAAGAAACAGAAAAAAGAGGGAAGUCGUGUUUGUAUUCUCUGAAAAAGAAAACAACCUGAUCCCACCCUGACCUACCCCCAUCGGCAGCAGUAUGGACCUAUAAAGUUCAUCCAACUACUUCGAUAGAAUUGUUAUUGAACCCUUGAUUGACAUGUUUGACUUUCUGGGUAUUUGUAUUUUUCUAGUUUUUUUUUCUUCUUAUUUGUGCAUUUCUCAUUUAAUAGAAUGCAAGAAUGAUGAUUUUUUUUUCAGGGGCUUGAUAGUGAGCAUCAGCAAAAUCAAGUUACGUAGUUGAAUCAAAGAUAUCGCAGCUAUUGGUUAGCUGGGAGCUGUUUUUAUCUAACCGGCCUGGAAGCUCAUAAUCCAAAUCCAUUACGAUUCAUUGUUUUUAUCUACAUGUGGAUUAAUACAUCGGAGCAUCAGUUAGUUGCUGUAAAUUAGUUUAUGAAUUAUUUAUUGAUUGGUGGAACAAUAUCUAAAUGAAACUUUUGACAAAGACACUCUUCUCAGUAUCUAAAUGCAACUUUAUCUAAACAAUAUAAACAGACACGUUAGUAACUUCUCCAAUUAACUCCACUGCAUGUAUCUUGUCCAUCUUCAACCCUGAAUGCUUAAGUUCACAGAGAUCUUCGAACUUUUGACAGGCAAUGCCGCCCUCAAAACAAACCCCAACCUAUACGCAUGUAAAUAUAUUUGGAUUUAUCAUCUGUAUACAGCAAAACAGAUUUUGCACCAAAAUUGAUAAGUAAAUUUUAUAUAUACUAGCAUCAUGAAUCAAAAAGCAAAGGAAAAUAAGCCAAUAUCAUUUAUUUGUGGGUGUGUGUGUGUGUAAUAGUUUACCAAAUGAAAGCACCAUUAGUAAAUUUGAAAAAGAAAAAAAGGAAAAAGGAAUUUCAUGCAAGAAUUGGAAUCCAAAAUGUAAUGGCUCAGUCAGUCUGGAGUCAUUUUAUUGUCGGUGUUGUAUAGUGCCAUAUUAAAGAACAAAGCACUAGUAAGAGAAAAAAGCAUCCCUCACACAACAAACUCCAUUUGUCAUGUUCUAUAGUUCCCCACCCAUUUAAACAACACAUAAAUUGAUAUAAUAAACUUAAAACUUACCUUAAAGAGUAAAAUCUGCACUUAAACUCCACCUACCUGAAGUCCCUAUCAUCAUAGAGAGAUUUAACUGAUAUUGGUUCCAUUAUGUUUGCACAAAGAAUUGCUUUUGUACAUUUAACUUGCUUCUUCAGUUCAGCUGUAGCCUUGGCAAACUUCCUCAAGUCUCCCCAUUAUCAAUUUGUUUAUUGAGCUCAUCUGCAAAGUAUUCAAGCAACAAUAAUCCAUGUUCUGACUGCCAAGUUCUGCAUCUCAUCUAAUAUCCUUAACCUGCAAAAUUGUCAAAUAUCAACUAGCGUCUAAAAGUAAUUAGAUAUGUAAAACAUAACAAGUGGCACAUAAAGAUUGUAUAGAGCACAGAUGAAGUGAAGAAAAAAUAAUGCUACGGGAAUAAUGACCACUCAACUGAUAUUGCAUGCUUAUAUCGCAAAAUUAUUUAGUCACAGAGUACUACAAAUACUGACAAAUAGCUUAUGGAUCCAUCAUACUGGCUAUCAAAUACUAUUGUGCUAACUAUGUUAUCAUCGGCUUCCAAUGCAUGAUUGCAGCUCUUUAAAUCACUAGAUUUCCGCUUACGAGCCCCCGCUGGCCUCAUUCCUGUAAUGAAAUUACAAAAUCAUUUAUCGUUUCCAAUCUCACAUUCUCUGAAUCUAAUAAAUAAACAUACUGUUCUUGCAAGCUAAUUACAAGUUUUAAAUCUUUUAAAAUAAAUAAUAAUAAGUACGGGUUUUAAUAAGGAAUUAACUACUGCAUCGGUUGAUUCGAUCCGCACAAGAACAGAUCAAAGCGACCCGAAAUUUACUCUGAUUUGAUAUAUACCUUAACUUUCAGCACUGCUUAACUUUCGAUUGUACUUUGCAGCGACGAUUAUAAUUUCACCGUCAAUUGCCCAAAAGUGAAAGGUCAUAUUCGUGUUCUAAUCACCAGAAGUUUUUAAAUCCCACAAAAUUGCAAUCCUCCAAUUCUAAUUUUAUUUCUUAAUUAUUGUCUCGAGAUCAAUUUUGUGCUGAAAUCAGUGAAACUCUAAUCAGUUCUAAGAAAUUUCCGGAACCCGCGCUCACUGAGCUGUUAUUAUAUUAAUACUCAACCGGCUGCAACGGUUGCUAGUCACUGCAUCAAUUAUCCAAUAUUUAAUUUCAGCCGUUAUAUCGAACAAGGAAACAUCCAACGACUUUGUUGAAUGAGGGCAAAAACUGUGAUAUGGUACCACAAUUGUAACGUAGACAGACCCUAUAAAUGGGGUUAUUGUGAAAGAAUAUAGAGGGAGGAAUUCAAGCAAUAAAUAAGAGACACGCCAUACAGCCCAUACCGUCCUUUUCUGUCAAGUUCAUCAUUCUCAUUGGACACAGAGGGUAAAGAAGCAAAAAUGUAUGUAAGACACAUGCAUAUUAUUUAAUUAAACGUGUUAUUUGGCACUUGUUAAAUUGUUCCCUUUGUAGGUCAUUGUGGACUCCAAAUUAAUUGUACGCCUUUUAAACAGAAAUAAGUGCAUUACAUAUUUUUUUUAUCUUUUUUUACUUUAUUUUUGGAUUUUUUUUUUUGGAAAAAGCGAUGACUCAUGAGAAGAGGAAGAAGAAGAAUAGUAGAACACAUGUAAUAUCAGUUCUUUUUUUUUUUACUUUUUACUUCUUUCUUUGAAUUUUUUUUUUUAAAUUUUUAUCAUCCAUUUUGUGUCAUUGGAGUCCAAAAAUAUUGUGCAUAUAUAAAUAAUGCGGCUUCUGAGUUUAUGACAAUUUACCAUGCGUUAAUAACGCUUGAUGAAAAUGUUGCAAUCAGGAUUAUUCUUUUAUUUUGUCAAGUUACACUGUUCAAUGUUCUCACUGUAAGGUUGACUUCAAGGGAUGAAAUCGUUUAGAUUAAAAAUAAAAAUAAAGGAAAUUCAUUCUCUUCAAUUUUUUAUUUUAUUUGUACUAAUGUUACAAAUAAAAUAUCAAAUAAUUAUUGAAAUUAGUCUAUAUUAACUCAUAUACUAGGAAUGUCUAUCUACUUACAUUUUGUAAGGAAAAAGACUCUCCACUUAAUGUAUUUUUCGAGUGCCUGGCUACCUUAUUCCUAUGUGCUUCAGUGGGAUGCAAUAACUUUUGCUGAUAGCCUAAUAGGCCCUACAAAUCAUAAUUUAGCAUAGAGAAAUGUUGUUACAUGUUUGUUGGGAUGAUAAAAAAGUCCGGGCCAACUCUGUUCAUUUCUGUGGACUUUUGCUGGAAUUUCCCACGUGAGGGCUUGGACAAGGGUUAAAGGAAAAAAACUUAGACUAGGUCUAAUCCCUUUAUUUUAAAAAAUAUAUAAAAAUUAAAAUAAAAAUAAAAAAUGGAAAAAUGAAAAAAGAAGGCUUAAAUUCCAAAUUCAUUUAUUGAUAACGAUAAACAAAAAUUUAAAAUUAUAAUACUAAAUUUUUUUUAAGUGUUAAUUAAUUAAGAGAGUACUUGAAUUAGAAAAUUAAAUACUAGAAAAUUAAAUCUCUAAAUUUUUAUUUGCUUUAUUUAAUAUUUUAUUUUGAAAUAUUUAUUUUCUUUAAUUCAUUGUUGAUUAUAACAACUUGAUUAUUAUUAACUCAUUUUAAGUUUACAACAAUUUAAAAAAUUUUGAAAAAAAAAAGUGAAAGCCCAAGCCCGACCCAGCUCCGUAUGGGCUCGGCCCUUACAUUUCCACUCUAAUGGCCUUGGGCUUGGGCUUGAAAAAACCGAACAUGCUCACAUUUUGCUAUCCUUGCCUGCAUGUAAGUUCAAAGUUGCAAAUUGAUGAAGUGGAAAUAUAGAAGAUUGAUAGAUUAGAGAAACUAAGUUUCUUAAUAAUAAAAUUUUAUUAGAAAAGUCUAAAUGAAUAAAACGAUAGCCUACCCCUUUUAUACUAAUCCCAAACAUCGAGAAUUUAUCAAAAUAGUAAAAUUCAAAAUAUUGUUUUAUAAUAAAAUUCUCCUAAUCUAAAUAAGAAAAACAAAACAAACGACACCCAAUUUUAAUAUCUAAAAAAAUAAAAUUCUAAAAAUAAUAUAAAAUAACUUAAAACUGUAAAAAGACCAAAAAAAGAAAUAGAAUUUUUUACUUAAUUAUGGAGCAAGACAAGGCAAGCAUUCUAAGUUUGAUUAGUCUCGUCGUAACUUUUGAAAUGAUAUAUUAUAUGCCUAAAAUGAACAUAUAAAGCCCAAGUUAUAACUCCUAAAAGAUACCUCCUUCAUGAUGAUCCUACGCAACUAUCUCACGUCGAAAAUGAAUGCAAAAGUUACAUUUCAAAUUAAAUUCAAAACAAUCAAUUCAAGCAUUAAUGCCGUGUUUUUUUUAACCAAAAUACUCUCUAAGGAUUUUAUAAAUUGCUUUCUAAUUUUAUUUUGCAAAACACACCAAAUCAAAGUGAUUUUUCUCUUUUCUCUCAAACAAUUUCAACAUUUGGUAAUAGAGCUGAUGACAGGCAUUAGUAAACAAUGUGCAAUAGUAAUGCACAACAAUAUAGAAAAGCAAAUUGGUAAAGUGUAAACUAUGAAAUGAUAAAAUAGAGCCUUUUUUUUUUAAGAUCACAUGUUAAGUUAUUGGCGUAUUUUGUCGGGAUCAUAUACUUUUUUAGAUCUACGUGCUUUUGGUCAAAUUUAGCAUAAUUAAAAGUUCAAAACUGAAGUUCAUAUUCAAUAAUAAUAAACUAAUAAUAAUAGAUAAUGUAAUACUGACUAUUAAUUUAGAUCCUACGAUAUUAAAUUUUUUUUAAUACUUAAUAAAAAUAACAACAAUAAUAAUUUUUUUUAAGGGUUAACUUAAUUGUUAACUUAGACUUACAUUGAGUCAUAAAUCAUAGUUUAUAACAACAUUAAUGCAUAUAUUCAUAAAAAUCAUGAUAUUUAUAAUUUAUUUAUUAAAAUCAUGAUAUCACCUAUUCAUUUAACAAAUUAUAAACAUAAAACAAUUAGAUUUUUUUUAAGAUUAAGAAUUAAAUGAAUCUAAAAAACUUAAGCUAAUAAAAUGCAUUAAAGAUUCAAAUUCAAAUUAUUUGCAAAAUUAUAAUUAUUCGUAAAAUUAUAAAAUUUUAAGUUUACUUUCAUUAAAAAGCUUUUACCUUAAUAUACUUUGACUCGCAUGCUAUUGAUAACGCAUAAGCCACGUGCUAAUCGUCCAGUGAAACAUUUUUAUUGAUGUCCUUUUCACGUGCUGUGUUUUAGCCUAUUUUUAAGCAUAUCAUGCUUUUAAGAUCCACUUGCCUAAAAUUCUCAACUCAGCCCAGCACUCGUGCAUGCCAUGCCUUGUCGCUUACCCUACCAAAACGUCCUUGUGCCGUACCAUGCUGAACGGAUAUGUGUCGUGCAUGUGUCGUUCCACCUGUCACCUGGUCCAUUAGUCAUCUCUAGAAAACACCAUAUAUUUAUUGAGUGUGUUGCAAGCAUUGUGUCGCAAGUUGCUCAAAUUUCCCCUAAACGGAGGCUAAAUUAGCGCGCACGAGUACGGUCAGUAAAAGUCUGCCCAAUAAUGGGAUGCACUCAACAGUAAGGUGCGCUGAGCGAUGGGCUGCCUCAUAUAACUAGUGAGUUAUGGUGCACUUAGUAAGUGAAUAGCCCAUAAUCAACAAGCCUAACUCGAUUUUUAGAUUUCUCUACACCUUGUAAAUGGCUAGAUUUUUAGGCAAGUUGCAUGAACUCUCUAUAAAAUAGGGGUGAGCACCCACUAUUUGCUCACCACCACACCACACACACAGCACCUAGCAACUCAAAAACUCUCGUAAAAAUCUCUCUUAUAAUUUCUCUUUUGUGAGCAAUAAAAUAUUCUUUAGCCAUAUUGCUCUCUUCUCUCUAGCAGUAUUGCAAACAUCCUUACUUGGCUAGUUUGAGAAGCUCUUUAGGCUUACUUAACAACUUUUGUACUAGAAGUUAUGUAAGUACUGCACGGGAUUGUUGCGCAAAAUAGUCAUCUCGUGACAACCGGCUUAGUUUUGCUUUGCACAUUUACGCCCACAAUAAUAAAAGCCAAAAUAAGAUAUAAAAAAAUGUUGGGAUUUGACAUCAAGUAGAAGAGGUUUUGCCCACUCCAAAAUCAUCAAAAUGAUUAAUUAUCUUCUAUAUAACCUGAUGAUUUUUUUAACCUUUGAGAAAGCAACCACAGAGGUGGAACAAACUUCUACUCAUGGGGACUUGACAUACGGUUAAUGAAGAAGGGUAAUUUCGUAAAAUUCCAAUCAAAAUUAGAAAAAAGGCAAGCCAUAUUCAAAAGUCAAUCUUGAUCAAACAAACGGCAGGAGGGACAUCUGUAAUUACGGCAUUUUCGAGGAAUUGUUUCUAAAACUAACUAAAACGGGAAAAUGGAAAGGGACAAACACGAAAGCUCAUAGUUUGCUUGGUUGGGCUAUGUUCUGCUAGUAGGAGAGACAGACUGUAGAAAGGGUUUCUUUUCUCUUUUUUUUUUUUUUCUAAACUCUUUUUUUUUUCAAAUAGACAUAUAGCCACGUGUUGUCUCAUAUAAAAAAUAAUACUUUAUAUAAGUCCUAGGUCAGUUGGGCUGGAAAACAUUUAAAAUCGAACAUAUCAGGCACGUUGUAAGUUCGCAAUUGGAGAAUCAUGUUGUCAGCCCCGCAACCCCCAAAUGGGAACUUUAGAUAGAAAAAUAUAGCGUCGCAACGAUAAUAUUUAUUAAUAAUAAAUUUUCUUAUUACAAUUGUUCUUGUCAAAAACUCUUUGAUGGUAUUUCAUGUGUUGAAAAAAAUGUAAAAUAGUUUCAUUAUCAAUACAAUUAAAAACAUAUUUUUUUAAUAUAUACAACUAAAUUAUCACUUGAUUUGUUUUAAUAUAAUGCAACAUGAAGAACAAAUAUGAAUACACAUACAUUAGGGAAUGGCAAUGGGAAGAAUAGGGGAGGGGACCGAUAUCUCCAUACCCAUUUUCAAUAUUUUGUAUAUGUCCUCAUCUGCUCUCCAUCCCAUCAGAAUUACUUGAAAAAAUUUUCAUCCUCUCUCCAAAUAAUAAGAGGGGAUCCCUGAAAGUCUCCGAUCUCCAAGUAAUUAAUACAUUUUUAAUUUUUAAUUUUAAUUAAUUAUAUUAAAAUAAAAUUUUAAUAAAAGUAGAAUUAAGGCGGUAGCUAGCUACCAUAGAAAAUUAGAAAUUAGGUUUUAUGAUGUUGCCUUAACUUUUGUUUUAGUAGAUAAACGUUUAAAAUAUGUAACGAAUAUUAUAAAUAAAUAAAAUUGAGCCAACAAGAUCCUGUUUGGCUUUUUUUAUGUCCUGAAUAGAUGUUUAAGAUUAUAGCUAGUUAAGUAGGCUCAUUAAAGCAUCUGACAAAUUGUUACAUAAAACCAGGAUAAUUAGAGUGCGAAUCAAAUAACCCAAAUUAUAGAUUCCCUAAUCAAACAAACAUAACAAAAAAAAUUUUGAAAUACAAUUUUUUUUUUUUUAUCAGAAAUGCGCAUUGGCACCAAAUAAAAUUGAGCAAGAGCUAAUGGUGUCCUACAAGUUGACAUGGUCUACCUUUAGCAAGAUUCAAAUAAGAAGGACCACAGUAAACAUAAGAGGAAGUAAUUUAACUUUAUAUAUAAAUCCUACAAUUUAGUUGCAAGUAAAAUAACUCCAAUCUGAAACAUCAAAUGUAUAAGAUUCGUAAGUAAAAAUAGGUUACACGAUUAGUUAUUACCUGGAUUACGUUGUAUAUAUUACAUGGUAUACCUAAUCAGACAAAUAACGUGGACAUGAAGUGAAUAACUUAAUUUGAAUCUUGCUAUUUUAUUUUAUAAUUUUAAACUAAUUAAUUCAUGCACACACAUUAUGUAUGCAUUAAGUGGAUACAAUACAACAGAAGUAUUCUACAAUCUCUUAUAUGAAAGUUCUUAAUUCAUGUACUCUUUUUAGAAUUGACCUUUUCAUAAUAUUAUUUGUGAAGUAUAUUUUCAAACUAAUUUCAGAAUAAUUUUAAAUUAUUGUAUAAGUCUAUGUAUCUAAAGUUUCAAUAAACCCCGCGGAAUUAUAAUAUUUAAUUCAUUUUUUUUUCCUCUAUUGAUAACAUCAUUAUCACUUUCAUAGAGUUUCAAUAAGCCCAGCCGAAUAACCUUUUGUCAACGUCACUGCAUAUGCCCCACCUUCUCCCUCUCGACUCUCUCAAGACACUCCAAAAAAUACUCUAAAGUCCAACAACAUUUUACAAUCUCUCUCGAUUUUUCUCGCUUCAGUUUACCAUCCUCAAACACGAACACGAACACGAACAUGAAUUAAGUUAAUUAGUUUAUGGAACACAAACUCAUCGUCAGCAUCAUAUCCUAAUUGAAAAAGAAGGAUUGCGAGGGAAACUAAGCAUGUGCCUUCAUUUUCACUUGAAAUAAAGCGCGAUGGAAAGAUCUCAUGUUAUCACAUGAUCCCGUGUAAUCACCUAGAAGCCCUUCCACGCACAUUUCUUCUCAAAUUGUCUUCUUCUAAUUUCUUGGGCCAUCGCGGAACCACAAUGUCAAUGCGAGGAUGAGCGAGUGCUGUUCAGCUCGCAGCAUUUGGAGCCGGAGCUCGGCUUCCCUUAUUUGUUGGUCGUUUGGUAGGCGUCGCCAAAAGGCAAAGAGCAUCCUCUGGCGUUCGUGGAGUUGGUCCUCGAUGCGAUCGAUUUCUUCUCCAAGUUGAGCAAGCCUUUGUGCCAUAGCCAUACAAUUAUUUACUUUCGAUCGAGCACUUUUCGUCUGCACCCAAAUGUUUCAUUAAUAUUUUGAAGUAUACACACCUGUUUCAACAACUAUCCGGAUCACGUUAAAAGACAAUUUUACCCUCACUUGAAGUGUAAAAUAACUAACUUGAAGUGUAAAAUAACUAAAAAAGCCACAACACUAGUUUUAAAUUCUAAUUGACCUGGGUGAAUAUUAAAAUUUCUUAAAGGUUAAAAAAAAAAGUAAAAAUGUUUUGUUAUGGGAAUUGAAAUAUCCCCUAUAUCUUCAUCCAUAAUCAUCUAUCCAUGAUAACAAUUUAAUAAACUUGAAAAAGCAAGAUAUCCAAUCCCAAUGAAUCAAACAACCAAUUUUCUUCAUAAAGUUUAGCUUUUGCUUUUAAAAAUUCUAACUCUUGAGACCUUAAAUAAACUCAUAUUCAAAUUUACAUUUUCUAUAAUGAAAAUCUUCAAUUUACCCUUUUAAUAUUUUGAAAAACAGGUCCAACUACAAUAUAAUUGUGGUUUCAUACCUAUUUUUUUUUAUCUUUUUGUGAUCCAACCCAAGAGUUGCAAAGGCUAUUCCAACGGUUUGGAUGUUAUUAUUUGAUUAUUAACAAUAUGGUCUCUUAUGUUUACUAAAAGAAUAAAAAAAGAUUAAGUUUCAAAAUUUUGACCCAUUAGUCCGUUAAAUAUUUUAUUAUCAAAGGUAAUUUAGUAAAUGAACAUAUUUAUAUAUUAAAAAUAUGGAUGAAUUAUUUUAACUUGCUAAAAUACUCUCAAAUUCCAUUUACUUAAAAUAUGAAUUAGAUUUUUAUAAUACUAUUUUGUAUUUAGUGUAACACAAAAUUAGACAAGGUUUUAUAUAAAUUUUGACAAUAUUAAAAUGAAAAAUUAAUAAAUAUUAAAUAAAUGCUUGGAUAGUCAUUUAAAUUCAUUAUAGAGUUUAUAAAUAAUAUUUUCAAAAUAAUAAAUUUCUAUAUGUAAAUUUGAAAUUAUGUAAAAUUACUUAGACUUUAUCACACAUAUGAAGCUGAUCAAUUAUUUAUUUAAUAUGAAAACAAAUGAAUUGUAUAAUAUUUAUUCUAUUACUUAAAUUUAAAAUUUGUUGAGAAGGAGAUAGAGGGAAUAAUUUUUUUUAGAAUUUUAAAAUUAUUAUAUUUUAAUUGAGUUUAUUACAUAAAAUUAUUAAAACUUUAGUUUUUAUUAUUUGUAUAAAACAAUAGGAAUUGUUGAAGAAAAUCCCAAAUAAAUUUUUUAGAAUUUUGUAAUUAUUAUAUUUUAAUUGGGGCUUAUUGUAUAAAAUUUUUAAAACUUAUAAUUUUUUAUUAUUUACAAAAAAUUACAGGGACUGCUAAAGUAAAUACCAAAAUGGUGUUUGGUACAACGGGGUAAGAUAGUUUUACCCUUGAAAAACAUUAAUUUACUUCCAUUUAUCAGUCAAAAGACUAAAAUAAAUGGAGACAUGUGGACGAGAAACUUUUUAACUUUUUAGUGGUAUUUGAUAAAUAUAAAUAAAUUGAAAAUUCUCGUUUUUACUUUUUAUUGGGCAUAAGUUAAAAAUCUUACUCUCUAUUUAUUAUGCUUUAACAAGAGAAAGAAAGAAAACAGAAAACAAAUCUCUUCUAUAGCAGACUUAACAAAAAUUUCAGCUGAGACUUAAACCGACUUUUUCAAGGAAAUGAAAUUAGGAGAACAAAAACACUUUGAAGUGGACUGCAUAUAUAUACUCAAAAAUAACAUACAACUUGAGUCAGUAAUGGUAAAGAAAACGAACGUACACAGACGGGUUUGGAUUUAGAUGAUGAAGAAUGCACUGAAAGCUUUGCAUUUGAGUUCUCUUUUUCGGGUGAGUAAGUUAGGGAACUGCAAGGCCGAUCAAUUUGAAAAAAGAAAAAAGAAAAAAACUAAAAUGUAAACGCAGCUUGAACUUGAUUUCUUUUGGUUUUUGGGGAGGGGACGGGGGGAGGGGAGGGAAUGUAUACGCAGCUUCAAACUUGGUUUCUUUUCGUUUUUUUCCCCGGGGGUGUGGAGGCCUGGAGGGAAUGUAAACGAACUAACGAAGCCUCAAUCCUCAUGCAGCUGUAUUUAUAUGAAGUGGGUACUGCUGACUGAUCCACGAAGGAAGACUUUUGAUGUCAUUGGUGUUUCUUUAUUUUUGACCUUUUAGCUAGAUGACAGAAGAAUGCCGAGUGCUACGGACACUCGCGAGUGUCUCAAUCGCGGCUCUCUAUAUAGACACGUGUCUAUCAAAAUGAAACCUUAUCAGAGAGACAGCCGCAAGUAUGACGAGACAAGCGCGAUCGUAAGGAUGGAAGCCGCAAGUAUGAAGAGACAGGCCCAAUCCACAACGAUCCAAGAGCAAUCAUUACCUGCAAACUCAACACAACACCUAAUUAACUUCAAACCCCACCAUAAAUCCACCAACAGUCACUAUUCGAAACAAAUCUACCUCAAAUGCGACGUCAAAUAAAAGGAAUAAAAAGGUUUCCUUAAAAGAGAGAGAGCUGCGAGUAUGAAGAGACAAGCACGGUCCACAACGAUCGAAGGCUGUGUGGUAUGUGUCUUGUAUAGAUUGAACAGAGCAAUCAUUACCUGCAAAACUGAACCAAACACUCAAUUAACAAACAAAUUUCAAUUUGAAACCCGACCUUAAAUCCACCAUUGGGCACUAUUCGACACAAAUCUACUUGAAAUCCGACAACAAAUAAAAGGAAAAAAAAUUCUAAAUCAACAUCGAAAUGAAACCUUUAUAAGAGAGAAAGCCGCAAGUACGAAGAGAUCUGAAGUCCUGUUGGUAUAUGUCUUGUAUAGAUUGACAGAGCAAUCAAAGGCCGUGUCGACCAGAGCAAUCGCAGAAUAGAAGAGAUAAGAGAGGAAAAAAGAAGGAAGAGGAGAGCUGCAGCAGCAAAUGAUCAGAGCAAUCAUUACCUGCAAAACUCAACACAACACCAAAUUAACAACCAACAUUUCAAUUUCAAACUUAACCUUAAAUUGAAACAAAUCUACUUGAAAAUAAAAGAAUAAGCAACUCCGAAUCAAAAUCGAAAUGAAACCUUUUAUAACAGAGACAGCCGCGAGUAUGAAGAGACAGGCACAAUCUGCAGCGAUCGAAGAGAAAUCACCACUACCUGCAAAACUCAACACAACGCCUGAUUAACAACAAACAUGCCAAUUUCAAACCCACCUUAAAUCCACCAACAGACACUAUAACUUGAAAUGCAAUAUCAAAUAAAAGGAACAAGUAGUCUAAAUCAAAAUCAAAACGAAACCUUAUAAAAGAGACAGCCGCAAGUCUGAAGAGACCAGCACGAUCCUAAAGGAUCAAAGCCGCAAGUAUGAACAGACCUGAUUAACAACAAACACCUGAUUACCUGCAAAACUCAACACAACACCUGAUUAUCAACAAACAUUUCAAUUUCAAACCCAAAACAAAUCUACUUGAAAAAAAAAAAAAAACAACUCCAAAUCAAAAUCGAAAUGAAACCUUAUUAGAAAGACAGCCGCAAGUAUGACGAGACAAGCACGAUCGUAAAGGAUGGGAGCCGCAAGUAUGAAGAGACAGGCCCAAUCCACAACGAUCCAAGAGCAAUCAUUACCUGCAAACUCAACACAACACCUAAUUAACUUCAAACCCCACCAUAAAUCCACCAACAGUCACUAUUUGAAACAAAUCUACCUCAAAUGCGACAUCAAAUAAAAGGAAUAAAAAGGUUUCCUUAAAAAAGAGUCCACAACGAUCGAAGGCUGUGUUGUAUGUGUCUUGUAUAGAUUGAACAGAGCAAUCAUUACCUGCAAAACUGAACCAAACACUCAAUUAACAAACAAAUUUCAAUUUGAAACCCGACCUUAAAUCCACCAUCGGGAACUAUUCGACACAAAUCUACUUGAAAUCCGACAACAAAUAAAAGGAAAAACAAGUCUAAAUCAACAUCGAAAUGAAACCUUUGUAAGAGAGAAAGCCGCAAGUAUGAAGAGAUCUGAAGUCCUGUUGGUAUAUGUCUUGUAUAGAUUGACAGAGCAAUCAAAGGCCGUGUCGACCAGAGCAAUCGAAGAGUAGAAGAGAUAAGAGAGGAAAAAAGAAGAAGAGGAGAGCUUCAGCAGCAAAUGAUCAGAGCAAUCAUUACCUGCAAAACUCAACACAACACCAAAUUAACAACCAACAUUUCAAUUUCAAACCCAACCUUAAAUUGAAACAAAUCUACUUGAAAAAUAAAGGAAAAAGCAACUCCAAAUCAAAAUCGAAAUGAAACCUUUUAAAACAGAGACAGCCGCGAGUAUGAAGAGACAGGCACAAUCCGCAGCGAUCGAAGAGAAAUCAUCACUACCUGCAAAACUCAACACAACGCCUGAUUAACAACAAACAUGCCAAUUUCAAACCCAACCUUAAAUCCACCAACAGACAGACACUAUAACUUGAAAUGCAAUAUCAAAUAAAAGGAAAAACAAGUCUAAGUCAACAUCGAAAUGAAACCUUUAUAAGAUAGAAAGCCGCAAGUACGAAGAGAGAAGCGCGAUCCUAAAAGAUCUGAAGUCGUGUUGUAUAUAUGUCUUGUAUAGAUUGACAGAGCAAUCAAAGCCCGUGUCGACCAGAGCGAUCGAAGAGGAGAAGAGAGAAGAGAGAAAAAGAGAAGAGGAGGAGAACUGCAGCAGCAAAUGAGCAAAGGGAGCUCAAUUUAUAAACGACUAAACGAGGGAUUCCGUUUGCUCAUUUGCUGCUGCAGCUCUGGACCGUUGAGGGGGGACACGUGGAGGGAUCGUGGGGAGUGGUGGAAGUAACUGUGGUUGAGUUAAGGUUGACUAGAGUUAUGUGAGGGAUCCAAGGCUGGGUGUUUUCCUUUUGGAUAUGCGUUUUGUCAGUGGGAACGGCAUCGUUUGUUUGGGUUUAAAAUUGAGCACAUUUAUUAUACGUAGCGGAAUCGUACAAAAAUUGCUGCUGCAGUAUAAAUCUGAAGGAAAAAAAAAAAAAUGGUUGGUAUGUGGAAAUUAUACUUGAAACGUUGUCGUUUUUGGCAUAAUUGCUGUGAUAUAUUUAUUUGUUUGUGUUUUUAUUUCUUUUUUCUGGGUUUUAGGGUCACAAUCGGAGAGCGAAGACAAGGUCUCGUUGGAACUCUCUGAAGAAGUUCUUCAGAGCAUGGAAGUGGGCAUUUCUUUUAGAGAUUAUGUAAGAGAAUCUUCUAUUAAGUUUCUGUUUGAGGAACAUACUUGAUUUGCAUUUUAAAUGUAUCUGUUUGUUAAUUCAUUGUCGUUUUGUGUUGAUUCGUGUUUUAACAGAAUGGGAGAAUUAGUUCCUUGGAUUUUCAUAAAUCAUCGAGUUAUUUGAUGAUGGCUAGUGAUGAUGAAUCUAUACGGCUGUACGAUGUCUCUGCUGCCACGUAAGUUGAUCCUCUGUUUCUUAGGAUUUUAUGUUGUCUAUUGGGAAGUGCUUUUAACUAAGAAAUGGCUUUUGAAUAAGUAUAAAAAGCUGGUUUCAAUCUUGCAAUGUUUGUUUGAAAUUGCUGGAAUAAUAAAGUGUCUUUUGAAAUCAAAGGAACCCUUGAAGUGUUUUUCUAGGGAAGUGCUUGAUAUCUGCUUUCAUGGAUAGAACUUUUUGGAUUAGGAAACCACUUGUAGUGCUGUUUGAAGUAGUGCUUCAUAUAUGUUUGAAAGUGAUUUUACUCGAGGGUACUUUCCAUUAAAGCACUGCUGAACGUAUCCUCUGCGUGUUUGAUGAGCUCAUGAAAGCUACUGUCUUUCUAAGAUGGGGAAAAAUGCUUUUUUGAUGAAACAGAAAAAAAAAAAAAAAAAAAAAAAGGAGAACCUUGGAGUGGUUUUCGGGGCAGUGCUUAAGGGAAAUGUAAUUGAUAUAUUUUUCAAGAACUUUUGUAAAAAGGCCUUUUCUUUUUCUUUUUUGUUUUGUUUGCAUAAGCUCUUUCUAUAAGAGCACUGCCAAAUGCACUCCAGUUGUCUUAGCUGAGCUCAUGAUAGUUGGUAUUGCAAUUGUUGCUGAGAGCCUUAAUUGAAAUUUCAGAUGUUUGAAGACAAUUAACAGCAAAAAAUAUGGAAUAUUUGUGUUUUGUAUGUUGGUGAAUUACUUUACUAGGCACUUAUUUGGUACGUUCAUUUAUUCAGAAUCUCUACGGCUUCUUUCCUCGCACUAUAACAAGUACUUGCGUUACUUCAACGGUCAUCAUAACAGGUUUGUAAUUCACUUAUUCUUGUAAAUAUUUCGUAAUUAUUAUUAUCUGUAUAUAUGUUUUACUGCUUCUAGGGUUGUUUCACUUAGUCUGUGCUCCUCCAAAGAUUGCUUUAUCUCUGGUUCUCUUGGUCAAUCUGUUCUGCUCUGGGAUCAACGGGCUGAGAAAUGCUAGGUGGAUAUCAUGCCAUCCACCAUUUUCAAUUGUAUAUAUGAUCUCUGUUGGCAAAUACGGGCCUUUUGCAUGUUCAAGGAAGGCCUGCUACAGCAUAUGAUGAUCAAGGGCUUGUCUUUGCAGUUGCCUUUGGAGGAUACAUAAGAAUGUUUGAUGCUCGUAAGUAGGAGAAGGUUAAAAUUAAUAUUUAAGAACAUCUUGGAAGUUUAUAUGUCGUACUUUUAUCAUGCACUAAUUUGGUUAAAUUUGGAUACAUCUUCUCUGAUGGUGUAGAUGUAUCAGAUUCUGAUGCUGUAAAGUUCAGCAAUGAUAGGAGACUUAUGCUUCCGACCUCUAUGGAAGGACAUAUUCAUGUGCUUGACUCAUUCCAAGGCACACUUGUGAGUUGACUUUUUCUUUCUUCAUCUCCCAAAUGUAACAUAUCGUACAUAUAUACCCCUCUAUACACUGGAAUCUCUGUUAAUGAGCUUUUGUUUACUCUUGUUUUUAUUUAUCCACUUAUGAUGCCAAGCCAGUUUCUCGCAAUUCCACAUUGGAGGCAUCUUUCAGCCCGGUAGAGUUUCUCCUUUGAGUUCUUAGGGCACAGUGACUUGGAUAUUUUGUUAAUAUUUGCUUUUGGCUGUUUUGAUAUUUUAUAUUAAAGUUCUUGCACUUGUGCUGUAUAUAAUUCUCAAAUUUGUUACCACCUUGUUGGUAUAUUGAAAUACACGACUUGAAAUGUUGGGCAUCAAGCUUGUUUCCGCAGAAUUCUUUGAAAUAAAUUCAUUUUCUCUUCUUCAUUGACUUGGUUUGAAACCCACUCCCAUCCAUGCAAAUCCAAAUGCAUACGUAUUUUCAUCUGGUUGUGCUUAUUAAUAAAAAUAAAUCAAUGAAAUGCUCAAAUAGCAAGUGCACCCACACAUGUGGAAGCAGCCUGGUGCGGCCAAGCACCUCUCAUUCGUUUUAUGUGAUACAAUUGGUUUGUUGCACUCUUUGUGCUAAUUUUACUUUCUCGAUUUUGGAAGGUUCUGAUGAUGGUAGUGGAUAUGCUUGGAGUGUAGGGAGCGGGAAAGGGGUAUGAUAAGCAAAAUUCCUUGAUUCUCAUGCCUUUUGAAUGCUUAGAAUUCAAAGGGAUGUUAUUUCCCUUACACUGACCCCAGUCAUAGCAUUCAUUGUCUUCUAGCCAAACCAACAAUGCUUUUGAAUCUACAUUUGAGCAUUUACCUUAAGCACCAGUUUGCAUAAUGAGUUCUGUAUCCAAAGACUAUAUUCUUUGGAUGUUGGUAUUGUUAUUAUAUAAACAUUGUUUGGUUUUGUUUAUUUUUCUUGUCAGGGUUGUUAGUUGGAUGAGUUUUCAUACAGAGCCUCCUGUCAUAAAAUGGGCCCCUGGAAGUCUCAUGUUUGUUACGGGGUAAUCUGAGCUAUCAUUUUGGAAUCCUAAUGUGUCUAAACUAGGAGCUUACGAUGGGAGGAAGUAAAGUUUCUAACACUCAGCACCCUUAAGUAUCUGAAUAUUGAUGUCUAUCUAUUGCUGGGAGGGGAACUUGUUUGUAAGGAGAUGUUCAAUUUCCUAUAGUAGUAUGUAAAUGCAUCUGACUUACCUGCUAGUAACCUUUCCUAACAAGUUCUGAAGAAACAACAGUAGAUCUGGUAUCAGUACUUUAUUCAGAAGAGCAUUUCUUCUUACAUGCACAGCUAAGAGUACAUGAAUUGAGCUACUGAAGCCCUUCCUGACCAACCUGGCUAAGGCUCCUUUCAGUUUGUCCUCUUCAUGGUUCUUUGGCAGGCAACAGCGUAAGCAAUUACCUGGACUAUGAGGCCUUUUGUAGCGGGGUGGGCACUGCCUAGGCAGUUUUUGAAAAAACUAGGAGCUUUAUUUGUCAUUGACAUUUGUAGCACGAUUAGUUAUUACCUGGAUUAAGUUGUAUAUAUUACAUCGUAUACCUAAUCUGACAAAUAACAGGUUGCAAUCCAAGUUUUGUUGAUCAUGAAGGGUUUGAGCAUGAUAGUCCAUUUAGGUCAUUAGGUCUCCCUCGAAUUGCCACGUACACACUUCAAUCCUCUCAACGAGCGUCCCCGCAACGUCACACUCCACAAUAAUCUGAAAUAAUUUAAAACAAUUAUAUACUUCUGGCUGCUCUUAUCUCCCUUCUCACCAACCGAGUCACUGGUUGGUUACAUUUUACUAACACCGCCGAAUGAGAGAUCAUAAUCCCUAUUACGUGUCCACCCUAACUGAUCACAACAUUGUCAUUUUUUAUCUAGCGUUAGCAACGCGUUGUUCAGUUGUCAUAGCUUCGAAACCGCGUUAUUUGUUUAUACACUACAUUUUUGGACUCAAGGCACAAAAGGGAUAAUAAACAAUUGUUAUAAACAAUUGUUAUAUAGUCUGCAAGGUCCAUUCCAAUUGUGUUUGUGUAUAUAUAUUUUAGCUUUCUCUCCUACACCCAGGCUUUAUGCCUCUCGUGCCUCAGUUUGAUGUGAAGAAAUGGUCCAUCAAGGCCAUUGGUUAUAUAGUCAGCAAUAGCAAUAUUGCCUUUCUUCAACCACAGCAAUGUUUAUUGGGUACGCAGGAUCAAUUAUCUUCUUAGUAAUUAACAUAAUAAUAUAUUAUGUUUGUAAAUGUGUAAAUAAAUUUUAUUCAAUAUUUAUAGUUUUACAACAAUUUAAUAUUAAAAUUUACCAAACAUAUACAAUUGUUUUUAUAACUCACAGCUCCUUUAAAAAUAAGUUUUUGCAAACGUUUAAUUAAUUUUUUUAAAUUGAUUAUUUUUAUAGCACAGCUAACAUCAAUUAUUUUAAAAGCUACAGUAUUACCAAAUUGACUCCUUACUCUUUUUAUUAAAAUUAUUAUUUAAAAGUUCUAAUUGCAAUAUGUUACCAACUUUUAUUUCACAUCUAUAAUUUUUUUUUCACAACAGCUAUAACUUAAACGUCGCAUCAUCUUAAUACCAAAUAGGGCUAUAGUUAUUUGGGACCUUUUUUUUUUCCCCCCCUUUUCCCUCUUCUUUAGCAACCUACAAAAAACACUAGAAAUAAAACAGAAAAAUUGAGUAUGAAAUUAAGCAUUAGUUAAGUAUGAAGUUGGGUGAGUCGAGUAUAAAAUUAAGUACUUUUCUAUAUGAUUUUAAAUAAAGGGUUUUUUAAUAUUUUGCUUUGUGAUUUUGGAUAUAUUUCUACAAUACCAGUAAACUAUGUAAUAAGCAUAUAUUUGUUGUUUUGUUGUGAAUGGGACAUAUCUAGCGCCAUUUGCUCUAGGGAUGGCAAUGGGGCAGAUAUGGGUUGGAUCUACUUUGCUCCAAAUUCAAAUCCAUAAUAAAAAUCAAGAUCCGUAUCUACUCCAGAUCUGUCAUGAAUCCAUAUUUUUUGCUCCAUAUCCAGAUCCAAAAAAGAAAUAAAUAUCUAUAUCUACUCCAAAUCUUAAAAAAAAUUAAAAUCCAAAUCUGUUCUACAUCUGUCAUGAAUUCUAAAACUCAGUAAUAAAAAAUUAAUAAUUUUUUAGAAUGAAAAUUGAAGGCUUAAAUGUAUUGAUAAAAAAUAAAUUAUAUAAUUUUUCUCAAAAAUAUAAUAAAUAUUGUAGCUUAUACUUUUAUCUCAAAACAAUAAAUAAGAAAGAUAAUAAAAUAUCAUUCAAAAGUAAUUGUAGAAGUAAGAUCAAUCUAAUAUUCUAUUGUCUCCUUCAUCAUUCUAAUAUCCACGACACACCUACCAUCAUUUCUACAACAUUAAAUAAUGACAUAUAAAUUAAAUAUGAUUUAUAUUCAGUCCUUUAUUAUUUUUAUUAUGAUCAUAUUUGACUAAAUAUAUGAAUAACUAUAUUUUUUAAAAAUUAUUUGGCUUGCAAUUUGAAUAUUUAGGCUUGGCUGACCUUUAUAUUUACAAAACUAACCUUUAAGUUUUAAGAGUUUAAAUGCAUGGUAAAUACCACUAAUAUGUUAUGAAUAAAAUUUAUUAUUAUUAUAAUUCCAUAAUUGUUAAGAAACUUUUAAAAUAAAAUAAAAUUAAAAGAUGAGUGAAUAUGAAUGUGGAUUUAGAUAUUAAGAUAGAUCCAGACCUGCUCCAGAUCCGUCUUAGAUCCGCACAUCGAUAUUCAAAUUCGAUCCAAAUUCAUUUUAAACUGACCCAAAUCCGAUCCGAUUGGAUUUGGAUCACGUGGAUCUUGGGUCAAAUCCAAUCCAUUGCCAUCCCCAAUUUGCUCCCGUGACUGAUCUUUAUAACAGAUCCAAUUACCCUCAUUAUAGUCUUGAUCGAAAGCUAACAUAGCACAAUUCUGAUAUGUAAUGUGAGUGAUGGGAGAGUCACAAAUUAUUGUAUAAAUUUAUUUUAUCUAAAUUAAUUAGUAUAAAUUGAUAGAAAUAUAAAAUAAUAAAAAUAUAAAUCACGUAGACCAAGGUGUAUUUAAUAUAACUAAUAAAAUUUUACUCGAUCAGUUUAUAUAAGAAUUUGUAAUUUUAUUAUUACUCAUGGUACUUGAACAGUGGCUGAUUGGUCAGCUAGUGGUAUAAGUGGCAACGACCAAACUGUUGAGUCUCCACGUGGGUUUCAAAAUGAGUCAAGAGUCAAGAAAUUAGCUAUCAAGUUAUGAAAAAUAUUUGUAAACAUGUCUUUGAGAUGAUACAUUGUCAUAAUCAACAUCAUAUCCUAAUUGACAAAGAAGGGUUGCAAGGGAAACUAAGCAUGUGCCUUCAUUUUCACUUGAAAUAAAGCGCGAGGGAAAGAUCUCAUGUUAUCACAUGAUGCCGUGUGAUCACCUAGAAGCCCUUCCACACAUAUUUCUUCUUAAAUUGUCUUCUUCUAAUUUCUUGGGCCACCGCGAAACCACAAUGUCAAUACAAGGAUGAGCGAGUGUUGUUCAGCUCGCAGCAUUUGGAGCCGGAGCUCAGCUUCCCUUAUUUGAUGGUCGUUUGGUAGGCGUCGCCAAAGGGCAAAGAGGAUCCUCUGGCGUUCGUGGAGUUGGUCCUCAAUGCGAUUGAUUUGUUCUCCAAGUUGAGCAAGUCUUUGUACCAUAGCCAUAAAAUUAUUUACUUUGGACCGAUGCAAUUCUCUUCUAAAAUUUUCAGGGAACACUUUUCAUCUGCACCCAAAUGUUUCAUCAUAAUUUUAUUGUAUACACACUUGCUUCAACAGCUAUCACGGCUCACUCUUUUUGUUAAAUAUUGUUGUUGCCAUUAAUUUUGACAUCUUUGACGUUAAAAGACAACUUUACCCUUAUUUAUAUUUUUUAAUGCAAAAUUGCCAAAAAAACCACAACACCAAUUUCUAAUUCCAAUUGACUUGUGGGGAUAUUAAAAUUUAAUUUUGGCAUCUUUGACAUUAAAGAGAUAAUUUUACCCUUAUUUAUAUUUUUUAAUGCAAAAUUACCAAAAAAACCACAACACGAGUUUCCAAUUCUAAUUCACUUGUGUGGAUAUUAAAAUUUAUUAAAGGUUAGAAAAAAAGUAAAAAUGUUUUGUUCAAAAUAUCCCCUUUGCCAUCAUCCAUAAACGUCCAUUCUUCAUAACAAUCUAGUAAACUUGGAAAAAGCAAGAUCCCAGUCAAUCAACCAGCCAAAAUUCUUCAUAAAGUUUAGCUUUUCUUAAAAAAUUUUAAAUCUUGAGUUAAAAAUUUUAAUUCUUGAGACCCUAAAUUAAUUGAUAAUGAAAGUCACAUGUUUCUAUAACAAAAAUCUUCAAGAAUAACAGUACAAUGAAAAUCUUCAAGUAAAUAAAAAUCUAUAUUCAUAAUAUUUAUGAAUAAAUUGUAAAUAAUAUAGAGUGGUUUAUAAUUUUAUAGUGUAUUCACUAAACAAGAAUCGAAAUUAUUUGGAAACAUAACGAGUUAGAAUCAGAAUAUAUAGAAUCAAAAUAAGAAAUUGGAAUCAGAAUAAUUUAUUUACUUGAACUGCAGGAAUCGUAAUUAGAAUGAGUCAUUUACAUGUUUACUUUGUCUUAAAAUCAAAAUUGGAAUGAGUUAAAUUGUAACAAAUUACUAUAAAAUCCAUAAUUAAUUUUUAUCAUAAUAAUUAAUUUUUAUUUUAAUUAUUGUGAUUAUUAUUAUUAUUAAUAAAUUAAUUAUUAACAAUAAUUAUUGUUAAUUAUUAUUAUUAUUAAAAAGUUAACUAAGAAUUUAUUAUUAAUUAUUGUUAAUAGAUUAAUUAAUUAUAAUACUUUUUAUUCUUGUUAUUAAUAAUAAUAAUAAUAAUAAUCCAUUUACAAUUUAUAAUUAUAUUUAUAAUUAAGUGGAAAUUAAAGUGGUAGGGUCUCAACCAAAAUGUGGCACGAACACAUUUAUCCAACAGCAAGAUUUUUCGAUUGCCAUCCCCACUAAUUUGGUGUAAUGACUAAGAGUUAAUUGAAAAAUAUAUAGUUUAAUUUUACAUUUAAUUUUUUUUCUUUGUUGUAUUAAGAAUUAAUUGAAAAAUUAUUAUAUUCCCUUAAUUUUACCAGAAUCCCGUUGACUUAGACCCUAGUCUCUUGAUUAAAGCGUUUUCAAGUUCAAAGAUUCAGAUAACUCACUCGAUUAUAGGGCGUCUGCACCUUACGCUCGCGUUUGUUGUGAUGCCAGUAGCUGCUGUGACUGUGGCUGUCGUUGUCGAUUGUACUUGAAUUUUGCAGGAGAGCUUAAUAUCUUGUUUAGUAAUUAAGUGUUGUAUCAUUUAUUGUUAAAAAAUUAUAUUAUAAAAUAAAAAUUAAUAAUAAGUAAUAAAUAUGAUUUUUAAAAAUUAAUUUUCAUUAUAUAUUGUCAUUAAAUAAAUAUAAAAUUAAUUUAAUUUAACUGUAAAAUUAUAAUAAUUAAUAUUUAUUGAAUACUUUAGUAUUAUAACUUUUAAAAUUAUAAUGGACUAACUUCAAUCCCAAAAGAACCUGAAAUGAUUGUGGAGAUCGGGAUUUUCAAUUUCCUUUCUUUUUGGAACUAGUUUGGGAUUGUCCAAACACGCUAUGGUAUGCGUUUGACAUGGAGAAGGGGGGACAAAUCAAUUUUGUUUACUGCAAAACCCUAAAAAUAAUUAGUCAACUUGCGUAUACCCCUUUUGGACCCAUUUUGUCAGGAAAAAGAAAUUGUGGACCAUUUGCACUCUAAAUUUAACUUUAGAUACUGGUAUUUUAAUAAAUUUUUAUAUUAUUAAAUUAACCUUAAUAUAAGGAUCCAGCUACGGUACACAUGUUGUAUGGUAUCCCGCAUUUUGUUCAUAUAUGACUUUGCCUUUAAAUGUAACAUAAAACUUGCAUCAAUUGCAUAGAUGUAUUCUCUUUGGUUAUUAAUAUUGACACUCCUAUUGUUUUUCAAAAAAAUAAAAUGGUGAAAGGUUUGACACAUAAUUUUAGAUUAUUUUUAAAUUUUUUAUUUUUAUCAAUUGAUCUACUUUAUUAUUAAAAUUAAUGACAGUAUAAGAGCAAUAACUUGAAAAAACUAAAACAAAAGGAAUUACAUGGUCACCGUCUGGAACUGGAAAUGUUUUGAGUUUACUUAUCCUUUUGGUUCGCACCGCCCACGAAGCUUCAUAUUCCUACGAUAUGUCUUUUUUUUUUAAAAAUAAUAAUUUAUAAUCUGACAGCUGGAACAAAGUUUCGACUUUCGAGUGGGCAAAACGCAAAAACUACCACGACUACUUGAACAACUUCGUUACAUUUAGACAUUUAUCAUUUAAUCAGAGUUUGAUGAGCAGCGUUGAAGGAAAGUUUAUAGAAAUAACCCUUACUUUUUUUCUAUUUUCGAAUAGCAAAUAAAAUUUCCCUUUUUCAGUUAAACAGUUUCAAGUCUAGUAUUUACUGUUUGAAGGAGAAAAUUAUGGUGUAACGGUGGUACCGUGCUACUGUUGUACUCACCCGUUGGAUCUCAAUGAAUCCACUCAUUCAAGUGGAUUCAACGGCUGAAUGCAACAGUGGCACGAUACCACUGUUGCACCGUAGCCGGACCUCUAUUUCAAUUACACAAACAACAUGUAACUGUUUUAUAUAUACCUUUUUCUAGCGGGUUCAAAAAGUUUCAACCUUAUGGAAUGGCACAAUCUUUGUAUAUUAUUAUUUUAAUUAAUAACAAGAUUACUGAUCCUGUGUGCCCGGUAAACACUACUGUGAUUGAGGAAAAAGCGGUAUUGCUAUUGCUGUUUCUUACCAAAGGCCUUGAUAAAUAAACCAUUUCUUCACAUCAAACUAAGGCACAAGAGGUAUAAAGCCUAGGUGUAGGAGAGAAAGCUACAACAUAUAUGACACAAAAUCAAUUUGGAUGGACCUUGCUAAUCACGUCUGUGAAUGAAGAAGAUUCACCUCGAUGCCAUAGGAGAGCAAAUUAUUAGGGGGCAGGAUGGACAUGUCACAUGGUUAAGGGGGUCUCUAAAUCCCGAAGGGUACAAAAACCUAUGCUUUGAAGCUCACCUCACUAUCUAAAAUCAAAUAUGACUUGAAUGCGAAAUUACGUGUGCGGUAAGUUCUUAUUUGGGAAACUGUGUUGUGCGUCCCACAAACUCCAAAUGGGAGCUUGCCGCAUGUUCAAUCGUGCUUAUAGAGUGUGUCCGCAUGCAUCUAAUUGAGAUCUUAUUUACAGUAUAAUACACUUCUAAAAAUUUAGAUAGCAAUAUAAAACUUUACAACUAUAAUAUUCAUUGAUAAUAAAUUUAUUUAUUAUGAUUGUUCUCGUUGAAAACUCCUCAAUGGAAUUUUAUGAGUCGAAAAUAACGUAUGAUAGUUUAACUACCAAUAUAAGAAAAAAUAUAUUUUUCAAUAUACAAAACUAGGUUAUUGCUUAAUUUGCUUUUAAAAUCUUUUAAUAAUAACAAAAAUAUUCAUAUAUUGCAACACAUAGAGCAAACAUGAAUGCAUUAUAAAAUUAUAGAUUUUAAAACUAGACAAAAGAUUAAUCAAAAAAUGAAAAAUUAGAAUUAUGUAGACUUACAACUUAUGGGUCAUUGUUGAAAGACUAAACAAUUGAUUUUGCUCGAAUAGAAAACAAAAAAAAUAUUAAAGACUAGUCCAUUAACCAUUAUACUAACAUUUUUUAUGAUUGUUUUUUAUUUUAAUAUUUGUUCUCGUGUCUUUAAUUGAAUUUCAUGAAAUGUUAAUUGCUAAUUAAAUUAUUUAGAAUUAGACAUUUAAACGAGGGAUAAUAUGAAAUAUUUUAAAAUUACUAGAGUCACUUUUAAAUUUUACAAUGCAGCUGGGGCAUUUUUCAUAAAUAACAAACAAAAUACAUUUUUUUCAUAUAAUCAUCAAAAAAAAUUUAAAAGCCAGCCAGGGCAUGUGCCUCAGCUGGUCCCAUGCUGAUUCCGCCCCUGUACGUAAGACACACGCAUAUUAUUUUACAAGGUACCACCAAUUUUUGUCUUUUGUGAUGUCAAAUUUCAUUUAACUCCUUAUCUUUUUUGAUUUACGGUUUAUUUAUAACAUUAUAUCCUUUGACAGGUAACUUUUUAAAAUGAAUUUUAUUUAUAAUUUAUUUAUAAGUUUAUAUACUUUGGCUGGUGAUCUGCUCAAAUGUAAUUUUAUUUUAUUUAAUAUUAUUUAUCUUUCUAAAAGAAUAAAUAUACAAUAAGCCUGUGACUAGAUAAUAUUAAAUAAUAUUUUGAAUAAAAUAAAAAUAUUAAAAAUUUAUUCUUUUAAAUAAAAUAAAUAAUAUUAAAAAAUAAUAUUUAUUUUUUAGGACUCACAAUUGCUUAUUCUAUUUUAUUUAAUAUUAUUUAAUUUUUAAAAAUAAAUAUAAUAAUAAGCUUGACUAAAUAAUAUUAAAUAAAAUAAUAUAAAUAUUAUUAAAAAUAAUAGUAAUUUUUUUAGACUCAUUACUGAUUAGUUCAUUUUAUUUAACAUUAUUUAGUUUCAUGAAAGAAUAAAUAUAAUAAUAAGCCUUUGACUAUAUAACGUUAAAUAAAAUCAAAUAAAUAAUAUUAAAAAAAUAUUUUUUUUAUAAAAUAAAUAAUAUUAAAUUUUUAUUCUUUUGAAUAAAUAAAUAUAUUUUUUAAGACUCACAACUGAUUAUUUAUUUUAUUUAAUAUUAUUUAGCUUUUUAAAGAAUAAAUAUAAUAAUAAGUCUAUAACUAAAUAACAUUAAAUAAAAAUUAAAUACUAUAAAUAAUAUUAAAUAAAAAUUAAUUAAUAUUAAAAAUUAUAUUUAUUUUUAAUGCUCACUACUGAUUAUUUUAUUUUAUUUAAAUAUUUAGUUUUUUGAAAGAUUAAAUACAACAAUAAGCCUGUAACUAAAUAAUAUUAAAUGAAAUGAGAAUAAAUAAUUUUAAAUAAUAUUUUUUAAUAAAUAAAUGAUAUUAAAAAUUAAUUUUUAAAAUAAAAAAAUUAAUAUUAAAAUAAAUUUAUUUUUUAAGACUCAAUUAUAAUUAAACAACAUAAAAUUUUAAACAAUUUGGACUUAUGUGCUAAAAGUUUUAAUUAUUUAGCUCUUUUGCAUUUUUGAUAAAUAGCAAGGAGCAUAAUGUUAAUAUUUAAAUAAACGAUUCACUACCCUUAAAUCUAUCUUUUCAUUGAAUCCAAUGAUCAAAAAUUAAAACCAAUGACCAAGAAUUGAAACUACAAAAAAAUAAAAUCAUAUGGUAUCUUACAACUGUUGUAAGAUAAUUGAGUCUUUUAAUUACACGUGUUAUUUGGAACUUGUUAAAUUGGUCCCUUGUGGGUCCUCGUGGACUCUAAAUUAGCCGUACACCUUUUAAAUAGAAAUAAGUGCAUUACAAUUUUUUUCUAUUUUACUUUAUUUUUGAAAUUUUUUGGAAAAAGUGAUGACUCAUGAUAAUAGAAGAAGAAGAAUAGUAGGAUACAUGUAAUAUCGGUUUAUACUUUAUAUCACUUUUUACUUCUUUCUUUGAUUUUUUUUAAAUUUUUUAUUAUACUUUUUUGUGUCUUUGGGGUCCAAAUAUAUUGUGUAUAAAUAAAUAACGUGGCUUCUGAGUUUAUGGCAAUUUACCAAGCGUUAAUAAUGCUUGAUGAAAAUGUUGCAAUCAGGUAGGGCGGACACAUAUAGAGAUUAUGAUCUCUUAAUCAGCGGUGUUCGUGAAAUGUAGCCAACUGCUAAUUCGGUCGGAGACGAGGGAUAUCUAGUGCAACCAGAAGUUCAUAAUUGUUUUAAAUCAUUUGAGAUUAUUGCGGAGUGCAACGUGUCGUUUGUUAAGAGAAUUAAAAUGAGUCAAAAGGUUUAAGAAAUAAGCUUUGGCUGCUUGGAAAAACCGCUUUCGAGCCUCCACAAAGUAUUGUAGGGCUUAAAUUCUUUUCAAUUAUGAAUAGUAAUUAAGUGAAGACAGUUUUCUUUUCAAUAAUUACCUAAUUAUAAAUUUAUCAGUAAAAAUUUCAUUUAAUAUGAAUUGUAAUAUAAGAAAAGAAAAAAAAAGUAUUCACUUAUGAUAAUAUUCUUAUUUGUAAACGUGUCCUGAGAAUUGAGAUGAUACAUGAUCGUCAAUGUCAUAUACUAAUUGAAAGAGUAGGUUUGCGAGGGCCUGCCGUGCUAAGCAUGGGUUUUCAUUUCCCUUAACCGCUUGAAAUGAAGCAUGAGGGAAAGAUCUUAUUCCACCUAUGUUUUAUUAUUAAUAAAUAAUUUUUUUUUUAUCUAUUAACCAAUAAUUAUCGGAGCGAGUUUUACUCAAGAGAACUUCAAUAAUAAAAAAUGUUUGAUCUCACUGAAAUGACAAGUUAUUUAAGGUUAUUGAAAAUCUAAACAAAAAUUACUUUUAGGAAAAUGCUAAACGAAGAGAAUGGCGUGAGAACGCAACGUGAUAAUAUUAAAUGUAUAGUAAAUGUCAACUUUUAGCAUUUUCUCUUUCUCACCACGAGUAGCUUUUGCACGACAGAAAAACAAAACAACGUUCAUCACAAAGCUAAUUUUUCUCUCACCCAACGUGAAAAUCACUUUGGCUCAUUUAUUCACCAACGACCACCGAAUAGAUCUAGAGUAGUAGCAAGUGAGGGAGAGGAGUAGUAGAUCUGGAGUACUAGCGAGCGAGAGAGAGGAGGAAGAGGAGGAGGAGUAGCGAGUGAGGGAGAUGAGUAAAUCUCAACAUUAUUUUUUUCUUUCAUACUAGCCUUUUAAGGUUAUAAAAUUCUUUUGUUUUUAUUAACAAGAAUGCUGAAAGCUGCUACUGAAAGAAACGACAUUACUGUAUGUCAUUUCUCUCGGCAUUCUUGGUAAUUAAUUUAUAUUUGUACCACUCUAUUAAUUUACAACUUUGCCAUUCAUAUAAAUAAAUUUAAAAAAAAAAAGUAAAAUCUUAGGUCCAGCCUGAAUGGGCUCACAUUUAGCACUACUCUUACUUUUAUGCUAUCGCAUGAUAUCGUGUAGGGACGGCAAAAUACAGGUUUGGUCUAAGCUUGGAAGGCCAAGCCCAUUUCACGAGAGGCACAACAGGCUAGACUGGUCAAGCCUAAUGUGAGCCCAUUCAGGCUCAAGCUGGACCUAAGAUUUUACUUUUUUUAUUUUUUUAAAUUUAUUUAUAUGAGUGGCAACGUUAUAAAUUAAUAGUGGUACAAAUGUAAAUAAAAUAGUUGAUUUUUUGUAAACUUUGCAUAAUGACAAUUUUGUAAAAUUUGGACAGGCUGUAGCUCAUCUCAGUCCACACAGCCUCACCACUAGGUAUAAACAUGGAGAACAAUUUAUAAAUCCACCAAGCUAAAUUAAAGUCAAACACUUGACAUUAAGAAAUUUCUAAUAAUCUUAGAAAUAAACUAGUCGAUAAUCACUUGAGAUCAUUUCCUCACCCCAUAAUCCAUCAAUUAACUGAGAAAUGACAACUCACCAAUUAGUUUUUCAUCAGAACUCAUAACACAGAACUUACCCAUUCACAUAAUAAAAACAUUGACAUUAAUGAGAGAGUAGCUUAAUCAAAUAAUAAUCCAUUAAUAAAAUGAAAAUUAACAACUUGUACCUUCAUAGAUGAUUCUUGUGCACUUGACUUUCUAAGUAAAGAACGUCACUAUUCUUUUCAAGAAGGCAGCCACCACAAAGCAUAGAAGCUUCUUCAUAUAAUAGUACAACAAUCAAAACCUGAAACAUACGCAUCAGUAUUAAUUUAUUAUAAUUUAGCAGCAGUAAAUAUUUUUUUUCAAAAGUUAUCUGCAGUAAAUAUAAGAAUAACAAAGAAUAAAAUCUUAGAUCAACAACAGAGAACCUAAACUCUACAACUUGCUUGAACUACUAUCAACAUCAUACCACAUAAUCAAAUAGACAAAAUAGUGUAAUAUAUAAUUUGUAUUGACCUCCAUACUAUCACGUAAAAAAUAUUGUAUUAAAAACAAAGGGUAAUUUUUAGGGACCUCCCCUGAGGUUUACCGUAUUGACACAUAGAGAGAAUGUAUCCACGUAAUUACAACCACCUCCCCUCCCGUUAGUAUCCGGUUAGUUUGACUGUUAGUUGACUGUUGAAAUUACUAAAUUACCCUUCCCGCCAAAAUUAUAAGUUAUAAAAUAAGAGAAGAGAACCGAUAAGUAAUAAACUUAACGCUAGAAUCACAAAAGCUAAAAAAAGACCAAAUUACCCAUCUAUGUGAUGUGAUUUCAUUUACAUUAUUUGUUAUUAAAAAAACAGAAAAAAUAAAUUAAAGCUGCCAUUAUUACCGUUGUAAGUAAACGGUAAUAUUUUGAGUAGUAGCAGCAACUAUAAAAGGCCUGGGCAAGUUAGCAAAUGACCAUAGCAGAAUUUCAUCUUCAUCUUCUUCUUACGAUUUUAAGUCAUCAUCCAUUCAACUCUUGAACAGAAGCACUCAUCAUCAUCAUUAAAAGCAUUCAUCAACUCAUCAAAGGAAGCAUUCAAUUCACGACAACAGAAGCAUUCAUCAUCAGCAUCAUCAGAAUCAUUCAUUUAGUUCAUUGACAAAAGCAUUUAUUCAUCAAUUUAAGCAUUCAUCCAACUCACCAACAGAAGCAUUCAACAUAAUCAAGAUCAAACACUAUCUCAACCACAUGGAUUCUGAAAGCUCAAACACAUCCAGCCGAUCAAAUACACAACCAAUUUAUGAGCCAACUUGGAGGAACUUUGUUAAUGGGAGGCUGAUUAAGUUUUCAAAUCGAAUAUGUAGAUGUCGUAUGAGAGCCAAGGUGAUGAUAUCUGAAUCGGAUGAGAAUCCUCACAAGCUUUAUUAUAGAUGCCCGAACAUAACAACAUGCGGAUACUUCAAAUGGUGGGUUCCAGCAAGGGAUGAUUUCAACAAUGGAGCUGUGUUUGAGGGGAAUUUAAGUGCUAUUGUGCAUCAUGAUACCCUAAAUGCUAUUCAAUCAAAUCUGAAAGAAGUGAAGACUAUUAUGAAGAAGCUGCAAAGGUCAGGAUUUGGUGAAGGUGUUGUGAAGAUGAUUAUGUACUUGAACCUAGUUAUGUUUGUGCUGAAUUUAAUUAUGCUUAAGAACUAAUAUGCCUAAGCUAUCCUAUGUUUGCAGAAUGCAGUGAAGUGUAAAAUAUAGUGAUUUUUCUGUGUAAUGUAUUAAUGGAUAAAAAAGAUAAUGCAUGUGACAAUAAUCUAUUAUACAAACUGAUAAUAUUUAGCAUAGUAAGCGAAUAACACAGCACAAGCUCCUGUCCAUAAUUCAGCAAGCACACACAAUAACAAUAAUUUAUAAUUACAAGCUCUUGUCCAUAAUUCAACAAGCACACACAAUAACACAGCACAAGCUCCUGUCCAUAAUUCAGCAAGCACACACAAUAACAAUAAUUCAUAAUUACAAGCUCCUGUCCAUAAUUCAACAAGCACACACAAUAACAAUAAUUCAUAAUUACAAGCUUCUGUCCAUAAUUCAGCAAGCACGCACAAUAACACAACACAAGCUCCUGUCCAUAAUUCAAUCCUUAAAUAGAAUUACAACUAGUAAAUCCCUGAGCAAAAGUAUAAUAACAAUUUCAAGCACAUAACAAGCUUUUGUUAAAACUAACACUAUGAAGCACACACAACAACUCCUAUCACACAGGACAGCCGGUAAAUCCCUGAGCAAAAGUAGAGAUACAAUACAAAUUCAUUCUCAAACUGACAGUAUCAAGCACAAUAAACACAUACAGCAAGUCUCACUUUGUAAUAUCAAGCACAAACAAAGCAAAUUCUAUUGUUUCAAGUGACAGUCGCAAGCACAACAAACACACAAAGUAAGAAACCACGGCAGUAACUAAGUAAUGAAACUACAUAAACUAAAAUCAAUAAAGAACUAUGUAAUAAAACUACAUAAACAUUACUUGUGACUAUAAAUUAUAAAUUCAAAUGCAUUCCAGCAACAAUAAAGUGUCACAUGUCAUUACUGUCGCUACAUUAAUUUUUUCACCAGCUACCACAGCCUCUAUCUCCAUGUAAACAUGACUGCAAGUUAUAAAUAAUAGCACAUGGUAAGCAAAUAACAGCAAAAUCGUAACUAGAAUUGUAUAUUUAUAUAAUAAGAAACAAAUGUAUAUUUAUAUAAAAUUAAUAUAUCAUAAGGGAUGUUAGCAGAUGAACUUUAGUUGACCCCAACCAAAUUAUUAAACUGCAGUUAUCAUUAAUGCAUGCUUGGGCAUUUACAUGCCUUUCGAAAGUUUGUUGCAGAUGGUGAUUAUUCGAUCAUGAGUUGAAACACUUAUAAAUCCAUAACUAAGUUCAUCUACUUGCCAGAAAUCAUUUUGAUUGAUUAGUAACUUAUAACAAGCUUAAUUAACACUAACAGGGGAUGUGGAUGCUCUUUAAUCUAUAUAUAAAUGGGCAACUCAAAGUUAAAAUUUCAUAAAAAAAUCCUCUCAAAUUUGUCGGCUGAAUUAAUUUCAACAAAGUGGUCACUCGUAAAAUUAGAGACGGCCUUAAAUUUACAGUGACAUGUGCAUGCAAAGAUCUUUUAAUCUUUCUUUGAGCUGGGCUUUUAAUCCAUUGAUUGAACAUGGAAUCAUCGUCAUGCUUUGCAGACAACUUUACAAUUUCUUUUUCUUUAUUAUUUUUUUGAGUCUCAGGGUUGGUGGAAAUUGAAACGAAAAACCCAUUUUCAUUUUUAUUAACGCAAAAUCGUCCCACUCAUCUAUUGCAUCUGUUGCAUCUGAUUUAUAUCUUUAAAUUGUAAUAAAUGAGGAUUACCUCUUUUUCGCACCAAUUCCAGUUGCGAUUGAAGGCGUUCGUCGCCGGUACUUAGUUCGUUGCGCACUUGCGCCACCACCAGAGCUCAUCUCGUUACCUCUUUUUUGCACCAAAUCCUUAAUGAAGCUCUCCUUCACAGCUACAUAAAGAUGAAGAUGUUGUUCGGUGUUGUUUACGUGAAAGAGGAGGCUAAGUGUAACAUUCAUUUCGUGAAAAUUUUUAUUUGCUUUUGUCCACUGGUUAUUGCAGAGCACUGGUUAAUGGAGUAAACUCUUACAAUUUUCUCAGGCGUUCAUCCUCACAAAGCUGCACUUUUGAAUUCUUUUGAAUUUUAAAAGGCAAUUUUACAUAUUUACCCUCACAUACUGAUGCCAUACGUAACCGGAUACUAACGGGAGGGGAGGUGGUUGUAAUUAUGUGGAUAUAUUCUCUCUAUAUGUCAAUACGGUAAACCUUAGGGGAGGUCCCUAAAAAUUACCCUAAAAACAAAUUAUAAAUUGUUUAGUGAUCACAAUGGAUCCUGGAAAUGACAACAACUACAUUAUUAUAAUGAGUUUGACAUGUCAUUGUACAUGGAUUCGUUAUGAUGAAUCAUGAAACACCGUUGAGUAGUUAAUUCAGCCACUUUUCACCUAUAAAUUCGAUGGCAUACUUUGAAUACACAACAUGGUUAUAAAUAAAAAUUUAGAGAAUUUUUGUGGGAAAGAAUAAUUUUAUUGACAAAAGAUUAAGUACAAAAUUAUAACAUCUCCAUUUUUAAUAUAGCUGACAUAAGUUAUUUGAGUUAAAAAAAAAAAAAAGAGGGAACUUAGAUACGCCAUAUUAAAUAGGGCAGUAAUAAAAAAAAAUCUAAUUAACAAAAAUUAUUUGAGCAAAUGACAAAUAUUCGCUAAGAAACUCUUUUUCAUUUUUUUCCCAAAUAAUAAUCAAUGUUUUUUUCCACUACGCAUUGAAAGAGCUCGCAUCGACAUCAAUCAUGAACCAGUCGUGGCCUAUAUUGCCUGCAUUAUGAAUACCACCUAUGACCUUUAGAGCCUAACCGUUUAUCUCAGUCUAUUUUUAAUACUCAGUCACAGGUCCAGACCAUUCAAGUUCAGGACAUGACCCUACUAGUCCCAUUAUAUAUCUAUUUAAAUUUCUUUUUUUUAGAAUGUCUAUUUAGAUUUCUUAAAUUUAAAAAGCAAAUCAACAUCUAGCCCUUAAAAAAAAAAAUCUAAAAUCAACAAAGCUAUUAUUUUGAAGAUAUUUUGAAUUCCAAUUCCCAAUUAAAAUCAUGAAUAUAUCAGCUAUAUCAUAGCAUCAGCAUAACUAGUAAGUGGUGACAUCAAAUUUUCAAAUAUUUGGAACUGGAAGCAAAUAUCUAGUUAAUGAUUAAAGUAGCUGACGAAUAAAACCUCUUGUAUUAUCAUAGAGGCUGCCCCAAUAGCUUGCAAUAACUAUGGAUGGUGCAGUAAAGUUUCAGGAUAGAUGAAUAAACUAAAAAGCAAAAGAGAAAUAUCAGUUGCAGCAAGAACUACGUCAUCUCCACCUCGAUUAUUAUUCAAAUAUUAACACCAAAUGGCACUGAACAGCACAAGAGGAAGCAUCAUCCAUAUUUUAAAUGUAUCUGAAUAGCAUAAAUAUGAAAAUCAUUGCAGAAAGUAAAAGAAAAGAAAAAAGUAAAGAGAAAUUUAUCUCACAGCAUUCCUAUUAUUAAAAAUGUGCUCCGAGAUAUAACUUCAUGCACAUUCAGAAGUUCUCAGGCCAAAGAACAUUAUAGCAACUACAAAAACUCAUGAGCCGGCAGGUCUUGUCCCUGUACAAGGUGAAACAACUAAAAUUAUGCUUUUAAGAACUUUGCAAUAACUAAAAUUAUUACUCAAUACAUAUAGAAAACUUGGGCUCUGGAUACCUAUUUUCCCAAAUCUUGGGGUCUGUUCUUUUCUCCUAAUCAGUGAGGUGCAUGUAAAAUAUAUAUACACAGAGAGAUAGAGAGAGAGAGAGAUUAAUUAGUAUACAUUCCAUUGGUAGAGUUUCUAGCUUAGAAUUUAUAUCACAGGAAUUGCAUAUUGAAUUGAAUACAUAUGAGUGUGUAUUUUUAUUGCGGAGUCUAAUGAUAGAAAGCAGGCUUCAUUCAUUUUCAACAACAAGCAUUGCAAAGUUCAAAAUUUAUAUCACGGUUCAAUCAAUAGGGGAAUUCAUUUCCCAUCAAAACAUAGCAUGUGACAAGAAUGAACUCUAUAUAUAUGUAUAUGUGUGUGUGUGUAUAUAUAUAUAUAUAUAUGUAUGUAUAUAUGAACACAGGAAGAAAAUUAUUUCUAUCUGAAAAUCGAGAUCACUCAACCAAACAAUGGUACCUUCCAAUCUACCUAGUGUAUGUAUAUAGGCAUCCACUGAUUGAUACUUUGAAUUUAAUUAAUAAAUCAACUUCAGGUGUCAUGUUUCCACAUUAAAUAGAGAGAAUAACAAUUAACUAGAUAUGACAGAACUGGUUAAAAAUUUGCUCAAAAUAUACUAAAAAGAUCAAAUUUUAUUAUUUUUUACCUGCUUUCAUGUCUCUCCAAUGUCAGAUCAUGUCCUCAAGCAACUCUUUCGGCUUUCUUCGCCCAUUUUUCUUCUUUUUACAGCAUGAAGCUAAUACAAAGCCAAAUGAAAAAGUAGAGUAGUCAUUUCAAAUUCAAUUUAAUUGUCAAUUGAAAAGUUCAAUUGUUACCUUCGUCAACUGUAGAAUCAAUAGUUAAUGAAAUAUACAAUGAGAAGAGUAAAUAUUAAUAACGCACCAAUAUUACAAAUCAAUAGCUAAGGAUCAAGUGAAAUUUCACCUGCAAAUUAGGACAGCCGAGGAAGCAUCCAUAAACAUCGGAAUAAUUAUAUCACUGAAAUUUCAUUAGAGUAAAUUAGGACAGCAGAGAAAAAAAUAAACAAAGCAAUUUGCAAAGGACAAUUUUUCACCUAAUUUUUGUUAAAAAUAUCAAAAACUAAAUUGAAUUUUUUGGAGAGUAAUCAAGUUAUUUAUUUAAAAUACAUUUUUAAAUAUUUUUUUUAGAGUUUUGAACAAGACAAUUUUUUGAUAAUUGAAAUCAAGUACCAAAAUAUUUUUUAUACUGUUUUAAUUUCUCACUAAGAGUUAACUACGUAUUUUUUUUAGCACUGAUAUAUUAAAUAUUAUCAUUAAUAUACUUAUAUUUAUUUAAAAAAAAUCAAAACGCUAUUUCCUUAAUAUCAUUUAUGCAACAAAAUCAUCAAGGGAGCUUCUGUCUUUGUACACUAAAAAAUUAUAUAUAGUUAAUUCACUUGGUCAAAUAUCCAAAUAGUUGAAGUUAGUUUUUAUUGUUUAUUUGGUAAUGAAAUGGGUGCUAAGUGAGGUCUGGUAAAGCCUGAAGGAAUAAAUAGUGAUUUUAGAUUCAUGUGGGUGCUUUGAAUUAAUCAUUUUGUCAAGUUUCGCACCACCGACCCCAUUAAUUUCUAUCCGUUGCAUUUCAGUCAACAAAGCCAACGAAUAAUAGCUGCGGGCUGUCACAAUGCCUGUCAGUUACAGUGUUAUAUAACUUAGCCGCGGCCUUAGUUAGACUCAGUUCGAGCUCGUCUAAAUUUGGAGGGGCUUUUGGAGGGUUUGGGCCUGCUAUCAAUAGCUAAGGCUUGACCUGAGCUUGAAAAAGCCUAUCCCAGACUCUUAAUUUGCUAUCAUAGUUAGAAAGAAAUCUUUUGUAUGUCGAAAGAUUGGGUCCAGUUAUGUUACAACAGUGGUACGGUAUCACUGUUACUUUCAGUCAUUAGAUCUUAUUAAUACAACUGUACAAUUAUAGAUCUAAUGGCUAAAAGCAGCAGUUGUACCGUACCACUGUUGCAACAUAGUUUUGGCCUAAAAGAUUACACAAGUGGUGGAUUUUUGUUUCUUGACUAAUGUCUUUUUUGACCAUUUUCGUAUUUUGGUACAACUCAGAAGCGUGGCGCUUUACUCAGAUACUUAUCAUUGUUUUUUAUUCUUUUAUUUUGUCUAAGUUAUUACUGUUCAAUAUUCUCACUGUAAGGUUGACUUCAAGGGAUGAAAUCGUUUAGAUUAAAAAAAAAUAAAGGAAAUUCAUUCUCUUCAAUUUUUUUUUAUUUGUACUAAUGUUACAAAUAAAAUAUUAAAUAAUUAUUGAAACUAGUCUAUAUUAACUCAUAUUCGAGAAAUGUCUAUCUACUUACAUUUUGUAAGGAAAAAGAUUCUCUCCACUUAAUUGAAGAAACAAUUCACCACGGAUGCAAUAAUUAUUUCUUUAAUUUAAUGUAUUUUUCGAGCGUCUGGCUACCUUAUUCCUUUGUGCUUCAGUGGGAUGCAAUAACUUUUGCUGAUAGCCUGAUAGGCCCUACAAAUCAUAAUUUAGCAUAGAGAAAUGUUGUUACAUGUAGGGAUGAUAAAAAAGCUCGGGCCAGCCUUGUUCAUUUCCGUGGGCUUUUGCUGAAAUUUCCCACGUGAGGGCUUGGACAAGAGUUAAAGGAAAAAAACCUGGACUAGGUCUAACCCCUCUAUUUAAAAAAUAAUAAUAAUUUUAUAAAUUAAAAUAAAAAAUGGAAAAAUGAAAAAAGAAGGCUUAAAUCCCAAAUUCAUUUAUCAAUAACGAUAAACAAAAACUUAAAAUUAUAAUACUAAACUCUUUUUUAAGUGUUAAUUAAUUAAGAGAGUACUUGAAUUAGAAAAUUAAGUAUUAGAAAAUUAAAUCUCUAAAUUUUUAUUUGCUUUAUUUAAUAUUUUAUUUUGAAAUAUUUAUUUUUUUAAAUUCAUUGUUGAUUAUAACAAUUUGAUGAUUAUUAACUCAUUUUAAGUUUACAACAAUUUAAAAAUUUUGAAAAAAAAGUGAAAGCCCAAGCUCGGCCCAGCUCCACAUGGGCUCGGCCCUUACAUUUCCACUCUAAUGGCUUUGGGCUUGGGCUUGAAAAAACAGAACAUGCUCACAUUUUGCUAUCCUUGCCUGCAUGUAAGUUCAAAGUUGCAAAUUGAUGAAGUGGAAAUAUAGAAGAUUGAUAGAUUAGAAACUAAGUUUCUGAAUAAUGAAAUUUUAUUAGAAAAGUCUGAAUGAAUAAAACGAUAGCUUACCCCUUUUCUACUAAUCCCAAACAUCGAGAAUUUAUCAAAAUAGUAAAAUUUAAAAUAUUAUUUUAUAAUAAAAUUCUCCUAAUCUAAAUAAGAAAAACAAAACAAACGACAUCUAAUUUUGAUAUUUAAAAAAAUAAAAUUCUAAAAAUAAUAGAAAAAUAGAAAAACAACUUAAAACUGCAAAAAGACCAAAAAAAGAAGUAGAAUUUUUUACUUAAUUAUGGAGCAAGACAAGGCAAACAUUCUAAGUUUGAUUAGUCUCGUCGUAACUUUUGAAAUGAUAUAUUAUAUGCCUAAAAUGAACAUAUAAAGCCCAAGUUAUAACUCCUAAAAGAUACCUCCUUCAUGAUGAUCCUACGCAACUAUCUUACGUCGAAAAUGAAUGCAAAAGUUACAUUUCAAAUUAAAUUCAAAACAAUCAAUUCAAGCAUUAAUGCUGAGUUUUUUUAACCAAAAUACUCUAAGGAUUUUAUAAAUUGCUUUCUAAUUUUAUUUUGCAAAACACACCAAAUCAAAGUGAUUUUUCUCUUUUCUCUCAAACAAUUUCAACAUUUUGUAAUAGAGCUGAUGACAGGCAUUAGUAAACAAUGUGCAAUAGUAAUGCACAACAAUAUAGAAAAGCAAAUUGGUAAAGUGUAAACUAUGAAAUGAUAAAAUAGAGCCUUUUUUUUUUAAGAUCACAUGUUAAGUUAUUGGCAUAUUUUGUCAGGAUCAUAUACUUUUUUAGAUCUACGUGCUUUUGGUCAAAUUUAAUAUAAUCAAAAGUUUAAAACUGAAGUCCAUAUUCAAUAAUAAUAAACUAAUAAUAAUAGAUAAUGUAAUACUGACUAUUAAUUUAGAUCCUACGAUAUUAAAAUUCUUUUUUAAUACUUAAUAAAAAUAACAACAAUAAUAAGUUUUUUUUAAGGGUUAACUUAAUUGUUAACUUAGACUUACAUUGAGUCAUAAAUCAUAGUUUAUAACAACAUUAAUGCAUAUAUUCAUAAAAAUCAUGAUAUUUAUAAUUUAUUUAUUAAAAUCAUGAUAUCACCUAUUCAUUUAACAAAUUAUAAACAUAAAACAAUUAGAUUUUUUUUAAAUUAAGAAUUAAAUGAAUCUAAAAAACUUAAGCUAAUAAAAUGCAUUAAAGAUUCAAUUUCAAAUUUUUUUGCAAAAUUAUAAUUAUUCGUAAAAUUAUAAAAUUUCAAGUUUACUUUCAUUAAAAAGUUUUUACCUUAAUAUACUUUGACUCGCAUGUUAUUGAUAACGCAUAAGCCAUGUGCUAAUCCUCCAGUGAAACAUUUUUAUUGCGGUCCUUUUCACGUGCUGUGUUUUAGCCUAUCUUUAAUCAUAUCAUGCUUUUAAGGUCCACUUGCCUAAAAUUCUCAACUCAGCCCAGCCCACGUGCAUGCCAUGCCUCGUCGCUUACCCUACCAAAACGUCCUUGUGCCGUGCCACGCUAAACGGAUAUGUGUCGUGCAUGUGUCGUUCCACCUGUCACCUGGCCCAUUAGUCAUCUCUAGAAAACACCAUAUAUUUAUUUAGCGUGUUGCAAGCACUGUGUCGCAAGUUGCUCAAAUUUCCCGCAAACGGAGGCUAAAUUAGCGCGCACGGGUACGCUCAGUAAAAGUCUGCCCAAUAACGGGAUGCACUCAACAGCAAGGUGCGCUGAGCGAUGGGCUGCCUCAUAUAACUAGUGAGUUAUGGUGCACUUAGUAAGUGAAUAGCCCAUAAUCAACAAGCCUAGCCCAAUUUUCAGAUUUCUCUACACCUUGUAAAUGGCUAGAUUUUUAGGCAAGUUGCAUGAACUCUCUAUGAAAUAAGGGUGAGCACCCACUAUUUGCUCACCACCACACCACACACACAACACCUAGCAACUCAAAAACUCUCGUAAAAAUCUCUCUUAUAAUUUCUCUUUUGUGAGCAAUAAAAUAUUCUUUAGCCAUAUUGCUCUCUUCUCUCUAGCAGUAUUGCAAACAUCCUUACUUGGCUAGUUUGAGAAACUCUUUAGGCUUACUUAACAACUUUUGUACUAGAAGUUAUGUAAGUACUGCACGGGGUUGUUGUGCAAAAUAGUCAUCUCGUGACAACCGGCUUAGUUUUGCUUUGCACAUUUGCGCCCACAAUAAUAAAAGCCAAAAUAAGAUAUCAAAAAAUGUUGGGAUUUGACAUCAAGUAGAAGAGGUUUUGCCCACUCCAAAAUCAUCAAAAUGAUUAAUCAUCUUCUAUAUAACCUGAUGAUUUUUUUAACCUUUGAGAAAGCAACCACAGAGGUGGAACAAACUUCUACUCCUGGGACCUGACAUACGGUUAAUGAAGAAGGGUAAUUUCGUAAAAUUCCAAUCAAAAUUAGAAAAAAGGCAAGCCAUAUUCAAAAGUCAAUCUUGAUCAAACAAACGGCAGGAGGGACAUCUGUAAUUACAGCAUUUUCGAGGAAUUGUUUCUAAAAAUAACUAAAACGGGAAAACCCGAAUGGGAAAAUUGGAAAGCGACAAACACGAAAGUUCAAAGUUUGCUUGGUUGGGCUAUGUUCUGCGAGUGGGAGAGACCGAUUGUAGAAAGGGUUUCUUUUUUUCUUUUUUUUUUCAAAUAGACAUAUAGCCACGUGUUGUCUCAUAUAAAAAAUAAUACUUUAUAUAAGUCCUAGGUCAGUUGGGCUGGAAAACAUUUAAAAUCGAACAUAUCAGGCACGUUGUAAGUUCGCAAUUGGAGAAUCAUGUUGUCAGCCCCGCAACCCCCAAAUGGGAACUUUAGAUAGAAAAAUAUAGCAUCGCAAUGAUAAUAUUUAUUAAUAAUAAAUUUACUUAUUACAAUUGUUCUUGUCAAAGACUCUUUGAUGGUAUUUCAUGUGUUGAAAAAAUAUAAAAUAGUUUCAUUAUCAAUACAAUUAAAAACAUAUUUUUUAAUAUAUACAACUAAAUUAUCACUUGAUUUGUUCUUAAAAUGUUUUAAUAAUAGCAAAAAUAUGGAUAUAAUGCAACAUGAAGAACAAAUAUGAAUACACACACAUUAGGGAAUGGCAAUGGGAAGAAUAGGAGAGGGGACCGACAUCUCCAUACCCAUUUUCGAUAUUCUGUAUAUGUCCUCAUCUCCUCCCCAUUCCAUCAGAAUUACUUGAGAAAAUUUUCAUCCUCUCCCCAAAUAAUAACAGGGGAUUCCUGAGAGUCCCCGAUCUCCAAGUAAUUAAUAUAUUUUUAAUUUUUAAUUUUAAUUAAUUAUAUUAAAAUAAUUUUUUUAAUAAAAGUAGAAUUAAGGCGGUAGCUAGCUACCAUAGAAAAUUAGAAAUUAGGUUUUACGAUUUUGCCUUAAUUUUUGUUUUAUUAGAUAAACGUUUAAAAUAUUUAAUGAAUAUUAUAAAUUAAAAAAAAAAUUGGGCCAACAAGAUCCUGUCUGGCUUUUUUUAUGUCCUGAAUAGAUAUUUAAAAUUAUAACUAGUUAAGCAGGCUCAUUAAAGCAUCUGACAAAUUGUUACAUACAACCAGGAUAAUUAGAGUGCUAAUCAAAUAACCCAAAUUAUAGAUUCCCUAAUCAAACAAACAUAACAAAAAAAUUUUGAAAUGCAAUUUUUUUUUUCAGAAAUGCGAAUUGGCACCAAAUAAAAUUGAGCAAAAGCUAAUGCUGUCCUACAAGUUGACAUGGUCCUCCUUUAGCAAGGUUCAAAUAGGGAAGACCAUAGUAAAAAUAAGAGGAAAUAAUUUAACUUUAUCUAUAAAUCCUACAAUUUAGAUGCUAGUAAAAUAACUCCAAUCUGAAGCAUCAAAUGUACAAGAUUCGCCUCAUCAAAAAAAAAAAAAAAAAUGUAUAAGAUUCGUAAGUAAAAACAGGUUACACGAUUAGUUAUUACCUCGAUUACGUUGUAUAUAUUGCAUGGUAUACCUAAUCAGACAAAUAACGUGGACAUGAAGUGAAUAACUUAAUUUGAAUCUUGCUAUUUUAUUUUAUAAUUUUAAACUAAUUAAUUCAUGCACCCACAUUAUGCUUGCAUUAAGUGGAUACAAUACAACAGAAGUAUUCUACAAUCUCUUAUACGAAGAUUCUUAAUUCAUACUCUUAUUGGGGACUCUUUUUAAAAUUGACCUUUUCAUAAUAUUAUUUGUGAAGUAUAUUUUCAAACUAAUUACAGAAUAAUUUUAAAUUAUUGUAUAAACCGAUGAUUGAUAACACCGGGUAGACUAAUGAGACAAAGUCAAAACCAUUAGCCGGUCCAACAGCUCCACUCAUGUUAGCUUCCGUAAAGCACAACUCUAUCGACUCUCGUGACGUCUAGCAUCUUCGUUUAUAAAUACCCCACCUUCAGCCUCUCGACUCUCUCAAGACACUCCGACAGCAAGACUUCAGUUGGGGUGGGAACCGUUGGUGCUGGAAGAGGUGGUAGUCAUGGAAGCAAACAAUAUGGAGAUAUCGGCGGAGGCUGGUGGCCAGCCCCGCCGGAAGCUAUGAAUAUCCUCAACUGGAAUGUUCGGGGUCUGGGGAAUCCCUGAACAUUUCAAGCCUUAAGAAAAAUCCUCCAAUUGCAUGGUGCUCAGCUGGUGUUUUUGUGUGAAACAAAGGUAUCAACCAUGCAAAUGAAUGUGAUUGCAAAUAAGCUGAGUUUUGAGAAUUGCCUUGCGGUGAACUGUAAUGGAAGAGGAGGCGGAAUAGCAAUGCUCUGGAAGUCAGAUAUUGGGGUGCAAAUCAAUUCAUAUAGUUAGCACCACAUUGAUGCCGAAACUCAAAUGCCAAAUGGAAAUCGAAUGCGAGUUACAGGAGUGUACGGACAUCCGGAAACAGGUUAGAAAAAACACACUUGGAUGCUCCUUAGGCGGCUAGCGGUUUUAUCUUCUAGCCCUUGGUUGUGUUGUGGAGACUUUAAUGAAAUUUUACAUCCGGAAGAGAAGAGUGGCGGCAAUGACAGGAACGUGAAUUUAAUUAAUGAUUUCAGAGAAGUUUUGAGAGAUUGUGGGUUAAAGGAUGUCGGGUAUCGGGGGUAUGCUUUUACUUGGAAUAAUGGAAGAUAUGGGAAGGGAUUCGUUGAAGAAAGGUUAGACAGAUUUGUUUGCACAAAAGCUUGGAGUGACAGAUUUGUGGACUGUGAAGCAAGCAACCUGGACUUCGGAUCAUUGUCCCGUGUUGAUGGCUGUUCAAGUGAGAAGGGAGAGCAUGAACCAAAGGGGUAGACAUUCCUCGCGAAUCCAUUAUGAGGAUAUGUGGAGCUCGUAUGAUGUAUGCAAAGAAAUAAUUAAGGAGGAAUGGAGUUGGUUUAGAAACUGGAGCAGUGAAGAUCCAGCCCAAUCCUUUCGACAAGCAACAAAAGUUUCGAUGGGUAGGCUGUUGGGGUGGAGCAAGCUGGAGUUUAAAAAAGCGUGACAGAAAAUUAGAGAAGCUAAAGAAUCAGCUGCAGUAGUUAAAACAAAGAAGGGUGCAAUAUGAAAGUGGUGAGGAAAUUCGGAAGGUGGAGAAGCAAAUCCAAAAUAUUCUCAUGGAUGAAGAAAUCUACUGGAAGCAACGCUUAAGAGCAGAUUGGCUCAAGGAGGGGGACAAAAACACAAAAUUCUUCCACGGCAAAGCGACGGCAAGAAGAAAAAAAAAACAGAAUUUGGGGGAUUGAAGAUAAUUUCAGGAGAUGGAUUGAGAAGCCAAAAGAAGUAGAGCAUGAGUUUUGCAACUAUUUCACCAAUCUUUUUACAUCAACCCAGCCAAGCCAAGAUCAAAUUGCAGCAGCCUUGGAAGGAAUAACUCCGAGAGUUUCAGCUAGCAUGAAUGAGAGUUUGGGGGAGUCGUUUACAGCCGAGGAAGUCUUGGAAGCUUUGAGUCAAAUGUGCCCAACGAAGGCUCCGGGGCCGGAUGGUUUGCCAGCAGUGUUUUACCAAAAGCAUUGGCAUACGGUUAAGGAGGGAGUGCUCACCACUUUUCUGCAUAUCCUCAAUUCACAAGGUACCAUAGGCCCUCUAAACCACACUUACAUUGCUUUGAUACCAAAAAUCGGAAAGCCUAGGAAAGUGACAGACUUUAGGCCUAUUAGUUUGUGCAAUGUUAUCUAUAGAAUUGUAGCUAAAACAGUUGCUAAUAGAUUUAAGCAAAUUUUGCACAAAAUCAUCUCUUCGUCGCAAAGUGCCUUCAUCCCCAAUAGGUUGAUCACUGACAACAUCAUAGUUGGCUACGAAUGUUUGCACAAGAUAAGGCAUUGUAAAGGCAAGCGAAAUGGAUUAAUUGCAUUAAAGCUUGAUGUUAGUAAAUCUUAUGACAGAUUGGAAUGGAAUUUUUUAGAGCAAACUUUGAAAAAACUAGGCUUCUCGCAUCAAUGGAUUAGCUUGAUCAUGAGGUGCAUUAGUUCGGUUUCAUUUUCUGUGUUAAUAAAUGGCUCAGUGAAAGGCUUAAUUAAACCCAAAAGGGGCUUAAGACAAGGUUGCCCCCUCUCUCUGUAUUUGUUUAUUACAUGUGCAGAGGCUUUUUCCUCAUUGCUGCAGCAGGCUGAGCAACAACGACUUAUUCAUGGGCUAUCAUUUGGAAACGAUUUGAAGAUUUCGCACCUUUUAUUUGCUGAUGACAGCCUUGUCUUCAGCAGAGCUUCCAUGGCCGACUGUCAAAAUUUGAAGAUGAUCCUUGAGCGCUACUCCACAGCUUCCGGUCAAAUUUUUAAUUUCGAGAAAUCUUCUCUUUUUCUCAGUGGCAACGUACAUCAAGAUCAAGCUGAGGCAAUUGGGAAUCUCUUUCAGCUCAAUAUUGUGUCGAGACAUGAAAAAUACUUAGGCUUGCCAUCUAUGAUCGGGAGAAAGAGGAGCAGUUUUUUCAGUGACAUCAAGCUGAAGGUUUUCAAUAAGAUCUCAAGCUGGCAGCAUAAAUUUUUUUCUUGCGGAGGGAAAGAAGUCUUAAUCAAAGCGGCUGUUCAAGCCAUCCCAGCCUACGCAAUGAGCGUUUUUAAAAUUCCGAUGGGUGUUUGUGAUGAUAUUAAAAAAAUGGUGGCAAAGUUUUGGUGGGGCUCCAAGAGGGAAGGGAGGAAUAUUCACUGGGCGAAGUGGGAAAAGAUGAGUCAAGCUAAGUGUAAUGGAGGGAUGGGAUUUCGUGAUUUUUCAAGUUUUAACCGAGCCCUUCUAGCAAAGCAAGGCUGGAGGAUUCAGCACUGUCCAGACUCGCUGGUGGCAAGGGUCCUGCAAGCCAAGUAUUUCCAGUCAAAAAAUUUCUUGGAUGCAAAGCUCGGCUCAAACCCUUCAUAUAUUUGGAGAAGCAUUCUGUGGGGAAGGAAAGUAAUUUGCUCGGGCUCUAGGUGGAGAGUUAGCAAUGGUCAGAAAAUUCAUAUUCAUAAGGCUAAUUGGAUCCCACGGCCUUCCACAUUCCAACCAGUGGUUAAGCCAACUUUGCCUUCUGAUGCUAUGGUCUCUGAAUUAAUCAAUGAGGCAAACUGCUGGGAUAAGAAGAGGAUUUAUGAGCAUUUCGACAAAAUGGAUGCUGAUUUAAUUACUAAGAUUCCUCUGCCUCGAAGACCAAGGGAGGAUGAGCUGAUUUGGCAUUAUGAAAAAAAUGGCCAGUUCUCGGUUAAAAGUGGGUACCAAACAGCUCUCCAAAUAAAGUUUCCAGCCAUGCCUUCAAGCUUAGUGGUUUCCAAAAAUGAGUGGAAUAUUAUUUGGUCCCUUGCUUUGCCUCAAAAGAUCAAAAUUUUUGCCUGGAGAGCAGACAAAAACCAACUCCCCUCAGCUGAGAAUCUGUGGAAGAAAAAGAUAAUCCAGGAACCCACUUGCCAAGUGUGUGAAAUGGGAACGAAAAAUGCUUUUCAUGCUCUUGUGGCCUGCAAAUCGGCUGAGAAGGUAUGGAAGCUAAUCCAUUUUGAAGAUGAUAUUCAUGCAGCUCACAAUCAAGAUAUUUUAAGUUUGCUGCAUGCUAUGAAAAGAAUGAGAAGCAGAGCUGACCUGGAGCUGUUGGCAACAAUUUUUUGGGUAAAAUGGAAUGCUAGGAAUCAGUUGCUUUUCAAAGGAAAAAGGGAGAACCCCCAGAUUAUGGUAGCUAAAGUUGAAGCUAUGAUUGCAGCUUAUAAGAGGGUGCAUUCUCCAGCUGAGGCUUGCAGUGAAACAGAGCAGAGUGUACCUUCCCAGACAUGGAAUCCCUCUCAAGAUGGCUUCAUAAAAGUAAACAUUGAUGCAGCUAUCAGCUUCGAAAAGAACAUUGUAGGGCUGGGGGCAGUGAUCAGAGAUGAUUCGGGGCAUGUUACAGCAGUUGCUAUCAAGGUUUCUAAGUUUCAUGGAGAUGUUUCUUAUGCGGAAGCAGAAGCUAUGGAAUGGGGUAUGUUAGUGGCGAGAGAAGCAAAAGUGAAAGCUGUAAUUGUGGAAUCAGAUUCUCAAAGUGUGGUCAGUUUAGUUAACAACAAGCAGGGCAGCAGAUCCGAGAUCUAUUGGGUUGUUUCAGAAAUUCAGAAGGUAGCGGAAAACUUCGAACGUGUUAGUAUUAAGUAUACGCCUAGAUCUUGUAAUGUUAUUGCCCACUCUUUAGCUAAGUUAGCUUUAGAGAAGUGCGAGACUGUUGUGUGGAAGGGUUCAUACCCUUUACAAGUGAUGUAUCUCCUUUCAUCGUUGAUUUAAUUGAAAUCUCUUUUCAAAAAAAAAAAAAAAAAAAAGACACUCCAAAAAAAACUCCAAAGUCCAACAACAACAUUUUACAAUCUCUCUCAAUUUUUCUCGCUUCAGUUUACCAUCCUCGAACACGAACACGAACACGAACAUGAAUUAAGUUAAUUAGUUUAUGGAACACAAACUCAUCAUCAACAUCAUGUCCUAAUUGAAAAAGAAGGAUUGCGAGGGAAACUAAGCAUGUGCCUUCAUUUUCACUUGAAAUAAAGCGCGAUGGAAAGAUCUUAUGUUAUCACAUGAUGCCGUGUGAUCACCUAGAAGCCCUUCCACGCACAUUUCUUCUCAAAUUGUCUUCUUCUAAUUUCUUGGGUCACCGCGAAACCACAAUGUCAAUGCGAGGAUGAGCGAGUGUUGUUCAGCUUGUAGUUUUUGGAGCCGGUCCUGGGCUUUCUUUAUUUUUUUCAUCUUCUGCUGGUAGGCAUCGCCAAAAGGCAAAGAGAAUCCUCUGGUGUUCGUGGAGUUGGUCCUCGAUGCGAUUGAUUUCUUCUCCAAGUUGAGCAAGCCUUUGUGCCAUAGCCAUCAUUAUUUGCUUUCGAUCGAGCACUUUUCAUCUGCAACCAAAUGUUUCAUCAAUAUUUUGAAGUAUACACACUUGUUUCAACAGCUAUCCGGAUCACGUUAAAAGACAAUUUUGCCCUCACUUAAAGUGUAAAAUCACUAAAAAAGCCACAACAGUAGUUUCAAAUUCCAAUUGACUUGGGUGGAUAUUAAAAUUUCUUAAAGGUUAAAAAAAAAGUAAAAAUGUUUUGUUAUGGGAAUUGAAAUAUCCCCUAUAUCUUCAUCCAUAAUCGUCUAUCCAUGAUAACAAUUUAAUAAACUUGAAAAAGCAAGAUAUCCAAUCCCAGUGAAUCAAACAGCCAAUUUUCUUCAUAAAGUUUAGCUUUUGCUUUUAAAAAUUUUAACUCUUGAGACCUUAAAUAAACUCAUAUUCAAAUUUACAUUUUCUAUAAUGAAAAUCUUCAAUUUACCCUUUUAAUAUUUUGAAAAACGGGUCCAGCUACAAUACAAUUGUAGUUUCAUACCUAUUUUUUUGUCUUUUUGUGAUCCAACCAUUGGAUCCAACCUAAGAGUUGCAAAGUCUAUUCCAACAACUUGGAUGUUAUUAUUUGGUUAUCAACAAUAUGGUCCCUUAUGUUUACUAAAAGAAUAAGAAAAAAUUAAAUUUCAAAAUUUUGACACAUUGGUCCGUUAAAAUAUUUUAUUAUCAAAGGUAAUUUAGUAAAUGAACAUAUUUAUAUAUUAAAAACAUGGAUGAAUUAUUUUAACUUGCUAAAAUACUCUCAAAUUCCAUUUACUUAAAAUACGAAUUAGAUUUAAUAAUACUAUUUUGUAUUUAGUGUAACACAAAAUUAGACAAGUUUUUAUAUAAAUUUUGACAAUAUUAAAAUGAAAAAUAAAUAAAUAUUAAACAAAUGCUUGGAUAGUCAUUUAAAUUCAUUAUAGAGCUUAUAAAUAAUAUUUUCAAAAUAAUAAAUUUCUAUAUGUAAAUUUGAAAUUAUGUAAAAUUACUUAGACUUUAUCACACAUAUGAAGCUGAUCAAUUAUUUAUUUGAUCUGAAAAUAAAUUAAUUGUAUAAUAUUUAUUCUAUUACUUAAAUUUAAAAUUUGUUGAGAAGGAGAUAGAGAGAAUAUUUUUUUUAGAAUUUUAAAUUAUUAUAUUUUAAUUGGGUUUAUUACAUAAAAUUAAGUUUUUAUUAUUUGCAUAAAACAAUAGGAAUUGUUGAAGAAAAUGCCAAAUAAAUUUUUUAGAAUUUUGAAAUUAUUAUAUUUUAAUUGGGGCUUAUUGUAUAAAAUUUUUAAAACUUAUAAUUUUUAUUAUUUACAGAAAACUACAGGGACUGCUAAAGAAAAUAUCAAAAUAGUGUUUGGUACAACGGGGUAAGAUAGUUUUGCUCUUGAAAAACAUUAAUUUACUUCUAUUUAUCAGUCAAAAGACUAAAAUAAAUGGAGAUAUGAUGAUGAUAAACUUUUUAACUUUUUAGUGGUAUUUGAUAAAUAUAAAUAAAUUGAAAAUUCUCGCUUUUACUUUUUAUUGGGCAUAAGUUAAAAAUCUUACUCUCUAUUUAUUAUGCUUUAACAAGAGAAAGAAAGAAAACGGAAAACAAAUCUCUUCUAUAGCAGUCUUAAAAAAAUUUUCAGCUGAGACUUAACCCAUAAAUUUUUAAAAACUUUUUGGUGGAUUCAUAUACAUUGAACUAGUCUUCUUUCUAUAUUACAUGGAUUAAAUUUUGAAAUUAGGGCAACCUAUUGUUAAAUCUGCCUUUCAAAUUAUUGACUUAAUAUUGCCCAAAAAAAAAAAAAAAAAUUUUCCUAUUACAGAAUUUUUCAUUGUUGCAGGAAACUGGAGUCGCAGCUGACAGUGCUCAAGGGCAAUCCUUAAAUUAAAUUUCAUUGCAAUCUUUGAAAUUUAAAUUAUUUGAGAAAAAAAAAAUCUUUGCAUAAUAUUGAACAACGCAUUUUCUUGUAUAAUAUCAAUGAAACAAUGCAUGUGAGGGGAAUAAAAAGAAUAAGACAGUAAUUAGCACUAUUUCAAGCAAAGAAAUCUGGGCACUAAUAUAUUUUCUCUGUUACUUUGCAAAAUUACUGCAUGUACAUGAGAUGAUUGCUUGCUACUGUAGUAUUGUGUAAGGUGAAACAUUUGAAGAAGAAUCCUUCUAAACUGGUAGUGUUGGUCGUUGUUGUCCUGCCGAGGAAGUGUCAUUAGAUUGAAACCUACUGCAAAUAUUGAUACAAAAUGGCUUCAAGGUUUCGUUGUAGAGCUGACGACAAGCUUCUGUAAGCAGCGCCCCAUAUUGAUGCACAACAAUGAUAAUGGACGAGCAAAGCCAUGCAGUGUACAAUAUGAUAUGACCAAUAUCAGAGCGUGGAACAAAUGUGGAGGCUAGCGAGACUGCAGAAACAGAUCCGGAGACUCGUGCUACAAGGGCCCAAGAUUGGGAAGAAUUCUCUUGAUGAGCUAAAUGUGCAUAACAAUAAAUGGCUGUGGUUAUGAGAAAAGACCAUAUAUUUGUUGUGUGUGUUUCAAGCAAGCGCUCAGUUGUGCCUUGCGUAUUUGCUCCCACGAUGCCGAUGAGAGCUGGAAUGAGAUAUCCAAACACGUUAUGGUAUGCGUUUGACAUCGCAGAUAAAUAAAAUUUGUUCCUGCAGAACCAUUAAAAUACUAUAUUAAGGAAAGUAUUAGAUCCAUUCCUUUAGAAAAACAGGAAUUUAAGAGAUCAUUAUGUAUUUAGUCUCAUUUAAUAUUAGUUUAAUUUUUUCAAGUCAUAGUUAUUGUGAAAAAAAAAUUAUUAAAUACUUUUAUUGAUUGGUAAGGAUUUAAAAAGGAAAUUUGGGAUUUUUUUUUUGUUUUCUUGUGAACAUUGACGGUAUAUAUGUAGGGUAAAGUUUUAUUUUUAAAUACACGUUGUGGCUCAGGUCAGAGAGAGAAGGGAGACGGUCAAGAUUGCUGGGUUGACUUUCUUUUCCCGUCAGCCAUUUUGUAAUAGAUUGAUCAGAGCAAUCAUUACCUGCAAAACUUAACACAGCACCAAAUUAACAACCAACAUUUCAAUUGAAACAAAUCUACUUGAAAAUAAAAGAAAAAGCAACUCCAAAUCAAAAUCGAAAUGAAACCUUAUCAGAGAGACAGCCGCAAGUAUGAAGAGACAAGCACGAUCCUGAAGGACUAUUACUCCAAAUCAAAAUCGAAUUAUAAGAGAGAAAGCCGCAAGUACGAAGAGAGAAGCGCGAUCCUAAAAGAUCUGAAGUCGUGUUGUAUAUAUGUCUUGUAUAGAUUGACAGAGCAAUCAAAGGCCGUGUCGACCAGAGCAAUCGAAGAGUAGAAGAGAUAAGAGAGGAAAAAAGAAGAAGAGGAGAACUGCAGCAGCAAAUGAGCAAGGGCAGUAUUUAUAGGACAAACUGAGGCCUAUAAAGGGUCCACUAGUGGACCAGAGCAAUCAAAUGUGGAUUUGAGACUAAAUAUCGACGAAGCUUUUGUGUAUAUAUUGUUUUCGUGAACUUCUCAUCUUUUAUUUAAUUGAAUUGAUAAAGGUAAUGCGAUGGAGUUGGAGUUUUACAAAGUAACUCCAAAUUUUACAAAGUAACAUCGAUAAAGUAGUAACAUCGAUAAAGUAACAUCGAUAAAGUAAUAUUGUAAGUAAGGAAAAAAGCCAAUAUUUUCCAUGUUAGGAACAUCGAUAAAGUAGUAUCAUGAUCUUCAAAUUCAAUAAUUCGGUACUGGAUUUUUUAAUAGCUGAUGGUGGUGGAAUUUCUGCAUGAAAAAGGUAGGAUAUAAACCAGAAAAAUCAAUAAAGCAUGUCAUGCAUGUUACAUUGCUACUCCAAGCGAGUAAAUUUUUCUACAUCGGAUAUGACUUGUUACGAUCAAGUUAAUAAAAGUUCAAAUCAAGAAAGAAAUCUCGACGUAGACUAUGUCGUGGACAGCGGGACACGUAUGAUGAAUCAGAUGCUGGUUACUCUUCAUAUAGUUCCUGUACAACAUAAUGAUUACUUACAAUAUUACUUUAUCGAUGUUACUUUAUCGAUGUUACUACUUUAUCGAUGUUACUUACUUUAUCGAUGUUACUACUUUAUCGAUGUUACUUUUCAAGUAGAUUUGUUUCAAUUGAAAUGUUGGUUGUUAAUUUGGUGUUGUGUUAAGUUUUGCAGGUAAUGAUUGCUCUGAUCAAUCUAUUACAAAAUGGCUGACGGGAAAAGAAAGUCAACCCAGCAAUCUUGACCGUCUCCCUUCUCUCUCUGAACUGAGCCACAACGUGUAUUUAAAAAUAAAACUUUACCCUACAUAUAUACCGUCAAUGUUCACAAGAAAACAAAAAAAAAAUCCCAAAUUUCCUUUUUAAAUUCUUACCAAUCAAUAAAAGUAUUUGAUAAUUAUUUUUUUUCACAAUAACUAUGACUCGAAAAAAUUAAACUAAUAUUAAAUGAGACUAAAUACAUAAUGAUCUCUUAAAUUCCUGUUUUUCUAAAGGAAUGGAUCUAAUACUUUCCGUAAUAUAGUAUUUUAAUGGUUCUGCAAGAACAAAUUUUAUUUAUCUGCGAUGUCAAACGCAUACCAUAACGUGUUUGGAUAUCUCAUUCCAGCUCUCAUCGGCAUUGUGGGAGCAAAUAUGCAAGGCACAAAUGAGCGCUUGCUUGAAACACACACAACAAAUAUAUGGUCUUUUCUCAUAACCACAGCCAUUUAUUGUUAUGCACAUUUAGCUCAUCAAGAGAAUUCUUCCCAAUCUUGGGCCCUUGUAGCACGAGUCUCCGGAUCUGUUUCUGCAGUCUCCUUGAUCUCCACAUUUGUUCCACGCUCUGAUAUUGGUCAUAUCAUAUUGUACACUGCAUGGCUUUGCUCGUCCAUUAUCAUUGUUGUGCAUCAAUAUGGGGCGCGGUUUACAGAAGCUUGUCGUCAGCUCUACAAUGAAACCUUGAAGCCAUUUUGCAGUCAGCUCUAUAACGAAACCUUGAAGCCAUUUUGUAUCAAUAUUUGCAGUAGGUUUCAAUCUAAUGACACUUCCUCGGCAGGACAACAACGACCAACACUACCAGUUUAGAAGGAUUCUUCUUCAAAUGUUUCACCUUACACAGUACUACAGUAGCAAGCAAUCAUCUCAUGUACACGCAGUAAUUUUGAAAAGUAACAGAGAAAUCAUAUUAGUGUCCAGAUUUCUUUGCUUGAAAUAGUGCUAAUUACUGUCUUAUUCUUUUUAUUCCCCUCACAUGCAUUGUUUCAUUGAUAUUAUACAAGAAAAUGCGUUGUUCAAUAUUAUGCAAAGAUUUUUUUUUUCUCAAAUAAUUUAAAUUUCAAAGAUUGCAAUGAAAUUUAAUUUAAGGAUUGCCCUUGAGCACUGUCAGCUGCGACUCCAGCUUCCUGCAACAAUGAAAAAUUCUGUAAUAGGUAAAAAGUCUCUUUUUUGGCAAUAUUAAGUCAAUAAUUUGAAAGGCAGAUGUAACAACAGGUUGGCCUAAUUUCAAAAUUUAAUCCAUGUAAUAUAGAAAGAAGACUAGUUCAAUGUAUAUGAAUCCACCAAAAAGUUAUUAAAAAUUUAGGAUUUAACACUUGGAAAUGGCAAUUAGGUACUACCUCAAGAGAUUUUACAGCUUGAACCAACCAAGGGGGUAUGUUUGCAAUUGCUGUGACUAAGUAUAAAUAGAUGGUUGGUCAGUGGUAAGAACCAGCCUUCUAGCAUCUUUAGGCACAAAGAACUCAAGAAAAAACCCCACAUGAGACACAAGACCCAAUGCUCAGCAUGCAGCAAGCUUAUCUAGAUUCAGGUGCUUUAAGAAUCAAAUUCACAUUACAUGAAAAGUUCACUAUUCAGAAUGGCACUCUGUAUGACAGCAAAGAGAUAAGUGGAAGAAAAAAAAUCUGAAAAUCAACAUACCUUUUUCUUUGUGAUUAGGUAGUCGAACCCCACUAACUCGCUUAUUUCAAGCAGCCAGGUCAGCUCAACACGGUCGUCUUGUAUCCUUCAAGAUGCACAACCCUUGUGAAAUUUCCAUCCUGGUUCCUACUAAUUUGCUCCACAAUUGCAUUCCCAAUCUAUUUAUGUGAAUCGUAUUUCCAGAGAUCAACUCGGCAUUGGCAAGGUCCAUCCAUAUUGUUUUUGCAUAUGUUGUAGCUUUCACUCCUACACCUUUACGCGUCUUAUGCCUCAGUUUGAUGCGAACUCAUGGUUUGUCAAGGCCAUUGGUAAGAGUCAGUCAGUCAGCAAUAGUAAUAUCUGCCUUUCUUCAAUCACAGCAGCGAGUAUAGGGCACGCAGGAUUAAUAAUCUUCUUAUUAAUAUAGUAGUUCAAAGUUUGUCACAUUCCAAAUGGUUGAGACUGUUUGAAGCCACCAGAAAAAGUAAAUAUACAAAAGUCAGUCUUCCACUUAACUGAUAGCAAAUACUAUAUGAAAUAUGAAAAAUUACUUCAGCUACAUUGUCUUACCAGUUCAAGGAUAAACUGCAACAGAGAUUCAAUUUUCAGUCUCCUACGAAUAAUUCUUUGGAGGGCCAAAAAAAGAGGAUUAUCUAAUCCAUUAUGUACAAACCACAAAAGCUUGCUGAGAGGCAUAUUACACCAUUUUCAACCAGUUAAACUCAUAAAUUUGAACCUUUAUACUCUCAUAUCCUCUUGAACCAUAUGGUAUUGGGCAUUACGAGCAUUGUACUCACCAGAUCUCAAACUAAAAGACAUGAAAGUUAAUCCAUAAGGUAGGUAUAUCUUGUAAUUUGACCUGAUUUGAUCGUGGGAUCUGGGCUGCAACAACUGGACGGGAUCUCAAAGGGACUUGCUGGAAUCUUGCAUGUUCAACUUCCUGCUACGACACCACUAUUAACAUCCCAAUUUUCUUAUGAAAACACACGGAGAUAAUAGAAUGAUAUCUCAAUGCUUCAAGCCAUUCACAAACAUUUUCCAUGUAAUUGGUUGCAAUAUCAGACGAGCUUAAUCCUGCCACCAAUAAUCUGCUUCACCUUGAAGCACGAAUAAGGCAAACACGCUAUCCUCCACUCGUCAUUCGG
Molecule: long non-coding RNA, 89407 nt
Filed under: Citrus maxima (pomelo)
Lineage: Eukaryota; Viridiplantae; Streptophyta; Magnoliopsida; Sapindales; Rutaceae
Description: long non-coding RNA (CMAX_LNC001182)
Source: RNAcentral